UUGUUUCUGUGUUGCUAUUGGUUUGUAAUUGAUGAUUGCUUGCUUCCUACUGCUGACUCCUUCUCCUUUUAUUUUGCCUAAAAUUCCAGGUGCACACCUUGAAUUUGACUCCAUGUAACUCUCAAGUUUUGGGGAAUGAAAUGGAAUGAUGUGUAUUAUCUCUAUAGAAUUUCAUUAUCUCAUUUCAAAUGGUAUCAGGACUUCAUUAUAUUUUCGUUUGUAAUUAACUGUGGACUGGACUUGUUUUUUACUUGUGUGACUCUGGACAAGUGAUUUAGCUAGGAUUUAUAGACUGAUGUUAGCUAAAUACAUAAGUGGUGUUGAUUUUAUUUCAAAUGAUCAUAAUCAGGUUCUCAAAUUUCAACCUAUAAAUUCCAUGUAAUCUAGGGGUUAAAUCAUAAGAAAUUGUUGACCCAUGCUAGCUGUUGUUUAUUUCAUCGAUUCAUUAAAUUGGAAAAUUCCUUGUUUAGGUUGUAAAAUCAACUCACCUAGUCUUUAGAGCCUUUAAAGAUCUGUAAAAUAUUUUUUUUAAAAGUCCUGUUGUCUAUGGUUGGUCAUGAAGCCCAAUAGAUUGGAGGCUUGAGCUCCUAUUUGAAAUCUUUAACUUAAUUUUGCAAUAUAAUUUUGGGCCUUUUAAGUCAAGUAGCGGACUUGAGCUAAAGGAUUCUUCAGUGAUGGAGAUCGCCUAUUUCGAGUUUGGGCUUGAGAUUAGGGCCGGAAUUUACUUGAAUACCAUAUUUUUAAUUCACAGUGUUAACAAAAUAAGUUUUAGAGACAAUACUUAAUAGAAAAUCAUAGUUCCUUUAGGUUAGCCUUAAAACAACCGAGCUAAAGGAUUCCUCAGUAAUGGAGAUCGCCUUGUUUGAGUUCGGGCUUGAGCUUGGGGCCCGAAUUUCCUUGAAUACCAUAAUGUUAGUUAAUGCAUAAUGUUAACAAAAUAAGUUUUUUUUAGAGACAAUACUUAAUAGAAAACCAUAGUUCCUUUAUGUUAGCCUUAAAAUAAGCGAGGUGCGACCCACCAAACAAAAUGCAUAAAUUGCGGGGCCCUCUCUGAUUGUUAUACUAAAACACAUAGAAUUCGGGAUGUGCCAUUUAGCGAACUUUCAUGGCCUCCCGCACAUUUAAUAACACGUUAGUUGCUUUAGGUGUGCUUUUAAUAAUUAUACCUUCCUAGAUACGAGUGUGCAUUCCAUACGACCCAAAUCCAAAUCCCAAAAUGUUGAAUAACAUGUGUCGAGGAUCCGGGUGCAUUUCAUGUGACGUGAUCAAAAAGCAUAUUUUUAAACGACGUUCCAUUUCUUAAAAAAAUUAAUGAAAAGCGGUAAAUAAUUAAAAAUUAUGCUAUAGGAUGAACAAAAACAUAUUUUUAAACGACGUUCCAUUUCUUAAAAUUUUUAAUCAAAGUGGUAAAUAAUUAAAAAUUAUGCCAUAGGAUGAAUAUAUUUUGAAAUCAUAUAAUUAAGCCGAAUUUGAUAGUUGAGCGACGGUGCUAGAACCACGAAAUUCGGGAGUUCCUAACACCUUCUCUCGGAUUAACAGAAUUCCUUUCCCGGAUUUCUGGUUUGCAGACUGUUAAAUAGAGUCAAACUUUCCUCGAUUCAGGAUCAAAACCGGUGAUUUGGGACACCAUUAAUUAUCCCCAGUGGCGACUCUAAAAUCUUUAAAUAAUUGAAUCCUAUUUCAAUUGUCCUUAACUUGGAAAAACUCCCUUAACUGUGUCCUUCGCGGGGUUGUAGUGCAAAACAGAGGUGUGACAAGGGAAUCUUUGAAAGCUGAUUGAGGAAGCUUCUAAGAAGCUUGGGUGGGGACUAAAUUGAAGUUCUGAAUUUUAUACUAGUGGUACCUAAGCUAAAAUGAAUAUAUCAAAAGGUGCAGAGUGCAAAUUUGAUUACCUUUUAGCUGACCUAAUAGCUUGCCUACAAAGGCACAUUUACUUGAUAUUCAAGUCAGACUUUGGAAGAGAAAAAAAGCUAAAAAACUGAGACGGCUGAAAUACUUUGAUAACAUAAAUUCUCCUACAUUUUCUUGGUGAAAAUUGCUCAAAAACUCUGUUUAAAGUUGAAUAUCCUCUCCACUAGAUAGAACCCCCUGGAAGUCUAGAUUCUGCAUUUGUUUGAAAAUGGCUUAUUUUUGGGUUUUGAAAAGAUAGUAUGAAGCUGUUUGGUUUCUGGGUCACUUUUUCGUUGAUUGAAAUUCUGAAUUAUUUCUGUUGUUUGCUUCCUCUUUUCUGACACUACUCUGCUGCUGCUAAUCUCUCAAUUUCAUAUUUCUUCUGAUUUCAAGGUAUUGCUUUAGCCCAUGAACAACUAGUGACUGUUGAACAUGUAACUCAAUUGAAAUUUUGAUUGAAUGAAAGCUGCAUUUGAAUUUAGUUUCCUUGUUUAUCUUGUUGCUUCAAUAUUCUGUAGUUAGAUCUUAAAUUACAAACGUCAGUUAGGCCUUCUCUUUUAUUAAUUGCAUAUUAUGAAUCCAUGUACGAGAAUAAAAUGUUCUGAAUAUGUGUUUGAAAGUAAGAGUAAAUCUAGUUUUGUAAUGAUAAAUAACCUAUGGACUCAGCUAUUUAGUUUUCUUUUUUAAUGAGUUCGAGCGUAUGUUGGGUAAAGGAGCCGUCAAGGUUUUGCAGUAGGUGUUAUUUUUUAUGAUUCUGGUUGUAGGCCUUUGUUCAAUUUCUAUAAAGAUUAGUGUAGUUGUAGCAUUGAUGUCCAUUUGAAUUCAUUGAAAUGCUAAGUAUAGGCUUGUACGUCUUUAUUGACUUACACAAAUUCUAUUUUGUAAGCAUGUUCAUUCUGAGCUUAAGGUUUAGAUUCAUGUCUAUUUACUGGGUCACCCCAUAGAUUUUCAUUUAUGAUUCAUGCAUUGAGCAAAAGUUUAAGUAAACUUGGGGGUUUCAUAAUUUUCUCUUGAAGCUAGUUGAAAGUUGAUUUCCAGCAUGAUGAUCAAAUGAUUGCUUGAUUUAAGAAUUUUUGUUCAGAAUGUUUAUCUGAUCGUUCCAUGUUGGAACAAUUAAAAUCUGGAGGCCAACUGUUUUUUAUUCGCAUGUCUCUUGGAUCCAAAUUCGUAUUGGCCUUGCUUUGCGUUAGUUUGCUUCAAAUGAAUGUCAACCCCAACGCUUUCUUACUUUUCUUUUACAUUAAAUUAAUUUAGGAUCUCUAUAAUGAUAGAGUCUGCUUUGAAUGAUCCACAUUCUCAUUUUUGGGCCUAGAUUCGAGGUGGCCCAGCUAACUCCUCGAGGAGUCCUCUUUACACUCCCGAACUUAGGUUGUCCCAUAGUCCAUCUCCUUUUAAAGGAGGUUCUGGCUUUCAAACCUGUGGCAAGUCUCAAUUUGUUUCCCCAAGCCUACCUAUAGAUAAUGCAUCCCAUAUAUGUCGACUGGAGCAAUGUAAAUGGAAUAUCACGUGGUUGAAGUUCAUUUAGCUUUUAAAUUUAUCAUGAUCUUAGUGUGGUUUGAGGCGAGCUAUAUUAGAUAAGUUAUAAUUUAUGGCCUCCAUAGCUAGUUUAGAAACUCUUUUACUAUGAUAAUUCGAGGUGCUAUGCCAAGCAAAGUCUAAAAUUGCAUGGUCCUAGUUUAAUUGAUAUUUUUAUCCUUAGAAAUCGAGGCGCGCCAUAUAAGAAAAUUUUUCACGACCCUCGCAAAGUUGCAAAUGUGUAGUUGCUUUAGGCGCAUUAUUUUAAUAAUUUACCUUCAUAAACUUGGGAACGCAUUUAUGUAACCCAAAAUCCAAAUCUCAACAAUAUUAGAUAAAAUAUGUCGAGAGCCGCAGGUGUAUUUAUGUGAUAUGGUUCAAGACGUAUUUUAAAUGACGUUGCAAUUUUCCUUAAAAUAAUUAAAAGAGGAUAUUAAGUUAAAGUUGAAUCAUAGGUUAAGACAUGUUUUAAAAUCAGAUAAAUAGGCCAAUAAUAACAGUUGAAAGAUCGUGCUAGAACCACAGAACUCGAGAAUGCCUAACACCUUCUUCGGGUUAACGAAUUCCUUACCCGAAUUUUUGUGUUCGCAGACUGUAAAUCAGAGUCAAUCUUUCCUCAAUUCAGGAUUUAAACUGGUGACUUUGGACACCAUAAAUUAUCCCAAGUGGCGACUCUGAUCUUAAUUAAAAUAAUCCUGUUUUGAUUGUCACUUAAAUUGGAAAAAACUCCCCUAUACUUCCUUUCGGGGUAUAGGAGAAAGGAGGUGUGACAGGUCUGGAGACUUUGUUGGGGAAUAAGAACCCAUAAUCUCUGGUGCAGGGUUCAAAAUUUAAGCUUAGAAUAACUGCUAUAUGAUUUUAUUACAUGUUUGGGCCUAAUGUGGUAAAUGUUGCUUUUACUUCUUUGAUAUUAUCUGAACUGUAUAUAAACUGCUACGAAACCUUUCUCUUCUCAUCUUAGGGGAUAUGCACGCUGCCAUGACUCCCUGUUCUGUUAGGUUCAUACCUUGAAAUAAGAAAGAGGCUCGGACAAGUUACCAAGCCAGAUGGCCUUUUGGUUCCCUAUAUGUAGUCCCUUCCUCGGCUCUAGUUGUCCGCUCCAAGUCUAGAACAAUACACCCUGGUUUUGUACUUAGAAUAACUUAGCCUCAUGCCGGAUCCCUAGUAGGAAUGUAUGUUUGCAUCAUGUGCAUUUAACUUUGGAGACUCAACACAGGGGUUGGGUUUGUCUAAGACAGGUGUACCCGAAAUGAAAAAGACCAUUCUGAUGCAUGCUACUUGCUACUUAUGCAUUCAUUUGCUUCAGAUUUACAUGUUGACCGAAUUAUAGGGAAAAGUUGAGAGAAGGAAAAGUAAAUGUGAGGACUGAGAGAGAUAAUUGCCUGUUUCAAAAAUCAAUGUCCAAAAUAUACUGAAAAUACAUCGAAAUUUUGAAAAAAAUUUUAUUUUUAAAGAAAAAAUUAGAGUUAGUUUUUGUUUUGUCAAAUUUGCCUAAACUACGCCAGUUUGAUUCUCACCGGAUGUGGGAUACAUAGGCAACCCCCAUUGGAUCCAACUUCCCCUUUUUUCAAAAAAUAGCCCAAGUAGAACCAAAAUUUUUUAUUGCUUUGCAGUGAAUAAGUAAGGUGAAGCCAGUCUUUUCAAAAAUAGCCGAAUGUCCCCAAAAGGACGCCGGAAAGCUAUUUUUGCAAGAACAGCCACCUUUGGUCUCUUUUUCCAUUUUUGACCGGUUAGCAAGCACAGCCUUAAAAUCUUCUCCCAGAAGUGUUGAAAGGUUGUAGUUGCAAAGUCAGGUUUUUAUUUUGAAAUUAAAAUUUAAAAAAAAUAGUGUUAACUUUGGUUUUGAGUUAAAUGAGUCAUGAUUUUUCUUAAUCACCUUAAUAAAUAUGUAGAAUGAGCACGAGUCAAAAUUUGCCAGUAAUAGUCAUGAACAAGAUCCCUUUGGAGGUGCAUAUGUGGUUAGAAGAUCUGGGUAAAUCAGGGCAAGAUAGGGUUAAGUUAUACUUGGGAGGUUUCACCGGGUUAUUGAAGAUCAAGCCUAGAGGAGACAUCAUAAAGGUGUUGGUAAUGUUCUGGGACCCGGCUCAUAACGUGUUUCAUUUCUCAUAAUUUGAACUCACACCAACUUUGGAAUAAAUAGCCAGAUAUAUUGGGAGCACUGAGGUUCCUCUCAGAGACAAGUAUUUGAUUGCUCCAAGAGUCGCCAUUAUGCAUAUGUUCCUAGAUUUCUUAAAGUUAAGCAGGGGGUCCACAACAAAAAUUUGGUAGAUGGCUUCUCCACUCUGCAGUUUAUAUACUAGUGAUAUGGACACAUAGGGGGGUUUAACAAUCCAGAAAGCAAAAUCUGUAGCGAAGGAAGUCGCCUCAAAUGGGAAGAACUCAUGUGUUUUGUUUUUAUGAUGGUAUUCUUGGGUCUUCUGGUUAUUCCCAGGUAAGAUGGUAAUAUCGAUAUACAGAUAGUUGGGUUCGUCGGAACUUUGCUUACUCAGGCUAAAAGAACUUUCACACCCAUGAUAGUGUCCGAAAUCUUCCGCGCUCUCACAACCUGCAAAGCUAGAGGAGACUUUCUCGAAGGGUGCAAUCUCUUGCUAAAAAUGAGGAUGAUUAAAUAUCUAUGUCAUCGUCCUCAAUACAUGAGCUAUGGGUCAACAGAGAAAAACUGAAUAGAGGAGUUUUAUACAAGGGUUUAUGGGUUUAGCAUGCCAGAAGGGGUCAAAGAAUUGAUAUCACAUCUCCGUUCCGUCACUGCAGAUCAAAUAGAAUAAACGUUCGGGUGGCUUCCUAUAGAUGAAAUCAUAUACAUGCCAGCUAUCGGGCCUCAUUUCCUCCUAAUGGGUCUCAAAAGUAUCCAGCCUUAUGCCCCAUACCAGGUUUUGAGACAGCUGGGAAGAUGUCAAAUAGUUCCAAAAGAUUAAGACCUUAGUGCUCACGUAGUCAAAAUUGGUGCUGGUGGUCAGUUUCAUAAAGCAACAGUUCGCCAGAUUUGCAACGAGUGCCAAUACUUGACAGCAAGCACCCAAGUGGGUGAUUUAUCCAAAAGUGAUGUUUCCCCGGGGUACCUUGCCUGGAAUAAAAGGGAAGUUGAGUUUGGAAGGCCGGCCAAAAGACCCCAUCUUUAUGAAUUUGUCAAGGCGUAACAAGCGCCAAUGAGAUUGGAUGGCCAAAGAAAACGAGUUUAGGGCCACCAUAAGCAAGAUGGAAAAGCAAGUCAAGGAUCUUCAAUUUGAGAAUGGUCUGCAAGCUGCCGUGAAUGAGGGUGAGAAGAAAAAGCUAGCAAAGGAAAAUGACGCCCUUCGAGCCCAAAUUCGGGAAAUGAAAAUAGCGACCGAAAAUCCCGCCAGAAGUGCAAAAGAUGGAAAGCUUAUAGAUAAUCUUAGGUGGAAGGUAAGUGAGUAUGGUUUUGAUUUGAACAAGGUAGAAGGUGAACUAGCAAGGGCUCGAACAAAGCUGGCUAAGAAUGCGGAAGAACGCGCAUGCUUGGUUAAACAGUUAAAAGGUAAAUUUGACUAUGAGGUUGUAAGGUUGAAGAGAAGGGUCACCAUCUUUGAGAACAAAAUAAUCAAGCAGUAAAAAUACUUUAAGGAAGAAAGAGAACAUUGUUAUACAGCGAUGGCACAGUUAGAAAGAGAUCUAUAACAACUUCAAGAACAGAAUCAUAUAGCUGAACAAACUUUAGAAUCUAAGGCCUAACAGAAAAGGGCAUCAUAAGAGAAAGGUUCAGAAGGAUCGUUGACUACAUCACAACGAAAAGCAAUGAGUGUGACGACAUGACCAGAUCCAUGUUCUUUGCCACUGUGAUGACCUUUGUCCGCCAGAUAAUGGAAGACCUUUAUCAUCUCCAAGGGGAUUUGGCGCGUAGGCCCAUGCCGAGACCGAAUGAUGUCCCUUAGGCCCCAGAAAUAGUUGAGGCAUUGAUGUAUUCAUGAUUUUUGUGGGAGUCUGUUAGUUUGUUUUCAAGUCUGUAUUGGCGUCCUUCUAUUGGGGUCUGUUAGUCUAUUUUUGAGUCUGUGUUUUAUCUUUUUGUUGGAGUCUGUUAAUUUCCCUUUUUGAGUCUAUUAGUUUUUAUGAUUAAAUAUGAUAUGACAAGUUACUGUAAUCAGAAUGGUUUCGUUUUAUAGAAAUAAGAGAGCAAAAAACAACGAGAAUUCAAGCAGAGAAAGCCAUGAGUGAAAAAGAAAGAAGAAGAAGUUGCAAAUGAAAAUAAGGGAAAGGCGGGAUGACGCAAGCAACCGAUCAAAUGCAUAUGGUUAACUAUUUAGGUGCAUUACAUUACCAAAUGUGUGGUUGCCUAUCAGUUAAGCUCUAACUUCUAACAAGUUUGUUGUUGAUAAUGAGUACAGGAAGGUGGUUAGUUUAAUUGGCAUUCUGGCAACUCACUCAUACAACUCCGGUCCAAAAACAAGUUGAUCAUUGCCAACCAAGAACUUGAUGCAAGCGUUAUCGAUCUGUUGAGGGAGGGGGAGGAGUCGGACGUUAACCUUAAAGAAAAGUUGUGUGAGCUGAAACAACAAAUGGUUGAAAUGUACCAUGCAUGGGUAAAAGGGCACCCACCACCAGCUUACCCCGCCAACCCCCCUUUCAUCCCACCAUUGACUCAGUCCUAGGAACCUCCCACCACUAAUUCGUCCCCAUCUUUCCCAUUUAUCACCACUAUCACGGUACCACCUCCCAAAUACCACAAGCUCCACCACCCAAACAAGUUUUAUACCUUCCUCCACUAGUCACUCAUGUUUUCUUGGCACUUCCACCAGCUACACUCCACCGAUCUUCCAGUGAGCCUUUAUUCUAGGUCCAAGAUAGCCAAUAUUACCCCCUCCCGGAGCCUACUUUUAAGGCUCCAUAACCUUACUCCUAUACUCAUCACUUCGAUCCCCCUGUAGAAACUGAGAAACCAUCUAAGAAUCCCGAACAAGAGGAGAUGUUGAGAAAGGUCAAAAGCCUGGAGCAGUCAUUCAGGAAUAUGCAAGGAUCUCUGUUUAUUUCCAGAUGUUCAGUUGCCGGUGGGAUUUUAGAUUCCCAAGUUUGAUUUGUAUGAUGAGUACGGAGAUCCGGUGGCACACUUGAGAGGUUUUUGUAGAAAAAUAAGGGAAGCUGGCAGGAAAGACGAGUUACUAAUGGCAUACUUUAGUCAAAGUCUAAGUGGUUCGACACUGGAGUGGUACACUUGGUAGGACCACGAUCGAUGGUAUACAUGGGAUGAUCUAGCCCAAACAUUUGCUUGUCAUUUCCCGUAUAACCUUGAGAUUAUUCUGGAUCGUUUGUCUCUGAAAAAGAUUGAGAAAACGCAUACCGAAAGCUUUAGGGAGUAUGGUUUUUGGUGGAGAGAGCAAGAAGAGAGAGUUGACCCUCCAAUGAAAGAAAAUGAAAUGGUGGAUUAUUUUCUGCAAGCCCUAGAACCUACUUAUUACGGCCAUGUGGUAUCAGCUAUAGGCAAGUCCUUCAGUAAAGUAGUGAAGAUGGGUGGUAUGGUAGAAGAAGGGCUUAAGUCAAACAAAGUCAUGCGCUAUUUGGCAAAUAAGACAACUACCCAGGCCAUUCAAGGUGGUACUGGGGGGUGUAACUGGAAAGAAGAAGAAAUAGGAUGUAGCAACAAUUGAUUCAAGAGCUUGGUUCGGACCUAGGAACUCGUCUCACCGCUAUAAUCAGCCUUGACCCCAUUACCAAACCUAUACCCAUACCCCGUAUAAUCCACCCCAACAUUACUACCUACCAACACACCCCUAUUUUUCUAUCCACCAUGCCCAAAUAUACAUCCAACCUCCCGCCCACACAAUGGCGUGCGCCAGCCCCACAAAUACCUAGUGGCCCCCACGAGCCUACCAAAACCCUUCUAGACCAGAUUUCAGGACCAAUCAAGCAUUUAAGAGCGAGAGGUUGCAGAAGAAGAAAACCUUCACUUUGUUGGGAGAAUCCUAUACUAGUUUGUUCCACAUGCUAAGACAACUGGAUAUGCUAAGGCCAAUCGAGUCAAAAUUGCCAAAUUCCCCCCCGAUAAAUCUCGAUUAUUCUGUAAGCAGUGAAUAUUGUUCUGGUGCUUCGGGACAUGACAUAGAGAAAUGCUGGCAUCUGAAAAAUUCUAUCCAAGAGCUCAUUGAUACAAAUCGGAUUGAAGUUCAAGCUCUAGAGGCACCCAACAUCAACCAGAACUAGCUACCAACCCGUCAAUAGACAAACAUGAUUGAGAUAGUGCAUAACGAAGGGCAACCCAAAAAGCCUUCGCAGACCAUCAUGACGAUCUGAUCCAGUGAGGUAAAGCUGGUUGAAAACUCAACAAGUGAAAAAUCAAUUAUCAAGUUGAACGGGACUAACAGUGAACCAUCUGUGGUAGUCGAGAAGGGGUCCCCAAGUGAUGUUGCAGCGAAACAAGAAAGGGCAAAAGUGAUGGUGCCAGGAGUGGUGAACAAGCCUGUUGUAAUUGUGGAGGGUGCCCACAUAGGUCCUAUCAUUAUCAAGCCUGUAAUCUAGUUACUUAUAGUCAACAGCAAGGCUAUCCCUUGGAAUUAUGAACGGGUGACAGUGACUUACAAAGGAAAAGAAGUUAAAGAAGAAGUCUAUGAGACCUAUGGAUUGACUCAUUCAAUGUGAUGCUUUGCCCCCGAGGAGUUAAGAAAGGCUAAAACCUCCAAAGAUAACCCAGUUUUGGUGAAGAAAGUUGUGACAGAAGAAGAGGCUGAAGAGUUUUUGAGAAAGAUGAAGGUGCAAGACUAUUCCAUUGUAAAGUAGUUGAGGAAGACGCUUGCUCAGAUUUCACAGUUGUCAUUGUUAAUCCCUUUAUACAAGCACCGUAGGAACUUGAUGUAAAUCAUGAACGAGGCUCACGUUCCCGAAAAAUCUCAGUAAACCAUUUGGAAAGAUAGCCAACAAGUGUUUGAGGUAAACAUAGUCACUUUUUCUGAUUUUGAGUUGCCCAUGGAGGGUACUGAGCACAAUAGAGCCCUCUAUCUUACGGUGAAAUGUGAACAUUUCGUGGUUACUCGGGUAUUGGUCGACAAUGGUUCUAGUGCGAAAAUUUACCCUCUCUCUACUUUAAACAUGUUGAAAGUGGAUGAUGAAAGAAUUUAUAAGAAUAGUAUCUACUUUCGGGGAUUUGAUGGUAGGGGGAAAGAUUCAGUCGGUGAUAUAGUGCUUGAGCUGAUAAUAGCACCAGUUGAAUUCACCAUGGAGUUCCAGGUGAUUGAUGUAGGUGUUUCCUACAAUCUGCUAUUAGGUCGACCUUGAAUUCAUGCCGCCAUAGCUGUCCCGUCUACUCUACACCAGAUGGUCAAGUUUGAAUGGGAUAGACAAGAAAUUGUUGUUCACGGCGAGGAUAAUUUGUGUGCUCCCAAUGAUGUCGUUGUUCCGUUCAUUGAGUUUGAAGAAGACAAUGGGCCUUGGGUCUACAUGUUAUUAACACAGUAACGAUCAAGAAAAUUUCGGAAGGGAAGUGCGUUCUAAUUUCGAAGGUGGCCACGUCAAUCAUGGUAGCCUUUGAAAUGUUUAAAAAUGGUUUUGUACAUGGUAAGGGUUUGGGUGCAUCUCUUCAGGGUAUCAUACAGCCGACGUCUCUUCCUCAAAAUUUGGGUACAGUUUGUCUUGGGUUCAAGCCCACAGCCGCAGACAUGAAAAGAGAUAAAAAGUUGAAACAGAGGUUGUGGUCCUUCCGAAGCCUAUCCCACGUCUCUCCAAGCUUGUUUGUCAAUCCUGGCACCAGGAAACGCCCAGUAACAAUAGUUCACAGUGCUAUGGUUGGUCUUGAUAAAGGGUUGGUUGAAAAUUUUGAGAAGUUGUUUGACAAUAUGAACAUGGUGGAAGUAGGAUAAAGAUCUAGCAAAGUGGAUGUGCAAUUUGUCGGGCCAACUGCAAAUCUUAACAAUUAGGAAGCUACUCCUCUUCCCACCCGGAAGGAGUUUUGGUAGUUUGCUUUGAUUUUCUUUAAGUUUAUCUGGAUUAUUCCAGGGUUGUAAUUCAGAUUCUAUGUUCCGUCCAAUUGGAUGUGUAAAUAUUGUUAUCCUUUAUGUUUAAUGAAAUGCAAUUUUCCUUUUUCAUCAUUCCUGAUAGUUUUAUUUUUGUUUUUCUUUUCUUUCUUGUACAGUUCUUUUUAUGUUGGUUUCAAUGACAUGACAUGCAUGAGGAAUCUUCAGCCAAGUCAUAAAAGACAAUCUAAUUCUGAAAUAAUAAUUCAAGAAAUAGAGUGUGAUGAUGAAUCAGAAUAUGAUGAGGAUAAGGCCUUUAAAGAGAUUAGUAGAGAAUUAAGCCAUUUUGAAGAAAAACCCAAGCCUAACCUGAGUGAUACAGAAGCAAUCAAUUUCAUGGACCUAGAUAAUAUCAAAGAAACUAAGAUAAGUGUCCAUCUUGAACUGCAAACCAGGGAAGAGAUAAUUAAAGUAUUGUCUAAAUACAAAGAUAUUUUUGCAUUGUCAUAUGAAGACAUGCCGGAUCUAAGCACUGACUUGGUGGUUCACAAAUUGCCCACUGAUCCGACAUUCCCUCCUGUCAAGCAGAAGUUGAGGAAGUUCAAAACUAACAUGAGUGUGAAGAUUAAAGAAGAGGUCACAAAGCAGUUGAUGCAAGGGUCAUUCGAGUCAUGUGGUAUCCCACUUGGUUAGCCAAUGUUGUGUGUAUGCCAAAGAAGGAAGGUAAGACCAGGGUGUGUGUUGAUUACCGUGAUCUCAACAAGGCAAGUCCAAAGGACAACUUCCCACUGCCAAAUAUCCACAUUUUGAUUGAUAGUUGCGCCAAGUAUGAGAUUGGAUCUUUUGUGGAUUGCUAUGCGGACUACCAUCAGAUUUUAAUGGACGAGGAAGAUGCGUAAAAGAAGACAUUCAUCAUGCCAUGGGGAAUAUAUUGCUAUUAGGUCAUGCCUUUCAGUUUGAAAAAUGCUGGGGCAACUUACAUGAGGGCAAUGACGACCAUAUUCCAUGAGAUGAUACACAAGGAGAUCGAGGUUUUUGUGGAUGAUGUAAUCAUAAAGUCCUGAAAGCAAUUUGACCUUGUCAGAGAUUUGAGAAAGUUCUUUCAAAGGCUUGGCAGGUACAAUCUGAAGCUCAAUCCUGCAAACUGUGCAUUCGGUGUUCAAUAUGGAAAACUGAUGGGAUUCAUAGUCAACCAUCGAGGUAUUGGAUUGGACCCGUCAAAGAUCAAAGCUAUCCAAGAAUUGCCGCCCCCAAGGAAUAAGAGUGAGGUGAUGAGUCUAUUAGGGAGGUUGAACUACAUCAACAGGUUUAUUGCCCAACAUAUGACAAACUGUGAGCCCAUCUUCAAACUGUUAAAGAAGGAUGAUACGGUCAACUAGAUUGAUGAGUGUCAAGAAGCAUUUGAUAAUAUGAGUGUCGAACCCACCUGUGUUGGUCCCGCCAGAACCGGGGAGACCUUUGAUUCUGUAUUUGACGGUCUUAGACAAUUGUUUUGGAUGUGUGGGGGGUCAGCAAAACAUUAUCAGCAGGAAGGAGCAGGCCAUCUAUUAUCUCAGCAAGAAGUUCACAUCAUAUGAGGUUAAGUACACUCACCUUGAAAAGACAUGUUGUGCCCUAACUUGGGUAGCACAGAAGUUGAAGCACUAUUUGUCAUCUUACACUACUUACCUCAUUUCUCGUUUGGAUCUGUUAAAGUAUAUCUUCCAAAAGCCUAUGCCCACAAGCCGGCUCGCAAAGUGAGAGAUCUUGCUCACAAAAUUUUACAUCGUCUAUGUGGCUCGGACUGCUAUGAAAUCCCAGGCAUUGGCCGACCAUUUGGCUGAGAACCCGGUGGAUGAAGCAUAUGAACCUUAAAGACUUACUUCCUUGACGAAGAGGUGAUGCACAUCAAUGAGCUGGAACAAGUUGAAGAGCCAGGUUGGAAACUUUUCUUUGAUUGAGCUGGUAAUACGAAAGGCAUUGGUAUAGGAGUUGUACUUAGUUCUGAAAUAGGUCAUCAUUACCAUAUUACGGCUCAACUUCGUUUCUAGUGUACCAACAACAUGGCUGAGUACGAGGUGUGCAUUUUGGGUUUGAGGUUAGCUGCAGAGAUGGGUGUCCAGGAAGUCUUGGUCUUGGGAGACUCAGACCUUCUAGUGCACCAAAUUCAAGGAGAAUGGGAAACAUGAGAUUUAUAACUCAUACCAUAACUAUAGUGUUUGCAUAAUCUUUGUCAAUAGUUUCGAUCAGUAAAGUUCAAGCACAUUCCGAGGAUCCAUAAUGAGGUUGCCAAUGCUUUGGCUACUCUGGCAUCAAUGUUACAUUAUCCUUAUGCUGACCCUUUGCACAUUCAGGUCCGCAAUUAGCACGUUUACUGUAACAUGGUGGAAGAAGAACUUGAUGGUGAUCCAUGGUUCCACGAUAUCAAGGAGUAUAUAAGGAUGAGAGUGUACCCAAUGCAAACCAUAGGUGAUCAAAAGAGAGAAAUUCAUCGUUUGGCAUGUGGAUUUUUCUUCAGUGAAGGAGUUUUCUACAAAAGGACUCCAGAUCUUCGAUUGGUAAGAUGCAUAGAUUCUAGACAAGCCACAGCUAUCAUGACCGAAGUACAUAUUGGAGUCUAUGGACCGCAUAUGAAUGGGUACAUUCUGGCAAAGAAGAUUCUCCGAGCAGGUUAUUAUUGGCUCACCAUGGAGCGAGAUUGUAUCAGUUUUGUGCGCAAGUGUCAUCAAUGUCAAGUGCACGGAUUUGAUUCAUUCUCCGCCAUCUGAAUUGCAUACAAUAUCUGCACCAUGGCACUUUGUUGCUUGGGGUAUAGAUGUCAUUGGACCAAUUGAACCGGCAACAUCCAAUGGACAUAGGUUCAUUCUGGUAGCCAUUAACUAUUCACCAAGUGGGUUGAAGCUAAAACUUUCAAGUAUGUGACCAAGAAGGUAGUGGUCGAUUUUGUUCACUCAAAUAUCAUUUGUCGGUUCGGGAUUCAGAAAGUUCUCAUCAUAAAUAAUGGUGCUAAUCUCAACAGUCAUUUGAUGAAAACGGUAUGUCAACAGUUUAAGAUUACGCAUUGCAAUUCCAUCCCAUAUUGCCCUAAAGCGAAUGGAGCAGUCGAGGCAGCCAACAAGAACAUAAAGAAGAUACUUUAGAAAAUAGUCGAAUGUUCUAGGCAGUGGCAUGAAAAGCUGCCACUUUUGUUAUUGGGUUAUCGCACUACUGUUUGCACUUCAAUAGGGGCAACUCCUUAUUUGUUGUUAUAUGGCAUAGAAGCAGCGAUACCCGCGGAAGUUGAAAUUUCAUCCCUUCAGAUCGUCAUUGUAACCAAAAUUGAUGAUGAUGAGUGGGUCAAAGCCCACUUGGAGCAAUUGAGUUUGAUCGAUGAGAAAAGAUUGGCAGCAGUGUGUCAUGGCAAGUUGUAUCAAUAGAGAAUAGCAAGAACAUAUAACAAGAAGGUUCGUCCAUGGAAGUUUGAAGUGGGUCAACAAGUAUUGAAAUGUAUCCUUCCGCAUCAGGCGGAAGCAAAAGGCAAGUUUGCCCCAAAUUGGCAGGGGUCAUUCAUCGUAACGAGAGUGUUGUCCAAUGGUGCUUUGUAUUUAACAAAUAUAGAAGGCAAAUGUGUAGAAAUGGCUAUGAACUCUGGUGCAGUCAAAAGAUAUUAUGUAUGAUUUCUUUGGUUAAGUUGUGUUUGUUUGUACUUGCCAUGUUUUGAAGAUUGGAAUUACAAAGGCACUUUGUUCAGCUAUCUAAACACUUUAUCAUUUGUUACCCCUUUUGAGCCAUAUUUAUUUCCUUUCAUACCCCUCUUUUAGAAUUAGUAUUAAAGUUCUGAUGAAAGCGCAAAAUAUAAGUAAAGGAAAAGAGAAAAAAGAAAAAAAAGACACAAAAAAAAAAGAAGAAAAGGAGAAAGAAAAAACAACAACAAAACAGCAAAAAGAGAAAAAGGAAAAAGAUAAGAGAGAAAUAAAAGAAUGAGAAAAGAUAAAAUCACAACAACAAAGCAAUUUCUAUGACAUGAACUACGUUCCACCUGAUUCCUUUUAAGGAGUAGGCAGCCUCACGGUUCGUUACCAUCAAAAUAAAAAUCUAAAAAUCUCCAAGCAAAGAACCCGGGGCAGAAGUUGUGGUUAUGUAAAAGAUCUGAUUCCAAAAGUUGUAAGCUUGAAUCCAUUCAAGUUGUUUUGAGCCUUCGUGAUACCCUUUCUUUCCAACCCUAUCCAAAAACACACAUUACGGUCCAAAGAAAGACAUUUCGACCAGUCUUUGAAAGAUGUCGAGUUGAGCAAGCAGAGGUUAUUCAUAGCAGGGGAAAAACUCUGGUCUAAGCAAGAAAAAAUGAAAAAAAUGAGAGAGUCUUAUUGGUGAAAACCCUCUUGGGCACCGCAAAGCGAUGAAAGCUGAGAGAAAUAAAAAAUGAGAGAGUCUUAUUAGUGAAAACCGUCCCGGGCACCGUAAAUCAACAGUGAGUUGAGAGAUGAACAAAUGAGAGAGGUUUGUUGGUGAAAACCCUUCAGGGCAGGCCGAACACGGACAAAGUUUUGGCAAAAAAAUUAGGUUUUGAAGAUCUCAGGGCAUAAAGUACGACGACUAGAAGUUGAAUUGUUUGACGAACGGGGCUGAUUAAUCCAAAAUGAAUGUCAUGAUCAUUGGUACCAGCUACACCACUCAGAUAAGUCUCUCUUCUUUUCCCUUCAAACAGUCAUCCAGUUUUGUAUUUUCUUCUUUAUUCCUAAUUCUCAAGGUCAUUGCAUUUCAUUUCUUUUGGGAUUAUUUUAAUAAAAUGUGUUCAAUGUCAGUUGUGUUUAAGCAAAUAAGAAAGGAUUUCAAAGCUCACUACCAAUAUCCAAAGUUGCACAAAGCAUAGUGCGGCCAAAGCAUGCCAGAGUUAGUACGGUGUAAAAUGGGAUGUAAAGCGUCAGAGAAAGUUCCAUUGGUGGAAUGGUUUUGUAAUUUCAUGGGAGAUGUAGAGGUUCAGAUAGAUGGGUCAGAGAUGUAACACAACAGUUAGGUAUACAACACUCAGGUCAUCCAAGGUCAUGUGGGUAAAAGUCAGUCAGGAAGUCAAGCGAUUCUUGGCCAGUUCGGGGAAGCCAGUCAAAGCAGAACACGGCAGCGGAAAGGCCGCCCUCAACGAGAAUGCCACAAACUAACCACCACAUUUUAAAAUGACACGAUUUUUCUUUGAUUGAAACAGGGGCAUAAAAUCUCAUUUGUUUUGGUGAAACCCUUUGCAAUGAAAAGUUUGUUUUCAAAUUUUAACUAAGUCACAUUGUCUAGUUAAAAUUCAAAAUGUUCAUAAGUAACAAUAUCUAACAUAAGCUCUACUUUAAGGAAAUAUAAGUUGGUUUUCAAAUUUUCAUUCCAAGGACGAGACUCAAUUGGAAAUUUAUAGGACCCUCCUGGAUAAUGGGACUUAAUUUAAAUUUUUCAGUAUCCUCCUAGAAAAUGGGACCUUAUUUAAAAUUCAAAACAAUCAUGAGUAGAAAAAUCCAGCAUAAAUGUACCAAAGGAAAAUAAAUUGGCUUCGAAUUUUUUAUGCUUGAGAUAGGACUUAACUUAAAAUCUUUAAGACCCUCCUAAAUAAUGAGACUUAGCUUUAAUAUUUCCAUUAGAUAACAAUAUCUAGCGUACGUUCUGCUGUAGCGCAGUAUAAUUUAGCCGGGAAAGUUGUCACUCUUGAGAUAAGAUUUCAGGAUCCUCCUAGAUAAUGAGAUAUAGGUUUAAGACUCUCUCAGAUAACAAGAUUUAGCAGAAGUCAUACCUUUAGAAGAUAUAAUUUAGAUUAAAAACUGUCGUUUGACUAGGAGUUUUCAUGACCCUCCUAGAUAAUGGGAUUUAGAUUUCAAAUUUUUAGAGAUAUUUGGUAACAUGAUUCAAUUAACACUAACAGAUAUGCCCAGCUGCCAAACUUGGGCAGAAAAUUUGUGUUGUUUUGUCUAUUUUGUUGAAAUCAGGCGUCCACUUGGAAAGCAAGGAAAUACAGCUAAAGUUUUGGUAAUCUGGCGACCACCCGGAGAACAAAGGAAAUACACCUAAAGUUUUCGUAAUCAGGCACCCAUCUAGAAAGCAAGGGAAUACAAUUAAAGUUUUGGUAAUCAGGCGAGCACCUGAAGAGCAAGGGAAUACAAUUCAAGUUUUAGAAAUCAGGCACCAACCUAGAGAACAAAGGGAAUACAGCUAAAGUUUUGGUAAUCAGCCACCCACCUCAAAAGCAAGAGAAUACAAUUAAAGUUUUGGUAAUCAGGCACCCACCUGAAAAGCAAGAGAAUACAAUUAAAUUUUGGGAACUAGGAGCCCAUCUGGAGAGCAAGGGAAUACAGUUAAUGUUUUGGCAAUCAGGCACCCACCUGUAAAGAAAGGGAAUACAGGUAAAGUUUUGGCAAUCAGGCGCCCACCUGGAGAGCAAGGGAAUACAAUUUAAAUUUUGGUAAUAAGGAGCCCACCUGAAGAACGAAAGGAAACAGUUCAAGUUUCGAGGAAAAGCAGCGCAAGUGUUGGUAAUUAGGAGCCCACCUGAAUAACAAAGGGAAAGCAACAAUGUUCGAAGGAAUGCGGCUCAGGUUUAGCAAUCAGGUGCCCCCUAAAGAAAAGGGAAGGCAUCUCAGAUUAUAAUUCAAGUCGGCAACAAAGGAAUUUCACCUGGAGAAUACCAAGUCAACAAAGCAACAUGAACCACAAAGAUCAAGUUUGUGGAUAUAGAUAGAAUUUUUGUAAUGCAUAGAUCACAUUUUAGUCUAGCUUCUUUUAUUUUGUCAUGGUGUAAUUAGAAGUUAGUAAGCAGUAGCAACAGCAAUAGUGAAAUGACAGCUUCAUGUAAUCCCAGCUACCAAAACUUCCAAACUACACUAACUUGAUUCCUUUAUAGCAAAGGAUAUAUAAGCAACCUCGGAAGCAGGGCGCAAUAAAAUCUUUCAAAAAUGCUUUCCACGGAGAACUCAAGCCGAGCAAUAAUCGCUCGUAUUCGCUCAUUUUAUCUUUGUAUGAAAACUGUUCGUGUUUCCGAGAAAAGAGGGGCAAAUGUAAGCACGUAAUUUUUGACCUAUAUGAAUUACUCCCACAAAUUCAAAAUAAAAUCAUUUUUUCCAAUUUGUUUGCAAUUCCGUUGAUUUUUGUAGCAUUUUUUAUUGUUUGCAUUUGUCUGUGCAUGUUUAUUUUAUUUACUUCAUAAAAAAUACAAAAAUAUGUUGCAUUUGCAUUUAGGGCUUAAUUUUAUAUUUGCUAGACUAAUUAGCAAAUUAGUUGUCCUAUAAAAAUGGGAAAAAUAACAAUAAUAGUUUAUUUGUGCACUUUCUAAUUUUAAUUUUGGAUUUUGAUAGGUUCUUUGUUAAUUUGGUUUUUAAUUAAUUGUGGUGAUUAUUAGUUAGAGUCAAUUAGUUAAUUUGGUAGAAUAAUUUGAUUAGGAUAUUAAAUUAUAUUUUUAUUUUUAAUUGUGAAAAAAAAAGAAUUGUGAAAUAAAUUGAAAAGAAAAAAGUACCGGAUCAGAUCUUUGGGCCAAAAAGGUUUGAAAUUUCCGGCCCAAAUCAUUUCUCCCCCAAAUACCUGCCCAACUCCAGCCUAGACCCAUCCCCAACCCGGUUCAAACCCAUGUUGAGACCAAAUGACCCCAUUUUGAAAGCACUUCGAUCCGGGCCGUUGAUUUUGUUUAAUUGGACGGUCCGAAACUGGGGUUAGUAAAAUAUAUAAUUGUCCAACGUCUUCACCCCCUCCCCCCGUAUCAUCUCCCAAACCCCUUCAUCUCUAAAAACCCUAUAGACGACGCCCCUUUUCUCCACUACCUUGAGCCCGCGAAGCUGCCUCCAAACAACCCCAAAAUUACAGCCCUAAACCCCCAAUACCUUCUUCAUCCCAAAUCCCAAAUCUAUUGCCUUCGAAUCAUAGUUAAGCUCUUCAAAUCUCAGAUCGAAGAUCGAAGUGCCUUGAGCCCUAACUUCUCAAAACACCUGCAGAAUACUACCAUACAACCACUCUCAUCAUUCCUUACUAAAGCCAUCAUUAAGUCCAAAAGAAAAACACUCUCAAGUCUCGUGAAUUCCCCAUCAGAUAAGAAACCCGAGUUCUUUUAGUUCCAAACUAUCUGGCUCCCAGAGUUCAAUACAAAUCGAGAUUUGUGUUAGCCAAGCUUUCUCGUUAGAAGCUUUAGCUAAUUCGAAUUUUGGUUCGAUUUUGAGAGGCUAAGCUAUUUUGGCAAGCUCAUGUUCCCUCACCUUUUGGGACAUUCAUUUGCGAUAUAUUUCUUCCCAAGCUUUGUUUUGGUUAGUUGACACCCCUUUCCUUUCCUUAUUUGAUUUUCUUUUGUGUUUUGUAUCCACUCCCGAUGAUUCGUCUCUUUUCUAUGGUUAUUAGUUGGUUGUUACAUGUUUAGAUUUAUAUCAUAUUAGUGAUUAUCAACAUAUUAGUAUAAUUAACAUUUUCUUCAGUUUUCUUUUUAAGUGCUUAAUCUUUGUUCUCUGUUUUUCUUGAUUUUAUUUUAGGUUGUGACAAUUUUUUUGAUAAUUACCUUAAGAUAGAUUCCUAUUAAAUUGGUAAUUUAGUCUUAAUUUUAGUUUGGCAUUUUAGCUUAAAAGGAAAAGUCACUUGCGAUUAUUCAAGUCUUAUAAAGAAGCCAAGAGCUCUCGGCGCAUGAUAGCAAGAUCGUCGUCGUGCCCGGACAAUGGCUCGUCGCCGGCGGAAUUUGGCCCUCACUACCGCUCAAAUAGUCACCCCUGCGCAUGGUGUUACUAAGGAACUAGAACCAUUGACUUUUGGUAAUUUCCUAUUCCAAUCGACAGAGAUGAUGCAUGUAGAUGGUGUUACGAAUGAUAUACCACCUCCGAUGAACAAAAUUGAAGUUCCGGCUAGCCUCACUGUUAGACGACUACAGUUAUCAGAAGCUAGUGGGUGUGAGAAAUCAAUUCCGACUGCUGAAGUUGUGCGAGGUAAUUGAAAUGCUAAAAUAGGUAAGCCACUCUUAUUCGUGCCUCCUACUGAUAGAGAUGGUCAGAAGGUUGUCAAAAUUAGUGAAGAUGAUUUGAAAUCUCAGGUGGAGUACUGGAGUACUGCGUUAAUUGGAUACGUAAUUGGAGAUAAUCCUAAUGAGAAAAUGAUGGAGAAUUUUGUGCUGCAUGUGUGGAAUUUUGUGUCUACGCCUCAGAUUCUGAUUCACUCUGAAGGAUAUUGCAUAUUCCGAUUCAAUAGUAUAGAAGACAACGAUUUAGUCAUUUAGUCUUGGUUUUACUCGUACAGGAACAAACCCAUGGUGUUGAAGCCUUGGGAAAUUGAUUUCUCCUUUCAGAAUGAUGUACUCAGCACAGUACGUGUAUGGAUUGGAUUUCCUGGACUUCUAGUGGGCUAUUGGUCUAUUGAAGUAUUGAGCAAAAUGGCUAGUGCAGUGGGUAAACCAUUGUACACAGACAAAUUCACAGCUCACUAUGAGAAGAUCUCUCUUGGGAAAUUGAUUUCUCCUUUCAGAAUGAUGUACUCAGCACUGUACCUGCAUGGAUUCGAUUUCCUGGACUUCUAGUGGGCUAUUGGUCUAUUGAAGUACUGAGCAAAAUGGCUAGUGCAGUGGGUAAACCAUUGUACACAGACAAAUUCACAGCUCACUAUGAGAAGAUCUCUUUUGCUCGAGUACUAGUAGAGGUUGAUGCUGCCCAUUCCCUCCCUGAUCAGAUAGAGAUUGAGACUCCAUUUGGCCCGAAGAUCCAGCUGGUUGAAUAUGACUGGAAGCCUAGUUUCUGCAAUUAUUGCCUGAAAUUCGGCCAUGAUUCUGUUGACUGCUGGUAUAACGCAGGAAAUGAUGUAGAACAGGAUAUUGGAGAACAGGGAAAGAAAAGAAGACAGAGGACCAGAUUGCUAUUGACUGCUGAUAUAAUGCAGGCAAUGAUGUAGAACAGGAUAUUGGGGAACAGGGAAAGACAAGAAGACAGAGGACCAGAUUGAAAAGCAGGCUAAAGUUAUUAAGAAAGAAUGGCUUAUUAAACAACCUAUAGCUAGUGCAGAUACACAGGUAAGUAUGCCAGUUCAACCAGAGCAUAACAAGGAGAAUACGCAGCUGGGAUAUAAUACUUCUUGUAUGAAUAUUGUUCAACAGAAUGCACUGAUAGGCCCUGACAUCCAGGAAGGAAAUGUUACAACUAUCAAUGACCCUACUGGUAACAGUGAAGAUAUGGUUGACAAAUGUGAUAAGGGGAAGGCUACUAUCGAUGUGCUAGAUACUGGCAGAAGGGGUCAACAAGUUGAUCCGGGGCCUUCUCGGAGCAUAUUUCCUAAUGCUUCACGAUUAUUGUCACUUGGAACAUUAGGGGGGCUUAAUCAAGCCCAUAAGCAGAAAGAAUUUAAAAGCUUUCGGGCUGUAAAUAAAGUAGAUGUCAUGGGUUGUCUUGAGACUAGAGUGAAGGAACACAAAGCAAAGAAGAUUUUAGAUAAGAUUGCUAAGGGAUGGAAGGUCCAUUGCAACUACACUAAAGCUGCUAAUGGGAGGAUAUGGCUACUCUGGAAACCUCACAUUCAGGUCCAUAUUUCCUGUGUGACUGACCAGUUUAUUCAGUGUCUCUUAAAAGACCCUCAAAGUAUCAGAACUCACUUGAGUGUCAUUUAUGCUCAUAAUACUGCAAACCUUAGGGAACAGCUGUGGAGUGAUUUAAGGACAGUAAAUGUUCCCAAUCAAGAUUCUUGGGUGCUUAGUGGGGAUUUUAAUUCUGUAUUAUGUUCUGAAGAUAGAAUUGGUUCUCCUGUCAGUGAUGCUGAAGUCAGAGGGUUUAAAGAGGUCAUUGCUGAUAUCCAACUUACUCCCCUUAGAGCUAAAGGGUGGCAUUACAAUUGGACAAAUAAGCAGGGUAAUACCACUAGGGUCUAUAGCAAGAUUUAUUGGGCCUUGGGUAAUUUCCAGUGGAUACAGCAGUAUGGACACCUAGAAGCUGACUUCAUGAACCCCUCAGUUUCUGAUCACUCUCCUAUUCUCAUCAAAUUUGGGAGUCAAAAACAUAUGCAUCCUAAACCUUACAGACUCUAUGUUGCUACAAUGGAGAACCCCCAGUUUAUCACCAUACUACAACAGGUCUGGGGACAGAAAUGUGAAGGAUCACCUAUGCAGCAGAUAUGGACUAAAUUAAAGACGUUGAAGCAACACUUAAAGGAGAUAAAUAUCCAUAUGGCUUCAUACAAACAGAAACUUAUUCAGGCUAGGGAGACACUGGAUAUUAUACAGAAUCAGCUGCAGCACAAUCCACUUUCACAGAAUUUGUUUACUGAGGAAAAGCAGCACUAAAUGAAAUUGAGAAAUGGAGCAAUGUGGAGGAACAAAUUAUGAGACAGAAAUCCAAGGCUUGCUGGAUUGACUGUGGAGAUGCUACAAGGUAUUAUACAGACUCAGCUGCAGCACAAUCCACUUUCACAGACUUUGUUUACUUAGGAAAAAGCAACACUAAAUGAAAUUGAGAAAUGGAGCUGUGUGGAGGAACAAAUUAUGAGACAGAAAUCCAAGGCUUGCUGGAUUGAUUGUGAUGAUGCUAUACAAAAUAUUUCCAUGCUCAGUGGAAUAUUAGAACAUGCCAGAAUAACAUUACUUCUAUAUACACUGAUUCAGGUAUGAAACUCACAGACCCCUUAGCUAUGGAGCAGGAGUUUAUAAAGGUGUUCAAAUCAUUGAUGGGGGAAUGUGCUCAAGAACUGCCUUGUGUCAACACUGCUGUUAUUAAAGAAGGACAAUGUCUAACUUUAUCGCAGCAAAGAAUGCUAAUUCAAGAGGUUACAUUGGAAGAAAUUAUAGUAGCUCUAAAAGAGAUGCCUAAGGACAAAGCACCAGGUGUGGAUGGGUUUCCUGUGGAAUUCUUUACUAAUAACUGGGAGAUAGUAAAGGAAGAUGUACUUGCUGCUACAAAGGACUUCUUCUCUACAUCCAAACUGCCUCACAUGAUCAAUACCACUGCUAUUGCACUUGUUCCUAAGGUUAGAGCUCCUACAACUGUUAAAGAUUAUAGACCUAUUGCCUAUUGUACCACUGUAUAUAAAAUCAUCUCCAAAGUUAUUACGAGGAGAAUGAAAACUGUUAUUGGUGAUUUAGUUGGACAAGCUCAGUCAGCUUUUAUUAAAUGGAGAAGCAUUGUUGAUAAUAUUUUGCUUAGCCAUGAAAUCUUCAAGGGUUAUUCAAGAAAAGGAGUUUCCCCCAGAUGUGUCUUGAAGGUGGACGUGAGGAAGGCCUAUGACACCCUUGAAUGGGGUUUCCUCAAAAAACAGAUCCUUAUUGAUCUUGGCUUCCCUGCAAAGUUUAUAAACUGGAUAAUGGCUUGUGUCACUUCUGUUUCCUACUCCUUAGUGCUGAAUGGUGGAUUAACUAAGCCCUUCAGUGCCAAGAGAGGUAUUAGACAGGGUGAUCCUAUGUCACCUUAUCUAUUUGUUCUAGCUAUGGAAUACCUGAAUAGGAUUUUGGGUCAGUUGCACAAGAAUGGGGAUUUCAACUUUCAUCCCAAAUGCAGGAAACUUAAUUGUGCUCAUGUCUGUUUUGCUGAUGAUCUUCUUAUGUUCUGUCGAGCUGAUGUUAUUUCCAUCCAGAUCUUACAUGAGGCUUUCCUUAAGUUCUCUGAAGCUUCUGGAUUACAAGCUAAUAUUAUUAUCUGUUUGUUCUGGCUAUGGAGUACCUCAAUAGGAUAUUGGGUCAGUUUCACAGGAAUGGGGAUUUCAACUUCCAUCCCAAAUGCAGGAAACUUAACUGUGCUCAUGUCUGUUUUGCUGAUGACCUUCUUAUGUUCUGUCGAGCUGAUAUUAUUUCCAUCCAGAUCCUACAGGAGGCUUUCCUUAAGUUCUCUGAUGCUUCUGGACUACAAGCUAACAUUAGAAAAAGUGCUAUUUAUUUGGCUGGUGUACAACAGACUACCAGAGAAGAAAUUUGUCAAGCUGAUACUAUUUCCAUCCAGAUCCUACAAGAGGCUUUCCUUAUGUUCUCUGAAGCUUUUGGACUGCAAGCUAAUAUUAGCAAAAGUGCUGUUUAUUUGGCUGGUGUACAACAGAUUACCAUAGAAGAAAUAAUAGAGACACUGGGAUUCACUGAGGGUCAGCUUCCAUUCAAGUAUUUAGGGAUACCCCUAAACUCUAAAAAACUUGCUUAGAGACUCUGGGGUUCAUUGAGGGCCAACUUCCUUUCAAGUAUUUAGGGAUACCUCUAAUCUCUAAAAAACUUGCUAUCCAUCAUUACUUGCCACUGAUUGAGAAGAUUAUUGAUAAAAUCACUUGCUGGUCAGCCAAGUUGCUUUCUUAUGCAGGAAGAUGUCAAUUGAUCAAAGCUGUUAUUUUUGGUAUUCAAACUUACUGGGCACAAGUGAUCAUACUGCCAAAAAAAGUAUUGAAAGCCAUUGAAGCAAUCUACAGGUCUUUUCUGUGGAUUGGAAAUGCUACUGUGUCUAAAAGGGCUCUGGUUGCCUGGGAAAGGGUCUGCAGACCACUUACUGCUGGGGGACUCAACAUUAUUGAUAUGACUGUGUGGAAUAAGGCAGCUAUUACUAAGCUCCUUUGGGACUUGGCCAGGAAAAAAGACUCUGCAGACCACUCGCUGUUGGGGGACUCAACAUUAUUGAUAUGACUAUGUGGAAUAAGGCAGCUAUUACUAAGCUCCUUUCGGACUUUGACAGGAAAGAAGACUGUCUUUGGAUCAAAUGGUUGCACUGUUAUUACAUCAAACAGUGUGACAUUGUAACAUUGUCCAUGCCUAAGUCAGCUUCUUGGGUUGUUAGGAAGAUUCUGGAAUGCAGAACUGCUGUAAUGGAGAAUCAAAAGCUACAGGGGGAUCUUUUUAGCAGGUUGAAAGGAAUGUGCAGGCUGGAUAUAUUCCAAAUCAAGAAACUCUACCUUACAAUGAUUCCCAGUUUCAAUAAGGUAGAGUGGAAGAAUAUGAUGCUGACUACUAAUGUUCAACCUCGACACAAGUUCACUGGAUGGCUAGCUGCUCAACAAAGGUUUGUAAAUAAUGUUGCUCUUAUUUGGAGGGAAAGGAAUUGCAUUCGGUUUGAUUGGAAAUAUUUGUGGAAGAACAGUUUUGCAGAGAAGUUGCUUUGCUUGUGGCAACUUAACUGUUUUCCUUAGCUAUAGUCUAGUAGAUUCCCUAUAUUAAGAUAGCAUUUGUUAUUAAUAGUUGUAUUAGUAUAGUGAUUGUUUGUAAAUGAGUAGUAGCUAGUCCAUGCUACUACUAUAGAACUUUACAUUGUACAUCUGCUUUGCUUGUGGCAACUUAACUGUUUUCCUUAGCUAUAGUCUAGUAGAUUCCCUAUAUUAAGAUAGCAUUUGUUAUUAAUAGUUGUAUUAGUAUAGUGAUUGUUUGUAAAUGAGUAGUAGCUAGUCCAUGCUACUACUAUAGAACUUUACAUUGUACAUCCAUUUGAUAUCAAUGAAAUUUAACAGUUAUACCUAAAAAAAAAGUCACUUGUUAGCUUGUAUUUUGGGUUCUUUGAAGUCACUCAAUUAUUUUUCCUUUCUGUUUAUCGUCAAAUUGGCUAAUUGGAUUUCUGAUCCUUUUAAGUUUGGGCCAGGGGUUAAAUUCCGGCUCAUUCAUUUGGGUUUGAACCAUUGUGUCGAAAUUGACCCAUGAGGUUGAAGGAGUAAAUAACAGGGGUUUUAAGGGAAAUUUAGGGACUCUAGGUAAGGAAAUCUUUGAAAACUGAUUGAGGAAGCUUCUAGGAAGCUGGGGUGGGGACUAAAUUGAAGUUCUGAAUUUUACACUAAUGGUACCUAGGCUAAAAUAAAAAUAUCAAAAGGUGCAGAGUGAAAAUUUGUUUACUUUUAAGCGGACCUAAUAGCUUUCCUAUAAAGGCACCCUUACUUGAUAUUCAAGUUAGACUUUGGAAGAGAUAAAAAGCUAAAAAACUGAGACCACUGAAAUACUUUGAUAACACUAAUUCCCCUGCAUUUUCUUGGUGAAAAUUGCUCAAAAACACUAUUUAAAUUUGAAUAUCCUCUCAUAUAGAUAGAACCCCCUGAAAGUCUAGAUUCUGCAUUUGGUUUAAAAUGGCUUAUUUUGGGCUUUGAAAAGCUGGUUUGAAGCUAUUUGGUUUCUGGUUCACUAUUUCAUUGACUGAAAUUCUGAAUUGCUUCUUUUGUUUGCUUCCUCUUUGCCGACACUGCUCUGCUACUGUUGAUCUCUCAAUUUCAUACUUCUUUUGCUUUCCAAUUAUCUCUUUAGCCCAUGAACAACGAGGGAUUGUUGAACAUUAACUCAAGUGAAAUUCUGACUAAAUGCAAGCUGCAUUUGAAUUUAGUUUCCCUGUUUCUCUUGUUUCUUCAAUAUUCUGUAGUUAGACCAUAAAUUACAAAUGUCAGUUUGGCCUUCUCUUUUUUUAAUUGCAUAUUCUGAAUCCAUGUGUGAGAAUAAAAUUUUCUGAAUAUGUGUUUGAAAGUAAGAGUAAAUCUGGAUCUGUAAUGAUACAUGACCUAUGGACUCAGCUAUUCAGUUUUCUAUUUAAUGAGUUUGAGUGUGUGUUGGGUAAAGGAGCUAUCAAGGUUUUAUAGUAGGAGUUCAAUUUGAUGCUUUGGGUUGUCGGCCUUUUUUCAAUUUCUGCUGAAGAUCAGUGUAGUUUUAGCUUUACGUCCAUUUGAAUUCAUUGAAAUUCCAAGUAUAGGCUUGUACGUUUGUAUUGACUUACUCAGAUUCGUUUUGUAAGCAUGUUCAUUUUGAGCUUAAGGUUUAGAUUCAAGUCUAUUUAUUGGGUCACCCCAUAGGUUUACAUUUAUCAGUCAUGUGUUGAGCAAAAGUUUAAGUAAACUUGGGGGUUUCAUAAUUUUCUCCUGAAGUUAUUUGAAAGUUGAUUUCCAGAAUGAUGACCAAAUGAUUGCUUGAUUUGGGAAUUUUUGUUCAGAAUGUUGAUCUGAUCGUUCCAUGUUAGAACAAUUAAAAUUUGGAAGUCAAGUGUUGAUUAUUUGCAUGUCUCUUGGACCCAGAUUCGAAUUAGCCUUGCCUUGUGUUAGUUUGAUUCAAAUGAAUAUCAACCCCAACAUUUUCUUACUUUUCGUUUACAUUAAUUUAAUUUAGGAUCUCUAUGAUGACAGAGUCUGCUUUGAAUGAUCCACAUUCUCAUAUUUGGGCCUAGAUUCAAGUUGGCCCGACUAAGUCCUCGAGGAUUCCUGUUUACACUCCCGACCUUGGGUUGUUCCCCAGCCCAUUUCCUUUUAAAAGAGGUUCUGGCUUUCAAACAUAUGACAAGUCUGAAUUCGUUUCCCCAAGCCUACCUGUAGAUAACGCAUCACGUAUAUGUGGACUGGAGCAAUGUGAAUGGAAUAACACCUGGUUGAAGUUCAUUUCACUUUUAUAAUGAUCAUGACCAUAGUGUGGUUGGAGGCGAGCUAUAUUAGAUAAGUUACAGUUUAUGGCCCUCCAUAGCUAGAUUAGAAACCCUUCUACUAGUAUAAUAGCAAAGUCUCAAAAUUGCAUGGUCGUCGUUUAAUUGAUAUUUUUAUUCUUAGAAAUCGAGGCGCACCAUUUAGUGAAUUUUUCAUGGCCCUAGCAAAGUUACAAAUGUAUAGUUGCUUUAGGCACGUUAUUUUAAUAGUUUACCUUCCUAAACUCGGGUUCGCAUUUAUGUGACCCAAAUUCAAAUCUCAACAAUGUUAGAUAAAAUAUGUCGAGAGUCGCGGGUGCACUUAUGUGACGUGGUUCAAGACGUAUUGUAAAAGACGUUGUAAUUUUCCUUAAAAUAAUUAAAAGAUGCUAAUAAGUUAAAGUUGAACCAUAUGUUAAAACAUGUUAAAAAUCAGAUAAAUAAGCCAAUAAUAACAGUUGAGCAACCAUGCUAGAACCACAAAACUCAGGAAUGCCUAACACUUUCUCCCGGGUUAACAGAAUUCCUUACUCGGAUUUCUAUGUUCACGGAUUGUAAAUCAGAGUCAAUCUUUUCUCGACUUGGUAUUUAAACCGGUGACUUGAGACACCAUAAAUUAUCCCAAGUGGAGACUCUGAUCUUAAUUAAAAUAAUCUCAUUUCGAUUGUUACAAAAAUUGGAAGAAACUCCCAUAUACUCCCUUCCAGGGUGUAGGAAAAAUAAGGUGUGACAUCGACUUACUGAGCAUAAUUAUAUGGAUUGGUACCAUGGUGUUACUCAACGUUUUUUGUCGGGAAUCCCAUUCAUCGACCUAGCAGCCGGUACGUUCCAUACACCGGGAGGUACAAGGCAUUGGAAUGUUAUGUGGUGUUCUUACAUAUAACUGUAACCUAGCAUUUUGUAAUUUAUAUUUUACAUGUUGUGCAAGAUUUUGACCUACAUUUAUUCAACCAGUUUGGACUGCAAAUGCAACAGCAUGCCGGUGAAGGAGCGGCUAUUUUGCACGAGUAUGGGCGACAAGUUACAGAGAUGGCUGCCUUAAUACUGCAGCGAGCCCGAAUGGAUGAGCGCUUAGUGUACAUCCAUGAUUAUGUGGAAUCGAGCACUACCAUCGAGGUUGGCCUAUCCCACGAGGUAGGGGAGCAUGAGGCAGGGGUAACCCAUGAAGUAGGGUUGUCCCACAUGGUCAUAUGGGCCGGUGAGGAGGUGGUCCCUAGCAAAGGGGCGUUGAGGCACCUAUUGAGGAUAUUGGAGCUGAUCUGAUGGGUGACCUCUAUCAGCCAGACGAGCAUGAAAGCAGAAUGCCGUCAUUUAGCCUUCAGCUACCGUUAACUCCAACAGCAUCGAAUUUGACCCCAUUAGAUCCAUUAUUGAUCAUAGGGACGAGCAUUACCGGAGUUGAUAGGGAGUAGUACUUUUUAGGCCCAUCGAUCGCUGCUGAGGAUCAGCCGACCCGAGAUGUGGAUAGUGGGCACCGACUCAGUUAUAGCUCAUUGUCGACGGGUGUUGGGGAUCAUUCACAUGCGAAGGUAUGUUUAUAUUACUAUUAAAUUUAUAUUUGUUUUUAUCUCAUUGAUUCACCAUAAAUAACUUUACAAUUUUCUUAUUAAGGCUUCAUCCUCGCCCGUCACCGAGGCAAUUUUGUGCGAUGUUGACCAGGAUGCGACGGAUGCUUAUUUCAGGAGCCAGACGAGACAAUGGUAAGACAAUUUAAAUUUUUUUUGACUUAACAUGUACAUUACUAAUAUAUAUUCAUAUACUGAGCUGACUUAUUCUUUUAUAGUUUGUUGAUGGACCGACAACUCCUCCUACCAAUCAUGUUGCAUCGUAUCUUGCAAUAAAGAGGCUAAGUGAUGAGGAUGAUCCUGAUAGCGUAUCCGGACGGUAUGGGAUGUGCCUCAGGCCAAUGGCUUCAUUGAAGCGCAAAGGCUGUGAGACACAUUAAUAUUUUUUCUUCUGUCUUUUAUGUAAAUAAUAACAAUAAUUUUUAUGUUAACAUUAUAUGCGCAUUAUGUUUUUAUGUUCCCAUUUAUUCUUUAUUUUAAUACUACAACAUGAACACAAACACAAACAUAUUAACUUAACAUAAUUUCAAUUCAGUACAACAAAUAAAAAUACAUAACACUUGAAAUAUAAGGAUAAAGUACUACAGCCAACACAUACAAGUCAGUGUUUAGUCACGACCGCCUAUUAUUCUCUGCUCCAACCACUUAAAUUUCUCUUCCAACUUACUUUUUCUUCUUCCGCCUCUUUUAGUUUCUCCUUCAACUCCGCAAUUUCUUGUUUAUAUUUCCACUGUUUUUUGGUCAAAUCAUGAUAAUACUGCAAAAUCUCUUUGUAGCAUUCCUGCUUACAGGGUUCAUCAAACCAUACCUCAAAAUUGCAAAAAUUUCCGUUAUUGCUUCCGAACCUGUUCACACACAUCCAGUAUCUGUGUCCAACUUGACCAUCAUUCCAACGGUCCACCAACAUGCAACGUUUUCCACAUUGGUACAUAAAUGCUUUCAUACAUUUGUUAAAGCAAAACAAAACCAUGCUUUUAUGAAAAGUUUUGCUAUUUGUUAUGGUUAAGCACAGAAAAUAACUAGAAUGCACCCGUUAUUUAUAGGCAAGGCAACACACAUAACAUAAUAUUUAACCGCGCUAUGCUCACACAUGACGUUGUAUUUAACCGCGCUGUACUUUGCAUGUUAAUGAUUCUUUCGGAUACAAAAUAGAUUUUUCGUAGGCAGACAGUUUUUUAGAUCGAGAAGGCAACACAUAAACAUAGUAUUUAACCACGCUAUAUACUCACGCAUAACAUAGUAUUUAACUGCACUAUGCUUCGCAUGUUAAAGAUUCUUUCGGAUACAAAAUAGCUUUUUGCAAGCGGGCAACUUUUCAUAUCGACAAGACAACACAUUUAACGCAGUAUUUAACCGUGCUAUAUAUAUUCACAUAUUUAUUAAACAUCUUCCUCCUCUGACAGUGUAGUUUUUUAAUAACUUUAGAGUGAAAUUCGAAAGUGAACACAAAAAAAAUUAUGUUUUUUAAUCCAAAUUAUUUUUGAUCACAUGAACAGGAGGGAGAAAUUCAUUAAUUUACUUAACCGAAAACUGUUAAAUAUCAGUAAGAUUUAGCAAUAAUAGAAACAUAAUUUUAUUUGAUAUAUCUUGCAAAAUUUAUAAGUACACACAGUUAUUACAACCACAUUACGAAAAUAAAACACUACGUGUAUCCUUGAUAGUUGUACACAUUAGAUGAACUUCCACUAGGAGCCUGAAUACCACCGCUACCCAAACCAACCGAAGGACAUUUACUACAGUCGUAUUCUGUUUGCGAGCAUAUGCCCAUAAAUGGUAUCACCAGCAUCUAUUUUGUUCCGUAUACACGUUCUUUUUUGCACUUGUAGCUUAUGUAAAUAGUCCUUGGUACACACCAUUUUUAAAUGGUUCUGGUAUCUAACAAUGCUUAUGACCCACUUGUUGCAACUGCCUACUAUAUGUGUUCAAGCACUUGAUGACAUGUGAGCAUGGGAUGUGGUAGAUGGACAAUUUCCCACAAGACACAACCUUCUGAUUUUAUUUAUGGUGUGUACAUUAUUCCCCUGUGUUGAUGGAUAGCAGUACGAACUUCAAAAACACCCCAAUCGUGAUCAUACAGUAAAAAUGAAUGCUAAUGUGCUCGCCUUAUGCAUUUCUCAAAUAUUUUAAUUGGUAUUGGCAUAAAUUCAACACCCCUCUCCAUCAAUUACGAUGCACCUCUAUGCCCUUCAAAAACAUUCUCCCCCAUCUGUUUGAAUGACAUCUGCACAAUGGAAGUGACAUGCAAUCCACGUGUAGACUUCAAUAACCCGUUGAAAGACUCUGACACAUUUAUAGUCAGGGUUCCCUAUUGUUCCGCAUGCAAUGUCUACUUGUGAAGCUCAUGCCACAUAAACCAAUGAUAUGCUCUUUCAUCUAACUCUCAAAUUGAUUCCAUGUGCCUCCUGAAUUUGCACUGCUAGUGAUCAGUUGCAGCCAUCCACAUUAAAUCACGCAAGUCCUUAUUGGGAUAUUUCUUCUGGAAAUUGCCCUUCAGGUGCCUCACACAGUAAUGGUGGUAUGCAUAGGGUUCCUGCCAUUCAGGCAAAUGCUCUACAGAACUUAAUAUACCACCAUGCUGAUCAGAUAUUAGACAAAUACCUGAACGUUGUUUGACAACGUGCUGCUUCGACAACAACAACCCAGGAAAAUCCCACCAGUGGGGUCUGCGGAGGGUAGUAUGUACGUAGACCUUACCCCUACCCCGAAGGCGUAGAGAGGCUAUUUUUGAAAGACCCUCAGCUCAAGAUAAUAAGAAAAAUAAAUUGAGAGAAUAUUAGUUUCACCAUAGAGGUCAUAGGAAAAAUAGGAACAUAAAAUGCAGAAGAAAAAUACAAGGCAGAAAUAAUGGCUUGUAAAUAGAUCUUACACUGAAAAAAGAAAAUAUUAAGACACGACAAUGCCCUACCUAUUUUAUACUAAAACCUCACCAGAUCAAGCUCACAACGGUACAAUGCAAGACUAAACUAUCUCCUAGCCUACAACCGUAAUACUCAACCUCUAUAACUUUCUAUCAAGUGUCAUGUCCUCGGAAAUCUACAGUCUCGCCAUAUCCUACUUGAUCACUUCUCCCCAAUAAUUCUUAGGAAGCCCUCUACCUCUUCUCGUGUCCUCCACAACCAGACGCUCACACCUCCUUACUGUAGCAUCUGGGCUUCUCCUCAUUACAUGCCCGAACCAUCUGAAUCGCGCUUCCCGCAUCUUGUCAUCAAUGGGAGCCAAGUGCACCUUCUCCCGAAUAUCAUCAUUUCUAAUCUUGUCUAUCCUAGCAUUCCUACACAUCCACCACAACAUCCUCAUUUUUGCUACUUUCAUCUUUUAGAUAUGUGGGAUCUUAACAGGCCAACACUCAGCCCCAUGCAUUAUGGCCAGUCUAACUACCACUUUAUAUAACUUACCUUUGAGUAUCGUUGGCACUCUCUUGUCACACAAAACUACGGAUGUUAACCUCCACUUCAUCUAUCUUACCCCAAUACGGUGUGCGACAUCUUCAUCGAUCUCCCCUCCCCCGUGGAUAACCGACCCAAGGUACUUGAAGCUACCUCUACUUGGGAUAACCUGUGAUCAAGCCUAACAUCCACGCCUACUUCCCCCGACUUAGUGAUGAAAAUACACUCCAAGUAUUCCCUCUUCGUUCUGCUCAGAUUGAAACCUUUAGACUCAAGAGUCUGUCUCCAAACUUCCAGUCUCUCGUUAACAUCGGUUUGUGACUCAUCGAUCAGAAGUAUGUCAUCGGCGAAUAGCAUGCAUCAUGGUACCUCUCUUUGGAUGUGAUUUGUUAACGCACCCAUCACUAGGGCGAAUAAGAACGGACUGAGCACAUAGCCUUAUUGUUACCCUAUUUCAAUCGAAAAAUGCUCAAUGUCGCCUCCUACCGUCCUAACCCGAGUCUUAGCCCCAUCAUACAUGUCCGUAACCGCCAUAAUAUAGGAACCGACACAUAUUUUUCCUCCAAGCAUCUCCACAGAACUUCUCUAGGAACCUUGUCCUUCGCUUUCUCCAGGUCAAUAAACCACCAUGUGCAGAUCCUUCUUUCUCACUCUGUACAGUGGUUCAAAAAUAGCUUCCACGUCUCUUGGCUUUCAUUGGCACAGUGGAAAAAGCUAGUGGAAAUAUUUGUCCAUUAACAUCUACUGCAACGUCGAUCAAUAGCUUAAUAUCAUACUUUCUAUAGACAUGAGUACCAUCUAUGGAAAUUAUCAUACGGCAAUGCACAAAACCAUCAAUUGCUGGCAAACAACUUUGUACACAUCUGGACUUGACUCCCAUACCGCCAUCUCACAGCACUCUCUUACGCUGCAUAUUUUUGCCGCCCUACUUAGGCACGCUUUAUUAGGAAAAAGUAUGUCAUUUGCCAGCACAGUUGGUCUAGACUCAUCCCACAUUGUUGUGCGAAUUUUGUCAAAAUCCUUUGUGAGAGCAUCCACAUCCGGCAUACUUGGAAAAUGAUCAAGGUAGAGAAUAUUCCUUGAAUGAAACGGCAUAUGGGACUCCUACACUCUUGGACUAAGGGGAGGUGGAGCAUGCUCCCUUGUCAAAUAAGGUCCGGCAUUUUCUUCCUCUUCAUCAUCACCCUAGACAGGGAAAGGUGUGUCAUAUCCAGAUUCAUCGGCAUUGUUGUCAUAAUUAUUAUUAUCUUGUUGAUUCUGCACAUCUAAAAUUCUGAGUAAAUACACCGUCUAUGGGCAACUAAGUAACGAAAGGACCAUCAAGUUGCUCGUUUUCACUGCACAAACAACAAAAUAAUAAGCUACUCAAAUUGAUAAAUACUUUACAUAUCGCUAUAUCACUUCACUUACAAGUCGUAAUGUGUUGACAUUCCAUAAUCGACAUUAUCCUAUUGUGUGAUGACUCACGGAUGGACCACUGUGAUCCAAUACACCAAAACUAUGCAUAUUCCAACUGGACGUGGGUUCUAAUUAGAAAAAUUCAUAUCUGGACGGUACCCCCUAUGGAAUAUAUGAGUGUUAAUACAAAUUCAAUACAACAAAAAUAAACAUUGUAACACAAAGAAAAAUUGAAGUUUAUCGGUCAUCUUGUGGAUUAUGUAAAGUAGGAGAGAAAUUACUUCCUCGAUCCUCAUUCGCUCGUAAAGAUAAGUUUAGAUCCGGCCAAACUCUUUCAACCGGACCCUGUUCGGUUAAAACUGCUCCAAAAUAACCACCCGAUGAUUGAGGGUUAUCCUUGCUUUACGUAACCUCAUUAUUGCGAACGUCUUCAACCUUCACAUAUGUUUCCAAUAUUUUUAUCAAAAUAAGUUCUCAGUAUUCAUCCGGAGCCCCAAAAAAUCUCUCAGAGUUUUGUCAUCCUCGAUGUUAAACUUAGUGUAACAAGCAACCCUUUGCGGAAUAACACACUACGGAUAUCUUUCGAUUAUUCAAAGAUUCACUAAACAUUUGCUCAACCUCAUUUUAUUACAUAACAAUGAUACCAGUCUAUCGUACUCCAUUGUUAGUAGCAACUUACAUGACUCUGUGGAGAUAAACUAUAGCUCACUGAGUUUAUUCACCACUAUAACCUCAAAUCCCCCUCCCCCUCCCUCUCCCCCUCCUCAAAUAUAAUAAAAUCCUUACUUUUCGCUCUUCAGACAUUAUGAAAAAAAGUAUGAGAAUUUAACAAGAAGAAAAAUUUAUCAUGAAGUAUACAUAUCCGAAUUUAACAAGAAGAAAAAUUUAUAUGUAUACAUAUCUUUUCUUUUCAUCUGGUGUUCAGUACCUACUUUCAGCGCUGACAAAUCCGAACUAUGCUAAUUCAAAAGGAGGGGCGGAGGGAUCGCUCCUUACCAAUGGCAGAUCCAUACCCAAGGCUCUAACCUAAUAUCUCUAAUUAAGCAUGGAGGAAUACAUAUUACUCCACCACACGCUUUGGUGGUGCAAUUACAUAUGCAGAUUCAGAUUUGAACUUUAUGGGUUCAAAUUUAUAUCUCUACCACAUCUCAGGUUCAAAAUUUAUAAUUUAUACAUAUUUAAUGAUUUUUCGGGCAAAAAUUAUAAGGUUUGAGCAAAAGCUAUGGAUUUAGUUGAACUCAUAGCUUCUGCACUUGAUAAUCCUCUAGGUGCAAAAGCACCUACCUACCACCACAAGGAAAGUAAAUAAGGUUGUGCACAUUUGAUCAAGCUUUCUGAAGAAUUUUGUAAUAAUCUAGUUCUACUAUCUAUGAAAGCAAGCUUCGGUAUGCAUUUCGUUUUUAACCCCUCCACAUGCAAGUAAAUUUAUAAUUUGAACUUCCUUUCUGAUGAAUUAAACUUUAUGCUAAGUUAUGACUUACAGCACAUUAGCAAUCUUGGUACUGAGCAUGUUGAAAGAAUUAACGAGAUCAUUCUUUUGCUAUAUUCGGCUUUAGACACAAAAACAAAUACAUCAGUACUAAGACAACACCAAAAAUAAUGAAAAAAAAAAAGAUCAUUUUGAUCCUAUUCCUCCCUUUUCCCUAUUAAUUCACAAGUAAAACCAUCUCCUAAAUAUAUGUAUUAACAAACUUGAGUCUCUUCAUAGUAGUUUUUCAUCAUCCCCUAACUUUUUCUGUAGCAUUUCUCAUCUCCAGUGUAUGUAGGGCGGCGUUCGGUAGGUGGAAAAAAUGGACAAAGGUGCUCUGUUGCCAAAUGUGAAAUUAUCAAAUAUCACAUCUUCUAAAAUGCCUCUAGAAGCAAUUUGCUUCUUCUGGGAAAAAAUGGGACUAUGAACCAUUAAUAGUACACCUAAACCAUCUCCGUCAGGCCACAAAAAAUAUAAGGCGCAGAGGAGAAAAGAUGAACUUUUGAUGGAUAACACUCGUCGAACUCCAUCAUGGAAACUAAAUAAGCUUGCUGGUUCUCCGCCUUGAUGGUCCUCCAGGAAAUAGCUUUAUGAUCCAUCCCAAGACUCGUUCCACCACCUGAUGCAAAAGAAGAAAGUAUACUCAAAGACGAGGUAGCAAGUAUGAAAUUUAAUUAUAAGGAGAUGAGGAGGCCAAAUAGUGAGAAUGGUUGACGCGCAAGAGAAUGAACACCUGAUAACCGGCUAGCAAGCUGUGUUACACUGUUAUUCCAAGAUCUCAAAAUGAAAACUUACAAAAGGUUAAAAUUUAUUAGAGAAAGAGUGCAACUGGUUCGACAAAACAUAAAGCAACAGUCCUAUAGGUGGAUGUUUUAAGGCAUCGCUGCGUCAUAGUCAUUCCUGUAACUAGCUAUGCUAUGUUCGAACCUCUACAAUUUGCGGAUAUUUGAAAACUGAUAUCUGUAUUUUAUAAUGUUUCUAUAUUUCUGACAGGUCGAUAAAGCUCCAGCAGCUUACUCUUGAAGCAUGCUUAAAAAAUAAAAACAAAUCCAAGGGCACAAUGGUGUUCCCUUUUUAUUUAAAGGGUGCUCUGUGCCAACUUAAACUUCAAAUCUAAAUACAGAGUGAGAUAGAAGUACAAGUGUUAAAACUGAUAGAUGAAAGGAGAAACUAAAUAACUUUAAGAGGAUGGUAUUUUACAGGCAUACAGAAGCAGUUAUAUUUAAGUCAUAUGAGUACAAAAAGGUUCAUACAGUAUUGUAAUAGAAUGAAAAGUUUCAAGGUACAUAACAUUACCUCAUCACCUUCAUCAGCAUACGUGGUUCUUUCGUGCAUGGUUAGAGCAUCUGGUUGCCUUGCUUGGUUGUUACCGGUUGCCAUGCUUUGAGCAGUCAAAAGCUCUAAUCUUUGUGUUUGAGCUUCAAGCUUUUGGGUCAAAUCCUUAUUUAACUCCUUUACUCCGCAAGGAACAAAAGAAAAAUCCACCAAAAAGUGUAGAGAGAAAAUUGUUAGUAUCCACCUUUAUAAUUGCACUUCCCAAAGCACUAUAUGAAGAUUGACAGAUAUUUGAGAAAACAUGAGCAAGCAUACUAGAGGGGCUGGCUUACAAAAGGAGACACACAACCAAAAAUGGUACAUUUGCAAUUAUACAUCGGGGAUUUAUGUGGAAGCAACAGAAAGGGGAAAAGCGCAAAAGGAUCCUAAAGUUUAAGGUGAAAAUAUAAUUUGACUCACAUAUUAGAUCCAAAAAGGAAAAAAGUACUGAAUGAUCUUACUAACAAGGAUAGUGCCUUCAUCAAAAUACCUGCAAUUUUGAGCACUGAGAUGAUUCCAGAAACAAGGCUUUCAUCAACUCUUCUUUCUCCAAGGCUAACUGUAAGCAUCCAAGUUGGAAAAAAAUUGUUCAGAUCUUUGGUAUGGUAAAAAUGCCUUAAAAUAUAAGCAGCUAGGCAGACAGGAAGUAGAGGGAGCAAAAAUGAUCUAUCUCAAAUAUUUUAUGCGAAGGAAGCUACCUCAGAAACCAACGUAUUGAUGUUUUGGAUCAUCCUUAUCUGAUAUGGAGGAAUGGCCGUUGAUAAACUUUCAAGACUGAGCUGGUCAUUCUCAGGCAGAUAUGAAAAGAUCGGGCCCUCAGUACUGGGAGCUUCUAAGUUAGAGUCGUCCAUGGUAGUAUUUACGACUUUAUCUUCACCUGAACCGAUACAACACCAGAUAAUUGAAUCUUAUGAAAAUGUAAAAACAAACAUAAAGAGACAUUCUGAAAAUGUAUUUGUGAAAUCUGAAACCACAUACGGAGAUCCUCUGUUGAAGUCGAUACAUCUUUUUUACUAGGCAUACUCCUGCUAACAUCAAGUGAUUUGCUAUUACCAGAAGCUUUUCGUAGUUUCACCUGCAAGAACUUCUUUUCUGUAGAGAGAAAGAAAAACAAGAAGAUCUCGAUACACGUACUGGAAACUGGUGGGGAAAGAAAUGGCAAUUCUAUAUCACUCUAAACCAAGUACAAGCAAAAUCACUCGAAGUUAAAAAUAGGGGUCUCUAAUAAACUGGUAAAGGAAGAGAUGACACUUCAAUAUUUCUCUAAACCAAUUACAAGUAAAAUCAGUUGAACAUUCCUUGAUAAUUUAAUAUUGCUCUAAAUCAAUUACAAGCAGACAAACUCAAAAGACUCCAAAUAGGUUCUUGGAUAAAAAUGGUAAAUGCCUCUAACACCUGCAGCGUUUGUCCAAGCAGACACUGAGAGAAUGAUAAAGCUUUUAAAUUUUCGAGGUUUGAGGAUCAGAUGUCAGAAGAGGAAUUAGUGUAUAACUGUAUAUAUAUAUUUUAAAGCAAGACCAAGAGAGAAGAAAAAUCAAUCAUUUGCUGGCACAGUCAUAAAGAAAUAUCUUGAAUUCUUGCAUGAUAAACUUACCAACCACUCAAAAAGAAACGCUCACAUAUAUCUUCUUGAAUUUUCGUAUCACGCUAGAAGGCUAACUAACCAAAUAAACAGUCAGAAAAGAAAUCGUUCAUUAUUUUAAAACAUGUCGAAUGGGUCUAUUAUUAAUAGUCAGACCCAGCCCUGCUGGGACUCUCCGGAUGUCAUUACUGUUUCAGCUUACAAGAUAAGCGUUUAUGCAAGAUCCAAACAAGACCUUCAAAACUGUAUUCCCCAGUGGUUUAUUACAGAAAAGUUUUAUGCUGGUAGAGAAACUCAACCUCCAUAGCCAGUUGAUAACAACAAAAGAGUAUUAGGUAGUUAUUUGAUUAUGAUAGUUGACUUAUAUAAUAGCUGAUGUCACAGAACAACAUUGUGAAAUAGCUUGUUUAUAUUGAGUCAAACUGCCACAGGAGGAAGCAAGAAGGUAUUAUCCAUGUGAAUUUUAUUUAAGGCGGUGAAGAGCAGAUGUAUAUCAAUAUAGCCACAGCUCAUGUAUUCCUACAAACGAAAACCACCUUGUAUCUAGCACACGGCCACUAUCUUCUUACCUUCUUUUAGAGCAUCAAUUGUUGACAACAGAUCCUGACGGUCCUUUUCAAGGCUAGUCAUUUUCUUUCUGCAGAAAAACAAGAGAAAGUUGAAUGAGAUCAACACCCACAUUUAAUGCAAUUUAGAAGUCAAUGAUCAAGGAAAAACGAGUCAUAGGCCGCUCAAGUAUUAAUCCCAUAGAAUAUGCAUUAGAUGAUUUAUCUUUUUAUAAACAAGAUGAGAUAGGUGCAAGUGGGAAAAAGGAAAGCUGCUUUCUUUUAAGAGGUACAGUUUGGAGCAUAUAAUGUUACUUUUGGGAGUAGAUAUGAAACAUAUUUCUAUCUUCAGAAGAUGGAUGUCAGGUCAAGGACCCCAUAUAAUCAAGCUCCUGGAAUUAGAAGUAUUUUGGUACUUUGGCAAAUUGCCGUAUAUCGAAAGGAAUCAUAAGUAUUCAGCAGUUGAGUGUAAGAUAUUCAGCGGUUUACUAACUUAUUCUACGUCCAAUUAUCUGAGUACAAAUCAAAGUUGUUGAAAUUUUAAUCUUAGUAAGAAAUAAGAAUCCUCAAGGGAAAAUGAGAGUUGGCAGCUAAUAAACACAUGUUUUCCUUAAUAUAUUGGCGGAAAUGUUAUUUACUUUCUAGAUUUUUCGUUAAAUCUUUUCAUCCUCUAAUGUUGCUAUUCUUAACUUUUCAAACGGUAACCUCUGUCCACUCUUGCAGAGUAUUUGCUUUCAUUCCUUAAGACAUAUAUCCUUAUUACCAUAUACCUUUAAUCAUCACAACAGCACUCUAAAUCAGCCAACUAACUAUUAAUAUCAAACUCCAAAAUAAGUGAGUCAGAUCAGAUUUACUUAGUUUCUGGAGAUUUGUCUUUAUACCAGUUGCACAUCUUCUCUAUUAGUGAAAGCACAAGAAGUUCUCUGCAGCACCAGCUUCCCAAAACAUAUGUAUGGAGCGGACUUGCAGUGCAACAGGAAAAAAACACCAGCAUGAUUCCAUUGUUCAAUAACUGGUAUGCGAUGUAUUCAUAUCAUAGUAAUUUCAUUAAAAUGAUUCUGUUAUCUAGUUUCCCUUUAGAUUUUAUCCCAGUUAUGAUAUCUUCUAUGCUAUCAAUGAUUUCCACCUGCAUCUAACAAGAAACAACAAAACCACAAACCAAUUUACGUUCUUGCUCCAAAUGGAAAAGAUGCAUCUCCAUUCUCCAAAAGGGUGGGUCGUCCAGAAAGGACAAGGCAAGGAUAAUGAAGAGACGGGAGGAGGGGAUGAACAAAUAUAGCUAAAGAUGACUAUGACCAGAUCAGAGUUAGGGAUGAAAAUUAUGGCCUAGACAUGUUCACAGGAAAGCUUUGAGCAUACCUGAAAGAAGAUGUUUCAGCUUGUGAUUUCUCCAAUUCCCUCUCCAGUUUAAGCUCACUAGAUCUCAGACGAAGUGCCUACAAGAUUGUUUUAGUCAAAGGCAUUAUCUCAGAGUGGAGUAAAUUAUCAUAUAUCAGAAAAACAAAUUAUCGCACUUAAUCAUCAAUUCUGAAGAAAAGAAAAUUAGAGAAGGCACUAUAACAAAAAAAGAGAGAAGACAGUCCCAAAAUUCUAACAUCAACAGGAAAUAUAAUCAAAUAAGAAACAUGAGCAACCAUAUGCACUGAUCCAAAGGAAAAAUAAAAUAGACAACAAAGAUUGGACAUAUAAAUAAACCAAGUCAGCAUUGUGAUCCAAGCUAAUUUAAAUUUCAUUUUUAAACCAUAAGAAGGGACGAAAGAUCGCAUACCACCCAGUAUUACAUGUGACAACAUUUAUCAAAAACUAAGUUUUACAUGUGAUGCUGUAUGGGGCGGAGUGCUGGCCCGUGAAGAAUUCGCAUGUUCAGAGGAUGAAGGUCGCGGAGAUGAGAAUGCUUAGGUGGAUGUGCGGGCACACCAGGCUAGAUAAGAUUANNNNNNNNNNNNNNNNNNNNNNNNNNNNNNNNNNNNNNNNNNNNNNNNNNNNNNNNNNNNNNNNNNNNNNNNNNNNNNNNNNNNNNNNNNNNNNNNNNNNNNNNNNNNNNNNNNNNNNNNNNNNNNNNNNNNNNNNNNNNNNNNNNNNNNNNNNNNNNNNNNNNNNNNNNNNNNNNNNNNNNNNNNNNNNNNNNNNNNNNNNNNNNNNNNNNNNNNNNNNNNNNNNNNNNNNNNNNNNNNNNNNNNNNNNNNNNNNNNNNNNNNNNNNNNNNNNNNNNNNNNNNNNNNNNNNNNNNNNNNNNNNNNNNNNNNNNNNNNNNNNNNNNNNNNNNNNNNNNNNNNNNNNNNNNNNNNNNNNNNNNNNNNNNNNNNNNNNNNNNNNNNNNNNNNNNNNNNNNNNNNNNNNNNNNNNNNNNNNNNNNNNNNNNNNNNNNNNNNNNNNNNNNNNNNNNNNNNNNNNNNNNNNNNNNNNNNNNNNNNNNNNNNNNNNNNNNNNNNNNNNNNNNNNNNNNNNNNNNNNNNNNNNNNNNNNNNNNNNNNNNNNNNNNNNNNNNNNNNNNNNNNNNNNNNNNNNNNNNNNNNNNNNNNNNNNNNNNNNNNNNNNNNNNNNNNNNNNNNNNNNNNNNNNNNNNNNNNNNNNNNNNNNNNNNNNNNNNNNNNNNNNNNNNNNNNNNNNNNNNNNNNNNNNNNNNNNNNNNNNNNNNNNNGCCGAGGGUCGAUUGGAAACAGCCUCCCUGCCCUUCCGGGUAGGGGUAAGGCUCGUCUACAUAUUACCCUCCCCAGACCCCACCUGGUGGGAACGUACUGGGUAGUUGUUGUUGUUGUUGUUGUUGUUGUUGUUGUAAGUUUUACAUGUGACAGACAUUGAAAAGAUACCUCGGUGGAGGACUUAGCAGAUUGGAAAUAAAAAGUUCAAGACAAAUGUAAUUCCCUUUCAGAAUUCCGGACAAUUGACGAAGAAAAGCUAAAUUCUUUGCAUAUGACCAAUGCAUUAUUAUGAGGCUACCAUAUGAGUUCUCAGAUAGCCUCACCCUACACUUUUACAGUGAUAUAUCAGGUGACUCCGCAUAACAUGUGUUGGCUAAAGAUUUUACCAAAAAAGAAAAAGGACAAAAAAGAAACCAUAUAUACAACAGACUUUUAUUGGCUACACUCACAAAGUUAAGUUGCUUUCAAGUUUCAAGUCCACAAACAUGAAUAUCAAUAGGAACUAAACACUAUUUAAGUGGAAUACAGAUUCUCUUUUGAAAAAAAGGGUAUGUCUGUCUUCUAAAAGUAUAACUCAGUAGUUUUAUUUAAUGUUUAAAUUCUCAGUAAGGGCUUCGUGAAGGAGUUGGUUCAACAUCAGGCAAUCCCAUGGUUGGUUACCUUCUCUUCCAAUCCAAUCACUUCAGAAGCCAAUAACCUCGCACGUUCAUCUGCAGCAUUACAUUCCAGUUGUACGUUUGCAUAUUCCAUUUUCACAGCUUCAAGUUCAACCUACUUACAUUAAAUGCAACAAAUAGAAAAUCAAUAACCUCCAAGAUUAUGGUAAGAAUCAAGUCCAUUACUAUGAAUAGCUAAAAUGCAUCAGGCUAUGUUAGUAUAAAUUUAGGUUGCCAGAUAUCUGAACUAAUCUCAACAUGAGAAACCAGUUCAUUCCACAAUUCCAUUCAAAAAACAUUCUCCUAAUAGGAUCGCCGAUGUAUCCUUUACUAUAGAGUUAAGAGGAAUGAACACAUUCUUCAAUAGGCAUUAACAUAAAAAAAUACGGUUCAAAUUGUACCCAUUUACAAAAAUUGUCUCUGGAAAAUCAUUCAACAUCAUUUCUAGAAUCUCUUGAACCUUGCUGAAUACUUCAUGACGCCCCCUCAAAAGAAAAAAUAGAAGAAAGAGGGGUGACCAAGAACUAAGGUUCAUGACCAAGUUUUUAUUGUCAAAAAUAUAUGUAUAAAGGGCAGCUCCAAGCACAAAAGUAUCAUGCGUUCACGCAGGGUCUAGGGAAGGGCCGCAUCCCAAGAGCUGUGAUAUAGACAGCCUACCCUAAUACAAGCACCGGUGAUUGAUUAUACGACUCGAACCGAUGACUAUGUAUAAGAAAUAAAAAAGUAAAUCACUACAAUUUAUCAAGAAAACAAAAAUCAUUAGUGCGAUGUAUUUAGAGAAGAAAAAUCAUUGGAUCCUUCAACAUACUAUCAACUCUCCGGAUCUAUCAAAUAAUUAUUGGUAAUCAGGUGCUUCAUAUGUCACUCAUUUAUAAGAGUCGAAAUACGUUAUGCAACCCAACAGGAGAAAAAAAUAAAAAAUGAAGAAUGGAAGAUCCAAACAACCAAAUUUAUUUGUACUGUUUAGAAACAAGGAACAAAUUUACCCUAACUUUCCGCAACAUCUUUGUUGUUCUACCACUUUUAAGACGUCAUAUCAACAAUAGCAAAGCAAAUAGGUCGCUUCACUUGGUCGAUCAACUUGAAAAUGCACCCAAAUAAAAUCAGUGGCAACCCAAUACCACCCAUUCACAAUUUUAGCUAUGUUGUGCAAUGUAAUUCAAAGUGUCAGCAUCAAAAAGCAAAACACAGAUCAGCUAAUACAGCAAUAAUUGGGAGUAAGUAAGAAAGAUCUGUACAAACCAGUUGUGCUUUAAUUUUCGCCUGCAAGUUUUCUAUGUCGCCCUUUAAUUGGGUAACAAAACUGCCCUGCAAAAGAAAAUUAAGCAACUGAUUAGAGUAAGAAAAAUCCUUUCUUUUAAUUUAUCAACAAAAUUUCCAAAAAUGUUCGGCAUGUGAAAACAAUACUUAAUGCAACAAAUGUAAUUGGUGUUACACAAGCGACCCCUCAAGGAGAAGAGACUGGACUACUUGUUCCUACAAGUUCAGGUUGUUAAUCACUUGUGUACCGAAUCUUUUUGGAAUACAGUAGUCAAUGUUGGCUAUAGUUAAGCAUGCAAAGUUCAGCAGGUGUUUCAGAAGAAGAAAAAGAAGAUGUAGAUCAUGGGAUGUAGCCCUUUUAGCUAUCAUGUGGGUUCUUUGGGGAGUAAGGAACCAAAGAUCCUUCAAGGAAAAUGAUUUAUACAAAUGAAGGCCUAUAUUGUGUUUCUUAGGUUUUUCAGUGCACCCAUGAAGUUCAUACUAAUAAAAGAUGGUUUAGGUGUUAUUUAUAGCAAAUCAUAACUUUGUGUAGAAGUUUCCACCACGUUAAUGAAAUAAUUACUACUCCUAUUCCAUUUUAUGUGGCACUGUUACCUUUUCAAGUGUUUGUCUAUGUAUUCAGCCAAUCUGUUUAAUAUUUAUGAACAGAUAAUGUGUACCUGUUGGUUAUAACUCUCUGUCAGGGCUGAAUUUUCAGCAGCUAGAGACUCUGCCAGAGCUCGUGAAGCCUCAAGAGCACGUUGCGAAGAGAACUUCUCUUGUGUUAAAUCUUCAAUAUGCUGUCAAAAUGCAAAAGUAAACAUCAUACAAGUAUUUAACAAUUUAAUACCCUGAUGCAAAAUUCUACAACCCUGAGAGUUAAGCAAUCAUGUGUGGUCCCAACUAUUCUCGCUCACUGCACCUUGAUGUAAAUGCAAGAGACCAUUCUUAAUCUUGCCAGUUUCUCUAACCAAGCACUUGAAGUGUGCUCUUGUACUGACAAACAUUCAACAGGAGAAAUGACUAACAGAUGGAAAUGUGAAUAUUCUCGUGCUAGUAAACAAAGUAUCUUUUCAAGAUUUAAGUAAAAGAAACGUGAUUAGCCAGUGUUCACUUCACAUCAGAGCAUAUUUAUUAAGAUAUUUAACAUGUUAAAUUAAUUUACUUCUUUCAGCUUAAUCUCUACACAAUCACUGUCCUUUCCAAGUGCAUGUACUACGAUAUAAACUUAAAUCCGAUUUAACUACCAAGGUUAGCGGCAGUAUUCUACCUUACUAACAUUUUUUGCGUCGCAUUCAAUUUUACCGAGUCUCCAUCCACUAUAUUUCAUAAUGAAACUUUUUUAGUCUUCAUAUUUCAAUGUGAAAGACUCAAAAUUUUGCAUUCAAUUCACAGAAUCUGGAUCAUUUAAGACUAUAUAGGAAAUUUGGUAGCUCAACUUCGGCAGUUCUCUUCAAGACGCAUCACACAACUGGCAAGUGGAUGGCUUUAUUAUUAGUGCAACGUUCUCACUACUAAGAAUAAUUUUCAACAGCAGAGUGCUUUUCAUAUAUUAGCCAUCACAUAGCUGUAUCUUCAAAAUAAAUUUUGACUUCAAAGACAUACUGACCUAAAUUUAUCACUUCUAAAGCAAGGGAAACAAAUGCCAAAAAAAAACCUGUUCUAAAGCUGCAAAAUCUUCAUUCUGUUUUCUUUCAUUAAACUGAUAAUAGUUGUCCAUGUUGCCCGUGUCUUUCUCAGUAUGAUGAUUCAACUUAUCAGACCCAUUAGCAGAAAAACUUGAAGAGUUCAUCAUGUUCCUGGAGUUGGACAAUUCCAAAGUGUCCGUGGGAUGAACCUUCGGGUUACAUCUGUCUGCAGAAACUGAUUCAGUUGGAGAAGAGGAUAUAGCAGGAACUUUUGAAAUGUUGAUGGAAUCAAGGAAAGAUGGCCGAGAUCUCCUCCCAACAGUGGGUGGAGGCAAUUUUGAAUAACUAGAAGAACUUCUUGCUUCAGAACUGAUGCCAUCAUAUUUAGAAUCAGAUGGUGGCCAAGAAGAUGAAUUGUUGGUCAUAUAAAAACCGGAGCUGCUAAACUGGCCAUACCCAGUAUCAGAAACCAUAGAACUAUUAGCUUCCGCAGCACUGUCCUUUUGCUCAACUUGCAAUGAAAAAUUCGUGCUGCUGGUUGCAGGGUGCAUAUAAUCUAUAAAAAAAAUGGAGAAUAGCUAUCAGAUUAUGCAGCCCCAAGUGAUUAACUGAAUAAACAAAUAGCAUAUAUGCAAUGAGGUUUGCUAGGUAAAGGGGAAUCAGAAUACAAGGGAUAAAAGGAAGUUAAAGCAAAAUUUAACAUACCACAAAAUUACCUUCAUAUGAUGAGGAAGUCAAUCCACUAGCCAAACGAUCCAUAUAACCUGGUUUUUCUUGCAGAUGAGGACCAAGGGAAUAUUCAGGUGAAAUACUAGCAGGAGCAGAAUGAGAAGUACCAGUAUCUAUUACAGAAAGAUCAUUUCUGCUGUUUUCCUCUGGUAUGCUUUUACCCAGACCAUCAUGAGUAAACUGACUGGAACUUCUAUUGUAACUGGGGGCUGAUGACUGAAAAUUAGCUGUAGUAUGACUAGUACUAAAUCCAAAUCCAACACUUCCUAAGGCUCCGUAAUUUUCCGUAUUUUCAGAGGAAUCAUAACCAAUGCUGAAUUGUUUAGACAACUUUAGAUUUUCGUCACCCUUAAGGACUUUAUCUCCAGAAUGAGAUGACGCUGAGAUGGAAGAAUCAAAACCGUUAUUGUUUCCACUAACAGUAGAAGAAGCGCUAGCAUCAUUGUCAUUGUUGUAUAAACUAUGAGUUGAACUAGUGUUAGCAUCAUAGGAAGAAGCUAAACUACUCUUCCGGGAAAGAUCAGGGUUCAUGAAAUCAUGCUUAACAUCUGCUCGAGGUAACUCUAAAAAUGCUCUACCAACUGCAUCAGAUGUACCAGCCCCACGAGAGUCAGUGAUUCUUGUGGGUUCAUUUUCCAAAGGCUGAUUCUCAAAGCCUCCAUCCGAAUUGUGAGGUUGAUUGUUGGAAGUAGACUUUUUAGACCUCUGUGCUGCUCUCUGUUUACGAAACUCCUCUAGCUGCAAAUGACACAAAAUAAAUAAUUAAAAGAUCAUAGAAACAUUGCACAUAAAUUUUAAUACCAAAAAACCAUUCUGAUACUCCAACCAAAUAUUCAUCAAAAUCAACACUCCCCAUCACACAUCGUUGCUAUUGCUAAUCAAGGCAUUACGAAUAGCCAUAUCUUUCUCAAAAGAAUAGGCACAAGGGAAAAUAGAAACUACAGAGGGAAACACUAUUCUGCAAAUGGUCACCCUAUCUAAAAGAUAAUGUGCAUGUGAGAUUACAUUACAGAGGCAAUCGCUAUUCAGCAAAUGGUCACCCAUCUAAAAGAUAAUGUGCAUGUGAGAUUAGAUUAUCACAAAUAGGAUAGGAUCGAGAAGAUCCCAUUGAUCUUAAUUGAAAUUCAGAUCAUUAAGGCUCAACAUCCGUUAUCACCUUUACAUGUUGUAGCAGGUAACCUUCCUUAUUCUCAAGAUUACGAAUGCCAUUUUUAUGGAGGGUUACCGGUAGAUAUCAUUUGAGUGACCCGAUAGUAUAAAAAAGUUGCACUGUCGUGCAUAUAAGUUAAACUCAUACAAAAUCAACAUUAUCGCUAGCAAUUUACGCAUACCACAAAUCGUAAUCAACUCAUUAAAAUUAUUCAGAACAAACAUUAAGCAAAAGAUAACAUAAAAAACUGAUAAACAAACAGUAAGAAUAUCUUUAACUACAAUGACUCAUUAUUUUCCGCCAAUCUAGUAACUCAACACAUAAAUGAAUCAACAAAUACGAAAGAAAUCAAAUAAAAACUUUCUAGAAUUUUCGAAUUCGUACCUUCUUUUUCCCAGCUUGCAAAUGCUCUUGCUUACGCAGCACCUGAGCCGACGCCAUUAAAUCCGAAAUCUCAAUCAACAAAACUAGAAAAAAAAUCCCUUACAUCAUUAUCGAAAACCCUAAACUAAUUAUCAGGCUGGCCUCUAAAACACAGAUCAAUUAGCAAUGUAAGUGAAUCUGUAAACCAAUUGGUGCACGAAUGGAAAUAAAUAUAGAAUUGAAUUGCCGUUUACAAGUAUUUAAUAUGAGAAAAUUGAAAAACUUUGAAAGACUGAGGAAAAUGAGUCCUAAAUUCGAUUAAAAGGGAUCCAUAAAUUGGAUCGGAGAGGAAGAAAAUAGAGGGAGAACGGCUCUUUUUUUUUUUUUUUUUUGGUAAAUUGGAUUUUUUGAGUCCUAAAUUCGAUUAAAAGGGAUCCAUAAAUUGGAUCGGAGAGGAAGAAAAUAGAGGGAGAACGGCUCUUUUUUUUUUUUUUUUUGGUGUAAAUUGGAUUUUUGGAGCAAGAUCUGUCUCUCGCUCUUUCUCUCUCAUUUUUAUUUUCGGACAAGGAGAAGUGUCCAUAUGAAUUAACUUGUGUCUAAAAAUGCUCUCCGUUAACCUAUUUUUUAAAAAAUAUUCCUAUCGUUAUAAUUCUGUAUAUUUAUACCCCUAAAUCUAACAGCUGACUUAUAAUUAUAUUAAACAUGUUUUUAAUUUCACGUGGCCUAAUCUGAUUAGCUUUUCAUUAAACCAUGUCCCAAACCUUUUCUACCCACCCAUAACCCAAUUGAUCCGACCCGACCCGACCCAUCAGACCACCAGCGUCCUCAUUCUAAUCAUCUUCGGCAAUUUCCAAUAUGACGACUAGUCUUCUUCUUUCCCUGCUGCCAAGCUCCGCCAGCACCAGAUCGUUGGUGGUGGCGGCGGAGGCGGAGGCGCUGUAGUAGCAGCUAAAGCACUUUUGCUCCAGCAGCAAAUUUUUCUUUCCAGAAAACUCGCCGGAAACGGCCUUAGGUCUCCGACUGGAGCCUCCAGAGAUAACGACUUCCUUAACAUGCUCGGUAAUGGUGACCAAAACGACGGCGUGGGAAAUCCGGUAAGUUUCAUUUUUUCCGGCAGUAAAUUCAGUCAUAUUUAUGACUUGUUUUUAACAUUUAUUUUCCUAAUUAUUAACGAUUAGUUAUUUAUGUCAUUAAUUACAGGACAGUUCUGUUCAAGCUCUUUUCAACGGAUUCACAAAAUCUCUUGGUCAAAACUCAAGUCAACCUCAACAUUUCACCAUUCUCAGGUCCAUACACAAUUUUACAUGCAUAUAUUCAUACACGCUCAUAUUUUAUUACUCAAGACUGUUUAGCGAAAAUUUAUUUAUACAUUAUUUUCGAAAAUUAUAGGGAGGAUCGAUGCAGGCACAGAGUUUCGGAACUCUGAAAUAACCUAAGUCGUGUGGUUUGGGGGGUAAAAGAUGGUAUGAUGGGUCGGGUCGGGUCGGAUCAAUUGGGUUAUGUGUGGGGUAAAAAAGGUUUGGGACAUGGUUUAAUGACAAGCCAAUUAGAUUAGGCCACAUGGAAUUAAAAAUAUGUUUAAUAUAAUUAUAAGUCAGCUGUUAGAUUUACGGGCACAAAUAUGCCAGAAUUUUAACGGUAGGACAUUUUUCUCAAAAUAGGUUAACGGAGGGCAUUUUUAGACUGGAGUCAAUACGUUAGGGACAGUUCUGACCCUUUUCCGUUUUAUUUUUUUCAAUCUUUCUCUUAUAAUUUCCCUUAUUUUAUUUUUAAUCUCUUUCUUUUUCUUUUUAUUUUACUUUAAGGCUCAUAUAUAUUUAUUCCUUUGAAGUUUUUGGGGUUGAGACAUAUGCUCCUUUAGAAAUCCUUUGGUUCAAAGACAAAUUAUAGCUGUAUUAGUAAUUCAAAAAUUAAUUGAAUAAUUUUUGAAAUAUUUUUUUGACCAAAAAGCAUAAACUUUCAGUUAAACUAUUAAAUUUUAAAUCUAGUUAAUAAUAAUAUCUCUAGAUUUAGAACUAGUUACUGUGAAAUAUGUGGGAUAAUACUGGUGUGCAUUUGAUAUUCCGAAGGAUUUGCGCAAUAGUAGAGGAAUAUCAAGCAAUAAACGGUAUUUAUGUAAACAAGAAGAAUGUUUCGCCCAAUAUUGAAUAAGUUGGAUGAUUCUUCUUUCUGACAGUGUUGAGUGACAGACAAAUCACAUUGCUUUGUAUAAUGUAGAGUUUAUAUCUUUUCUAGAUAGAGAGUCUUCUUCUCAAAAAGUGUUCUCAUCAAUUGAAUAUUAUAUGCUUUAUCCCCUUAUCUCGUUUUUUAUUUAUAUGGGACAUAUCCCAAAUCAAGCCUAAUAGUAUAAGUGCAGAGAAUAUUCAAUGGAAUAUUCUUUGUAAUAUCCUAUUAUAAAAACUAGUCUUUGUUGUUCGCCCUUGACUAUCGUUAACUGCCCGACUACAAGUCCCAUUGCCUACUAGUCGACCUCGACCGCAUCUUUUUCCUUAGUGCCAUUUUAUGCUAAAUUCCUUUAGGACAGAUUUUAACCUAUACAGUUAGUCCCUCCGUUUAUUGAGGCCGAUCCUGGACGACCUCGAUGAGCAGACUCUAUUGGUUGUGGUUGAGAAGUUUAGGCGAGUAGAUCGAAUAGUAGCAACUUAGACGAGGUAGCAACGUGGCCUUUCGUGAGCCGCAACCUAGGGACACGUCGAUAUAGAAUGACAUCAUGUCAUCAUACGUCAUUAUUAUGCAUUUUCUCGAUGCCUUGUGUUGUUUUCUAUACCUCUGCCAUUUCGAUACCUGAGCUGGGUAAUAACGAUUUUCUUUCUCGGUAUCGAUGCCUGAAUCUCUUAUAAAUAGGGAUAUGAAACCCUUUGCCUUAUUCUUUGCAAUCCAGAUAUUGAAUCAAUGUAUCUUCUUCUUCCUUCUUCAUUAAAAGUCCUUGCCCUCUUGACCUUACUUUCAUGUUUUUGCUUUCACUGGUUCUGGUGAUUCCUGCUACUUAUGAAUCUUCUACGCUUACAUCUCCUAUAUACAUAAACAAUGAUGUUUAACAUAUCUUCUAGUUCUGUGCGGGGUAAGGGGGUACCUGACCCUUUUCCCUUGGCGGUGCGCAUGCCUCCCUAUGAUGAUAGUGUUUCAAUUAUUGUUGAAGAUGAGAACCUUCCUACGAUGGAGGAGAUAAUCUCUCGUAGUGAAAAAGAUAGAUCUGAUUUUUUGUAGGUGCUUGAAGAUGACCCUGAGAUCUCGGAUUCAAUGAUGAAAGAGGCCGCCCUUGCUGAGUUUAGGGCAAAAUUCAAAAUUCCUGCUCAUAUCAACCUAAUUCCAACUCGGCGGGAUGUGGUACAAGUACACCGCCCUUGGUCUUGCGAUUUCUUUGCAUAUCCCUUUCAUGCCGGCUAAUCAUUUCCUAUUAUCCCAUUAGUUGAGGAACUCUGCCGCUAUUACACCGUCUAUGCAGCCCAAAUUUCUCCAUAUAUCUACAAACUUAUCUAUAUGCUUAUGAAGUAUGCAGAAUUAGCCGGGGUCGAUAUAUCACUUUGCCACUUAAUGCAUCUUUUCGCCCCUAUAGGGGGAUAAGUAGUAGCAAAAUAUAGAGGGUCGAUGCUACAUCUUCGCCACCGGGGAAGCAAGUGUUUAGUGGUGAAGAUGAAUGACAAUGCAAAUCGUCAUUUUUAGCUCAAUUUCUUCUAUAUCAAAACUGCGGAUGCGGUAGUCAAUGCAAGCAGGUUCCCCGAGGUUUGGAACUAUGCCCGUAAACAUCUCUCUCCCCUUUUAUCUCUUUUUAUAUUAAGUAUUGGUUCUGCUAAUUCAGUCGUACUGACAUUUUGUUCUCUCUUUGUGUAUCCGAGUUUGCACCCCAUCCUUUGGAUGAAGACAUUCACGAUUGGGUUAGUCGAGUCAUUCCUCAUACAACAACGGGGAUUUGCGAAUGGACGACCAUUCUUAAGAAGUUUGGGCAUGCAUCUUCUAUGACUAGUGAGUUUAUCCAUUUAAAUCUAUAUUGUCGCGGCUUUCUGGUCACUUGCUUCUUAUUAUUUUGUAGGGACCGACAUUUUAACCUUCUUACCCUUUUUUAUUCAACUCGGGGAUCCUCCAAAAGGCCGAGGGCCCCUGCUCCUAUGUUUAGCAAGAGGGAUACUAUAGCGGAGAACGCUCCUACUAUGACUAUGGCUAAGCCUGCCCAAUUGUCCACUUACAUUUCGCCUCAUAUUGAGGCUAGGUCGGCUCGAUCAUUGACUACAUCAGCACCAGUGUAAUGAUCGGAUCAGUCAUUUUGAAUAAUUACAACCUCGUUUCCCCAUAUACUGCUAAAUUCUUGUUUCACGGUUCUUAUGUAACUUUUCGGGGAAAUUGGUUCGGGAUUGGAAAGGUUUUGAAAGGAAUUGAGACAUUUAGUCUCAAAGAAGAGAGCUUAAGUUGAAUAAAAUUGACCGGAAGGUGAAAUAUGAGUAUACGAAUCCGGAAUGGAUUUUUGAUGAUUCUAAUAGCUCUUUAUGGUAAUUUUGAAUUUAGGAGCGUACCCGGAAUUUUUUUUUUUUUGGAAGUUUGUAGUUUAGGCUUGAAAUGGCGAAAAUGAGAAGUCGUAGUUUAGAAGUUUGACUGAGGGGUUGAUUUUUUCAUAUCAAGAUCAAAAUCAGACUCAUGAAGUGGGAAUAGAUCCAUUAUGUUUGUUAUGACUUAUGUGCAAAAUUUGGGGUCAAUCGGACUUGAUUUGAUAGGUUUCGGCGUUGUUUGUAGAAUUUAAAAGUUUCUAAGUCCUUAGGCUUGAAACCAAGGUGGAUUUAGUAUUUUGGUGUUUUUUUGAGUAAUUCGAAGGCUCGACUAAAUUAUUAUGAUGUUAUGGGAUAUGUUGGUACAUUUGGUUGAGGUCCCGGUGGCAUCGUAUAAGUUUUGGAGUGAAUUUCGAGCGAGUCCGGGCAUUUUGGUGCUGUGAGAUGGUUCUGGCACUUUUCGGAGUGUGGACCGCACCAAAAAUAUGUGGACCGUGAGGGGAGUGCGGACCGCACUAAAUGGUGUGCGAACCACACAAAAUGGUUUACGGCCGCACAUAUAAAAUGUUCUGUAGUACCGCUGGUCCGACUUCGGAAGCUUAUAUCUUUUGAUCUACAGGGAAUCUUGAGAUGAUUCAAAAAUGAAAGUUGUCGCCUUUCGUGUCUAGUUUAGAAAAGUAAAGAAAUCACAAUUUGGAAAUCUGUAUGAAGUUAUGUCCAAAAUACUAAAACAUGUCAGUGCUGUCAAAUCCACCGCAGACAGCACUGGUUUUUGUGCGGUUAGCAGUGGUGGAAAUCCGAGAGGUGCACUAUAAAUAUGAGGUUUAGAGUUUUAUUUCAUAUUUUAACCUAGAGAGUUCGGAUUUUGGCGAUUUUUUGAUGUUUUUUCUAGAAAAUUCAUCAGAGUAAGUGAUUCUAACUUGGAUUUGGCUAGAGUACAUAAAUCUACAAUUAAGUUUAUCAUUUAAUUAGUGAUUUGGGGUGAAAAUUUGGAGAAAAAUUAUAGAAACUUCUAAAAUGAAUUUUUGAGAUUCGAAGAACAAUCUAAUAUCGGAAUUUGAUAAAAUUGGUAUGGUUAAAUUCGUAUAGGAAUGGGUGUUCUGAUUUCAUGAAAAUUAGGUCGGGUUCCGAGGGACGGGUCCCGCGUUGACUUUUGGUUGACUUUUAAACGUAAAUUUCAAGUCAACAUUUUUACUAUCCAGAAUUAUUUUUUCGAUGUAUUUUAAUGAAGUGCUACAAUUUAUUUGGAUGAUUUGAACCGUUCGAAGGUCAAUUCAAGCAAGAAGGCUAUUUUGAAAUAUCCGCCUAACUCCAAAAAGGUAAGUAUCUUGCCUAACCUUAUGUGGGAGACUUCCCCUUAAGAUUUAAGUCUUUCGUGUUGAUUGUUAUUUGUGUAUGCGAGGUUACGAGUGAUUACUCAGAAUUACUUGUGGAGAAUUGGAACUUUAGGGUUCUUAGGUUCUUACAUGCACUAUGGAUGAAAUUAUUCUCGAUAUGACUAAGUUCCUACUUAUUAGUUCGUCUUACAUGCUUAAUUGAAAUUAAUUGCUUCACGAUUCACUCUUAUUACCUAAUUGACUCCUAUUUGACUUAACUGAAGAAUUUUGCCUCUCCUAUUGCCAUGUUAUAUUUUCAUAACUACUUGAUUCGUGUUGAUUUCCUUAUUAUUGGCUUGUAUAUUGUGGGAUCGUUGCUACAUGUUAGUUUUUCCAUUGUUGAACUAUUCCCUUUAUGCACCAUUCUUUUCUAUGUUUAUUCCUUUAAGCUAGUUCUACCAUUUUCUUGUGAUUUACAGCCCCUGAGUUGAUUUACUUGUUUUACCUUGUGUUAUUGUCAUUUGUUGUUCUUAUAUGUAUUGUGGUCAUGUUCAAUCCUUUUGUUGUGAUGUAACUGUUGAUUUUAUUGGUUACAUUGUGUAUUUAUUUGGGACUACGGAUGUGGGAUUCCGGUAGAUCCCCCUUGUUUGUUUAUUUAGGACUAUGGAUGUGUGAUUCCAGUAAAUCUCCCUUGUUUGUUUAUUUGGGAUUACAGAUGUGGGAUUCCGAUAGCUCUCCCUGCACAGUUAUAUAAAAUGACAAGAAUGCACCUGGUAGAUUCCCCUAGUAUUGGGUAUUUAUAUUUGGGACUAUAGAUCAGGAUUUCCAGUAGAUCCCCGCACACUGAUAGUUGGACUAUGGGAUGGGUUCCCGGGAGAUCCUUCGAAUAUACAUGAUAGACUACGGGAAGGUAUCCCUGGAGAUCCACUGGAAAGUGGUAAUAUGGACUACAGGACGGUAUCCUGGAAGAGGCUUAUCGAUAUUGCUGAGUAUAGAUACACAUCUUUCUUAAAUUGCCUUCUAUGUAAGAAUUAUUCUAUUUGGUACGUGAGUUGUCAGUAUGAUUAUGAGGUGUGAUGAGGGCACGAGAUGCCAAGUGUUAGGGUUCUAGUGUUGAGACCUGUAUUGUAUAGUUAUAAGCCGAGGUGUCACAUGGUAAUUUAUAUCCGAAGGUUAUCUAUUUGAAAAGAUUAAUUUAUAUCCGAAGGUUAUCUAUUUGAAAAGACUAUAUUCGAAAGAUACUUACUUCCAAAAGACUAGUUUGAAAUGUCGCAGGGUGAUUUAUAUUCGAAGAACAAUUAUUUGAAAGGAUUAUAUUUAAACCCUAUUCAUUUUUGUGUUCUUAUUAUAGUGUUCCGCUGUUACCUGUUGUUUCAUUCCUUAUUGCAAGUACUGUAUUGUUAGUCACACAACGUAGUCUUUAGAUAUAGAUAUUAUAUCAUGUUGUUCUAUACUCACACUUCAUCAGUUUAUUAGACCAGUGGGUGUCUUGACUAGUCCUCAUCACUACCCCAUCGAGGUUAGUCUUGGUACUUACUAGGCAGCGCUAUGGUGUGCUCAUAAUACACUUCUGUAUAUUUUUUGUGCAGAUCUAGGUACUGUUCGUUAAUAGUUGUGCAAAUUCUUGCCGAGGAGACUGAAGGUAGUCCUGUUGUUGCGUUCACAAGCUUCGAAGUCACAUUUCUAUUUUAUAUUCACAUUUUUAUACUUAUUUCCAUACGUUUUGUUUAGAUGACGUAUUGAAUUCUGCAAAGCUUAUGACUUGUACUACCGAAUUUUGGGAAGUUGUUCAUUAUAUAAAGGAUUUACCUCAGAAGAAUUUUAGCCGUUAUUAGUUAUUGUUGUUGUUCCGCAUCUUAGAAGGCUUACCUAGUCCUUAAGACUAGGUGCCAUCACGAAACCCAACAGAGGGAAAAUUAGGUCAUGACAACCAGAAUCUCUGGCCUCUCUCUUGCUUCAUUUAAUAGAUGAAAAGUCAUCACUAAUCGAGGAGGGUUUGAUCUCUCGUAAAAGGAGGUCGGUGGACGUUGGAGAUGGGACAAUCUAAGACGUAGAUUGUACAAGAGGUGAUCAUGAGUUGGCCACCGUCAUGCUUGAAGAUGAUGAUGAUCUGUUGUCUGAAGUCCCGCUAUCGGCGGGGGCCGUUGAAGGCGUACAUUUCAAUGAUGCCGAGCUUGGGGUUAGUGGGACAUCUGUAGAAGUUGCGGGUACCGUGCUUCGAGAUGAGCCGUCAUCCUCAAGGUUGGCUAACAUUCAUACUAUUAGAGAUUAUGCAUCCACCAGACUGCAUAGAGAAUUGGGUUCUCUAUGUGUUUUCUCUAAAAAUACUGAUGAACUAAACUGUAUAGCGAUCUGGUCCUAUAUUAGUUUGGUAUAGUGCUAAGUUUGUGUGAGGCCACCGAUUAGUAGAGUACCUGGUCCUUUAUUUGGGUUCUGAUGUAAAUGCUAGUAAAGUUGUAUGUAAAUAAGGCCGAGAAUUUUUACAUGGAAAAAUCCUACACAAAGGGAUCAAAAAACCACGACCUACACCUGUAGGCUUUUAACUUCACGAACUUAUAAUCUUCCUAUUACAAGCCACUUUACAAUGACCCUAUUGCAAAGACUUUAACUAACUUGUGAUGCUCUUAUCACAAGCAACUCUAUAACUAUCCUAAUUACAAAGAAUUUGACUAACUUGUGGUAUUUUAACCACAAUCCACUUUGUCAUACUACGGUUACAAAGGCUUUUGACUAACUUUUGAUGUUUCUACCACAAGCCACUUUGCCACACUACGGUCACAAAGAAUUUUGCAUAUGACUAUCCCUAGUCACAAUAUAAACUCAGAAGUUUAUGAAUUUUGGUUUGUUCCUAAGAUAAUGCUUCUAAGAAAGCAAACUAGGAAUUACAAUGAAGAACACAUAACAAAGACUCAAAAACCUAAGGACUUAAGAUGUUUUCGAUCUUGGAUCAGGUCCUUGAGGUUAAAGUAGCUUUGUUCUUGAGAGAGGUUCUUGAACACUUGAGAGAAUAUUUUCCUUUUUUGAUUUUGCAAGUGUUAAACCAGAAUCUUAUGCCUUGCAUGAGGUUUAUACUACACAAUACAUUACCUUUGUGAUGUCAAUUCACAAUGGUGAUGUCCAAUCUCAAUGGGAAGUGACUGCUGCACUAUCUGCAGAACUGUUACGUGUAUAGUUGCAGGCAAUCAUUGCAAUUGCUUUCUAGCUGUACUGUUGACUUAUACUUUUGUCAGGGGAACACUAAGAUAUCAGGUUCCUAAUUUGGCUCCUGUGAACCUAAAGCAGACUGCCCAGAUUAUCUUGAGUCGAUUAACUUGAAUGAUUGUACCAGGCUAGAUUUAGGUAAGUAAGUUAUUUUUCCUUCCUUGGUGGAUUUAUACUUAUGUGAUAUCACUUACAAUGAUAUAAGUAAGGUAGGUGAAAAACCUUCUAUAGAAAGUUGACUGCUGCAUUGUUCCUGUGCAGUAGCAUGUGUAGGUAGUAACUUUCAUGCUGGAGAGUUGACUUCAUACAGUCUCCUCAGGAACUGGUGUAGACCUGUUUCCUCAGCUGUUCCUUCCACUCUGAAGAGUUGAGUUAUAUCCUACGUUGGAUCCCAAUCUGGAGUUUUGUGAUCUCAAGGUCUUGUAGAUGUAUAACAUGUUCUGUAUCGGUUCUGGAUGGUAAGUUUGUUAAAUAAUCAUAACAUAAAGUAAAGUACCUAUGCCCAAGGUACUUGUAACCUAUCACCUACCUCAUUUACCAAUGGGAGAGAUAAGGAUGUUGUGAAGACGACUGUAAAACGGGCUUUGAUCAUGAUGUCGAUGAGGUGCCAUUUUUAGCAAGGGGUGUACUCGGGUUGAAGUAAGGUUGGAAGGGUCCAAUUGUACCGGUGUGGUCCACUAUGAGGGUGUGGUCCCUUCUUUGGGUCCCCUCUACUUUGACAUGGAGGGCAAAACUCUCAAGGAGCUAAAUUAUGCUGCCCUGUCGAGGGGUAUAAUCGGUCUUGCCCUUAGGGUAAGUUUUGCCGACCUUUUCUAUUUCUUUCCUUUGUGCUCCAUUCUUACUUUUUGUUUGACUUUGGUUUUCUUCCUUUUUCUUUUUAGACCAUUAUUCUGGAAACCUAGACUGCUCGCUGAUAGGGCAAGGGCAAUACUAUUUUUUGGAAGAUAGAGUAGAAGUAUCAUGAAUACCAUAACAAGCACCGCAAGAUCUGCAUACGAUUUGGAGAGAAUUGCAACUUUCAGUCUAUACAAGACAACAUGAAACAGUAAGAUAACGAGUUGGUGAGAGUCAUUGGAAAGUUUAACAUCCUUGAAGAGGCAUUGAGGGACAAAGAAGAAGAGAUCAAGGUAAGCAAGGGAGUUGAGGCCUAAUGUGCAAAUCUUCAGGCCCAAGUGGUUUUGCUAUGGGCUGAGCUCGAAGAAUGUCUAAUCAAAGUGUAUCCUUUGAAUGGCAAGGUUGUAAAGAAGACAACAAAUUUAGAGAAGAUUGAAUUGGCUCAGUUGGCAGCUUUAAUGAAAGUGGAGGCUUUGGAGGCCAUAAUUUGCAUUAUUCGAUCUGAGCGGGAGAGCGAUUUGGAGAUGACCAAUCGAUGAGUUGACAGGGGAGCUAGAGAAAGAGGUUUCAAGCCUUAGUGACCAAGUUGUCGUUCUUGAAGCUGAGAAGGCACAAUUAUUAGCUCAGCUGAUAGUUUGUAUGGGUCCACUUAAUCUUUGAGUACCUGGUUCUCUACCAGUUUCUGCUGAGAGUACUUAUCAAAGAAGCAAUUAAAUGAGGCAGAGAACUUUUAUGUAGAAAAAUCCCAGACAAGGGGAUAAAAAAAUCACGACCUACACCCGUAGGCAUUAAACUUCACUAACUGGUAAUCUUACCUAUUACAAGCCAAUUACAAUACUUCUGAUUGCAAAGGAUUUACUCAACUACUUCUGUUACCUUUACUAUAAGCCACUUUGUGACUAUCCUAGUUACAAAGGCUUUUUCUAACUUGUGGUGCUAUCACUCCAAGCCACUUUGCAAUUCUACAAUUACAAAGACUUUUCUUUAUGACUAAACCUAGUCAUAAACUAACUCAGCGAGCUUGAGGAUUACAAGAAGACUCCUAUUCAGCAUGCUUCUAAUAAAGUUAUUUAGGAGAGAUAGUAAGUGCAAUAACAAGGUUACAACUCAACUAGGAUAGCAAUAAUAAAUCGUUUAGGAAUUGGUCUGUAGUAGCGUUCAACCUUGUUCUUCAAGCUGGAAAGAAUGAUGUUUUGUGUUUUUGCUUGAUGCUUGAGUGUAUGAAACUGAAACCUAUUUGUGAUGCUUUGUAGAAAAGCCCCUUUGCUACAACUUGAUCACAUCACUUGAAAUGAUGUGAGUACUUUUUUUGUUAGAGAAUGAGUGGAAAGGUUCUGGAUUGGUGUCUUGCUUCUGCCUUUGGAGCAGUUCAACUUUUAGUGGAGUACGUUGAAGUUUGUAUCAAUCCAAAGUAGCUCAGGUUCCCUAACCGAUUCUUAUCAGAAAGUUUGUUAGAUCAUCAAAAUAGAAGGCAAGAGUAUUUAAGAUCUAUCUGUUUCCCCUUUUUUGAUGAUGAUAAACUUAAACAGUUAUAAGUUCAGAAUUAGGGCAGCAUAAAGCAGUGACAAAGAGUUCCCCCCUGCGAUAAUGCCUUAAUAUUUCAAUCUUUUGUUAUAUAAAAACCAGUUCCAUAUUAUGAUUGCCCUUGAUUAUGAUGCCUUAAUCUUUUUCAAGUUAUAUCUAGUUCCCUAAUGUGAUUAUAAAUCUUCAAGUUAUUAUAAUCUUUUCCCCCUUUUGGCAUCAAUAAAAAGAAUAAGAGCACAACGAAGUCCAGCCAAGCUAACUCAUGCCACAUAUGUGCACACUAGCAUAAGAUAGAAUAGAACACAAAGAAUAAGUAUUAAUCAAAAUAAAAGAGGAUUGAGAUUAAUAAUAAUUUUAUAUGCCCCUUUUUCUUUAAAAAAGGCAGCAUUUGGACUUAAUCACGAGAGCAGUAGCAAUAGUACAUCCCAACCACAACAAAAAAGGCAACAAAAACAUCCACCAAUCAUCAACAUAAAUAAAGAAAAAGGAACACAUCCAGAUAACUGGUCACUGAGGGGAAACUUAGGGGGCAAUAGGAGGAAAAGUCUUGGAAGUGGUAGCAAGAGUAUGGAGAACAAGGUCUAUUCGGGCAUUUCCCGACUUUUGCUAAUUCAGUAGUUCGGCUUUUAGGUUCUCAACUUGCGCCCUGAGGUCAGCAUUUUCUUGAGACAGACGGAUCACCUCAUCAUUCGACAUGGGAACAGCUCGAGCUUGAAAGCCUUCCAGUAUGGCAUUCCUGGCCUUCAGUCGAUGUAUCUCUUAAGCUGCUAUUUUGGCAUUAAUGAGUUGAGACACAGUUGAAGUGCUUCCUGCACCUCCAUACUUCUUAAUACACCCACACUCUUCCAAGGUUGUCUCUGAGAAUGUCUACUAAUAGGUCCCUACUUUACCUAUUCUAGAAGAUCCUCAAAGUAUUUGAAUAUUUGUGUGAGCAAAAAUCCAUAGGGAAGCCCGUGAUUUCUAUCCUUGAACUCAGUCACUUUCUGCAUAUGCUCGGCAGGAAAACUCGCAGGGUGAAAACCGUCCAAUUGCUCCAUUAGGAAUAAAUCAGAUUUGGAAAUGACAGAUUGACGUUCUGCUCGGGCCAAUAGGACUUUGUUAACCAUCUUAAACAACAACUGGUUGACAAGAAGGAGUGCUUUCUUAUGAAUUUGGUCCCCUUUCUGAUUGGAAUUAUCUUUCACCACUGCAUUGCAGAUGUUGUACUGGAAAACAUCUAAAACACUAUUUACUCCAAUCGUAGGAACUUGCAAAAUUUCCCCAAUAACUUUCACAUCAAAUACAAUGUCCACACCAUUGACCAAGGCACAAACAUAGUCAGUAUCUACCGGAAACAAAUUGGAAAAGAAACUCUGGACCUCCUCCUCAUACACUUUGGGAGCAUCCAUGGAAAAAAGAUGUGUUCCCUGCUGAAACUCAACCAUUUCUAGGAUUUGACGCAUCCCGGCCAUUUCUGAGAUUGAGGGGUCAAACAUACACCCUAGUAGUACUUUCUAGUGCCUCAAUCGCUGAGAAACCCAGGCAUACCUAACUUCGUUCUUUCUUUCUAGAACUAGGUUCUUCAACUAUUUCAUAAUUGUGUUUCCUAAUCUUGUCUUUACUGACCUUACUUUUCUCUUUGGAUCUGACAAGAAUAUUCUCAACACUCACAGCCUUCUCUAUUUUGGACUUGGAAGUAGACCCCUUCUCCAUAUUACUAAACUCUGCCCAUUUUGAUGAAUGCCUAACAAGGGAAUUGGGUUCCUCAAGAGUUCUCUCCUCCACCUCAACAACAGGGAUAUAUUUAUCCCCUACAAGUACACCAUUUUCACCAGCUUUAUUUCCUUCUUCUUACUGCGUUUUUUGAUCUUUUGUAGUGCAGAGUCGUAGGCCACUUUGAGUUGAAGCCUUGUAGUGGAUGCUUGGCUUCAGAAUUAGGAGUCAAAACAGUCCUACGCUUACUAAUGAAUUGUAAGGCCCCGUGAAAACUUGUACCCAAAAUAUAGUAACUAUUAGUGCGAAGUUUCGAAUAUGUGCUAGGAAUGUGUAAAAUUAUACCGAGCUAGCUUUUAAAAAUCAAGAAUCAAGUUUUCUAGAAGAAUUUCAUUUUGUGGUCCAGAAUGCGCUCGCUGAUCAAGAUUGCGAACCACAUUUCUGUCGCAGAGUAAGUCAGUAGCCUAGGUUAAAUGAGGUAAAAAAUAUGGCCCAUUAUGCGGCCACUUAAUUGAUAUGCGGACCGCAUAGUCGUUGCAUAAUUUCCUAAAGAUUUUGUGAAGGGCAGUUCUGCAGUGCAUUAUGCGACCCCAGAACGUGAAUGUGGACCGCAUUCCUGUCGUAAACCCAAUAGUAUGCCCAACUUUUGAAAAUAUUUUUGCGGUCGACUUUGCAGACUGAAUUUCUACUCUGCGAUUGUAGAGUGUGACCACAGGUCUGACUUGGACUCUAAUUUUUUGAAAUUUUAAACCCGACCCUUCUUCAAUAAAACACCCUAACCCCUUAUUUUUGCAUAAUAUGAACAAACGAGAGAGAGUUAUUGAGAGAGAGAGUUUUACAUGUGUUGAUUUGAUUCUUCAAAGUCACCCGGGCUAGAAAGGCUCAAGUAAUAGCUUUCAUCACCGUCCUUGCAGGUAAAAUCCCCAACCUUUUCCACGGAUUUUCUAGUUUAAACAAAAAUGGGAUUCUUAUGCAUUAUUUCUUGAAAACCUAAGUAGAAAUACGUAUGCAUGUUCUUUAAAACCUAAAACCUAGUAAACGAAAAUGGGUAGGAGUAAAGAUUUGCAAAUGAAGGGGAGUGGGGUUGAUAACCUAAAUAAUUUUGGGGUAAGUAAUUGUGAGCUUUUAUUCUAAAAUGUAUAUGUUAACGUGUGGACUAGAUUGCCGGUACUAGGCUAUUGGCGAGCUAAAAGUAGAAGUAAAAAGGGGAAACUCGACUCCAGAUAUGUAUAGCUAACUUUAACCUUUGUAAGGUCAUCUUGUUGGUGUACGAGUGUUUGGUAUGUGUCACUUAUGUGGACUAUUUGUGAAUUCUUAUGAUUUAUAUGUCUUGAACGUUGUUGGUUAAGUUUCCCGAUAUGUUGGUGUAUGUAAAUAGAAACAAACCAAGCAUGUGUAAAUGUGUUUAUAUGGUAAGAGCUGUAUAACAAAUGAUGGAAAAAAGUCGUAAUGGAUGUAAUUGAACAGCUAUGGUAAUAUCAUGUGUGGGUUGUCGUGGGCAAUUGUUGUUGUGACUUGAAUUGUAUUCGGGUUGUUGUACUUGAUGGAAAUAAUAUUGAUAUUUACGGAACUCCUUGUGAAUUGUUGUUGUUGUUGUGCGAAGUGUGACUGUCUGAUGGGAUCGGGUUGCGCGGCACAACACGAAGUUACAAGGUGUGGGUUAUGGUGAUAAGGGUGGAAAAAGUUAUCAAAAUUAUUAUUUAAAUUCAAAUAUGCAACAGUUGUGAAAAUCAUUGGUGUGGUGGAAUAUUGUUGAACGGGGAAAAAGAGAGAUUGUGGAACUUGUUUGGCUUUGGUUAUUCCUUUCAUGCUUGGAUUUGAUCGUUAAUUCCAUUACUAUUUGCUACCUGUGCAUUGCUUGAUUUUACUUGGGGUAAACUUUUUCCAAACAUAAAAGUACAAUUCAAAUGUAUUAAUGUCCCUUUUGCCGGGGGAGCUACAUUCAUGUUAUGAUUGUAGGUGGAUCCAUAGCAGCUACUCCCCUCCAUCGACAGCACCACUCCUGCACUCCCUGUCAGCUGAAUUGGUGAGCCCCUUUCUUCUCGGGACCCUGUGUGGCCCACGCCGCCUUCUUCCAGAGUUUUAUUUUGAUAUUCGUAUAAGGUAUAGCUGGAACCGUGUUACUAGCAUAUAUUCUAUCUCCUUUUUGUAUCUUUAGAGGUUCCGUAGACAAGAAAUGUAGGUCAUGAACUCGUGUAAAUAUGUACUUUGUGUGCGGAGUGAUGUAACUUGAAAACCACGCUAAGUAACCUUGUAUGUUGUGUAUGUCUCGCAAGAAGAUGUUUAAAUUGUAGUGGCUAAUUCACUUGAUCAAUGAGAAAUGAGGGCACGGGUAACAAGUGGGAUAGGAAAGGAACCCAGGUCCGCUUGACUGGGGCUACCCAGUUGAGUGCCGGUCCCGUUCCAUGGUUUUGGGGUGUGGCAAACUUUGUAUCAGAGCCUAAGGUUUUAGAAGAGUCCUAGGAUGUCUUGGAGCCGUGUUUAGUAGAUCCCUUCUUAUCGGUGUGUUGUCGGCCACAUCUAUAAGUAGGGGGCUACAUGGACAUUUAGGAAAUUAUUAGUUUCUUUGUUAUUCUACAUCAUGCAGCGAAUGAAAAGUGGAAGUGUUUAUGUCUAACUCGUACUCUAUUUCGAAAUUUUCAGUAAUGGCACCUAAGAAGAGAGCUAGACUUGGCCUUGGGGCCGAUGCCACCCCAAGUGUGGCUGUGGACCUUGUACCUGACACCGUAGGAGAGCGUGACUCCCCAAUCUUGAAUCUACCUGGCCCAUGUGUUGUAGAUCAAAGUGUUCCUACUCCUCCUGCGGCAGAGGGUGCUACGAUCACUCCCGCCGAUAUUCCUGACCCUUCUUCAAUUCCAGCUUCUGGUCUAUGUACUUCCGAUGGGGAGCUCAGGGGAGCUAUUCAUAUGUUGACGCAACUAAUGUCCGCUCAGGCCCAGAGAUCUCAUGGCAUACCCUGUGCCCUCUAGCGGACAGGGAGAUUCCUCCGGUUCCAGAAUCAACUAGUUUCUACAGUUGGCCCCUCCAGAGUUCUCCAGUACUGAUCCAGAUGCCGGCCUGUAGAAUUUUCUAGAUGAGAUGUACAAUACUCUUCGGGUGAUUAAGGCUUCAGAGACGGAGGGAGUUGAGUUGGCUUCCUACAGGUUGAGUGGAGCAGCAUAUUCGUGGUUCGAGAUGUGGGAGGAUGCUCGUGGGGAAGAAAUCCCUUCGGCUAAAUGGGACGAGUUUGUAGAUGCAUUUAUGGACAACUUCUUGCCUACUGAGACAAUGGUAGCUUGGACUACUGAGUUUGAGGUCCUCAAGCAGGGUAGUAUGAGCAUUUGGGAGUACGACAUGGAGAUUGUGAGAUUGUCCAAUUAUGCUCCUCAGUUAGUGUCAACCAUGAGUGCCCGGAUUUGGCGAUUUGUUCAAGGCCUUAGUCCCUUGGUGGUGAAUGAGGCUGCUACUGUGGCCUUACACUCAAACAUGAAUUAUGGAAAUAUUGUGGGGUUUGCUCAGGCCACAGAAGCUAGGAAGUCAAUAAUUCGGGCAGAUAUGAAGAGUAACAGCAGGGCCCGGUCAUUGGGUCACACAGGGAGGCCAGUUUAGGGGAGAGAGCCAUCAGGGCCAUCCCAGUCACAUGCUCAAAUCUCAAUCUUCAGCGAGGGCACCACCAUCUGUGCAUAGUUAUCAGCAGAGCUCUCACUUGAGACCAGGUUCAGACAGUAGGAGGCCCUACCAAUCGGGUCAUCCAGUAGGGAAAUUACAGCAGGGUAGGGCUCCGUGCCCCAAGUGUGGGAGAUUUUAUGCAGGGACUUGUUAUUUGGAUGUCCCGAUGUGCUAUAGGUGUGGGGUGAGAGGUCAUAUCUUUGAGGUUCCCUAUGAAAUGAGGCAUGUAAAGGAGCCAACGGGACUGUCAAGUGCCCAGUCAGGGCAUAGGUAGGGGAUUUGCUCAAUCAUUCGGUUCUUCAGUCGCCAUAUCAUCCGCUCGUCCUCCAGCUCCAGCAGGGUGUGGUGCAGUUAGGGGUGGGGCUAGUCGUAGAGGUAGACCCAGCCGGUUUUAUGCUUUGAGUGGCCGCCAGAGUGCAGAGGCUUCUUCAUAUGUUGUUACAUGUAUCUUAUCUGUUCUGGCCAUUGACUGUUAUGCUCUUAUUGAUCCGGAGUCCCCUUUGUCUUAUGUCACCCCCUUCAUUGCUUCAAGUUUUGGGAUAAAACCCGAACAGCUUCAUGAGUCGUAUCUCCGUAUCUUGGAAUGGUGCAUUUUGAUGUUAUUAUGGGAAUGGACUGGCUCUAUUCGUGCUUUGCUAAACUUGACUGCCGAACAAGAGUCAUGAGACUCGAGUUCCCUAAUGAACCGGUUAUUGCCAAAGGGUAGGUUUAUUUCCUACCUUAAGGUUUCAAAGAUGAUUAAGAAAGGGUGUAUCUAUCAGUUGGUCCAAGUGGCAGAUACCACUUCAGAAGCGUCUACCCCCGAGUCUGUCCAGUUGUGAAUGAGUUUCUUGAGGUGUUUCCACACGAGCUUCCAGAGAUUCUGCUAGAUAAGGAGAUUGAUUUUGGAAUUGAUGUAUUGCUUGAUGUGCAACCAAUAUCUACUCUACCAUAUUGAAUGGCGCCAACAGAGUUAAGGGAAUUAAAGGAGUAGCUGAAGGAUUUAUUAGAAAAAGGGUUCAUAUGACCGAGUGUGUUGCCGUGGGGUGCUCCGGUUUUUUUGUCAGAAAGAAGGAUGGGUCGCUGAGGUGUAUUGAUUAUCGGCAGCUCAACAAAGUCACCAUCAAGAAUAAAUAUCCCCUGCCUCGGAUAGAUGAUUUGUUCGACCAAUUUCAAUUUGCAAGGUUCUUCUCCAAAAUUGAUCUAUAGUCCCGAUAUCACUAAUUAAAGAUUAGAGAGCAGGACAUUCAUAAGACCACUUUUAGAACUUGCUACAGUCUACUUUGAAUUCUUGUUCAUGUCUUUUGGGCUAACCAACACCUCGGAAACCUUUAUAGAUCUUAUGGACCGGGUCUUCAAGCCAUUUUGGACCCUUUAUGAUCGUUUUCAUUGACGGAAGCCUUGCUUACUCGCAUAGACGGGAGGAUCAUGCCUAUCACCUCAGGGCAGUUCUGCAGACUCUUCACCAGCACUAGUUGUAUGCUAAAUUUUCAAAAUGUGAAUUUUGGUUGGAGUCUGUUACCUUUUUAGGUCAUGUUGUUUCCGGUGAAGGGAUUCAGGUGGAUCCCCAAAAGAUUGCAGCAGUAAAAGAUUGGCCUAGACCCAUGACCCCGACGGAUAUUUAUAGCUUCUUGGGUUUAGCAGGGUAUUAUCGGAGGUUUGUGGAGGGAUUCUCUACCCUCACCUCCCCAUUGACUAAGUUGAUGCCAAAAGCAAUAAAGUUCCAAUGGUCUAAUACUUGUGAGAAAAGUUUCCAGGGGCUGAAAUCAAGGUUGACCUCGGCACCAAUAUUGAUCUUGCCAGAAGGCACAGAAGGAUUUGCAGUUUAUUGAGAUUCCUCCAGUGUUGGUUUGGGGUGUGUAUUGAUGAAACAUAGGAAGGUUAUAGCAUAUGCCUCAAGGUAGCUCAAGAAUCACGAGAAGAAUUAUCCGACGCAUGAUUCAGAACCUGCAACAAUUGUGUUUGCCUUGAAAAUAUGGCGGCACUAUCUUUGUGGGGUCCAUGUGGAUGUGUUCUUGGACCACAAGAGCCUCCAAUAUUUGUUCAAACAGAAGGAGUUGAACCUAAGGCAGUGACGGUAGAUAGAAUUGCUCAAGGAUUAUGAUAUGAACAUUUUGUACCAUCCAGGAAAGGCGAACGUGGUGGCCGACGCUCUUAGCCGAAAAUCUAUGGGUAGUUUGGCUCAUUUGAGAGCAGAUCAGAGGCCCUUGACUCAGGAAGUGCAUCAAUUGGCCAGUCUGGGGGUUUGUAUUUCGACCUCAAAAGAGAGGAAUAUUAUGGUGCAUAAUGGAGCAGAAUCGUCACUUGUAGCGGAGGUCAAGGAGAAGCAAUUUAUUGAUCCGGCACUGGCAUAGGUGAAAGAGGCAGUUUUGAAUAACAAGAUUUUGACGUUUUCACUCGGAGGUGAUGGUGUACUGCGAUGUCAUGGUAGGCUAUGUGUUUCAGAUAUGGAUGUUCUUCGGGAGAGGGUGAUGGCGGAGGCUCAUAAUUCUAGGUAUUCGGUGCACGCAGAUUCUACGAAAAUGUAUCAUGACCUCAAGGGAAUUUAUUGGUGGAGCAGGAUGAAGAUGCGGUGUAGCGGACUUUGUAUCUAAAUAUCCAAAUUGCCAGCAAGUAAAGGCUGAGCAUCAGCAACCGUGUGGGUUGACUCAACUUAUGGAAAUACCCACGUGGAAGUGGGAGAUGAUCAACAUGGAUUUCGUGGUGGGGUUACCUCGCACUCAGCGCAAGUAUGACUCAAUUUGGGUAAUAGUGGAUCGACCAACGAAAUCAGCUCACUUCUUGCCAGUCAAGUCCAGCGAUACCGCAGAGUAGUAUGCCCAAUUGUAUAUCAAGGAGAUAGUAAGGUUUCAUGGCACUCCACUUUCUAUUAUCUCGGAUCGAGGGGCCCAGUCCACAGCUAAGUUUUGGAAUAAAUUUCAGCAAGGUUUGGGUAAUCAGGUGAAUAUCAGCACGGCUUUCCAUCCAUAGACUGAUGGUCAAGCCGAGCGGACUAUUCAAACACUUGAAGAUAUGUUGCGGGCCGGUGUCCUCGAUUUCAAAGGUAAUUGGGAUGAUCACCUGCAACUUUAAGAAUUUGCUUACAAUAACAGCUUUCAUGCUAGUAUUCAGAUGCCCCCAUUUGAGGCAUUAUUUGAAAGGAGGUGUAGGUUUCUGAUUGGGUGGUUUGAAGUGGGUGAGGUAGAACUGAUAGGGCCAGAUCUCGUGCACCAUGCUAUGAAAAAAGUUAAAGUCAUUCAAGAGAGGAUGAAAAUUGCUCAAAGUUGCCAGAAAUCCUAUGUGGAUGUGCGUCGAAGAGAAUUGGAGUUCCAAGUAGAUGAUUGGGUGUUUUUUAGGGUAUCUCAUGUGAAGGGAGUCAUGCGGUUUGGGAAGAAAGAAAGUUGAGUCCUAGAUAUUUCGGGUCAUACCGGAUCAUUCAAAGGAUAGGACAGGUAGCUUAUAGGCUGGAAUUGCCCCCUGAAAUGACAUUAGUGCACCCGGUGUUCCACGUGUCUAUGCUAAAGAAAGUGGAUAGAGAUUCGUUCACCAUUGUGCCAGUUGAGGCAAUCGAGGUCAAUGAAGAGUUUUCAUAUGAAGAAAUUCCGGUUGCCAUUCUUGAUAGGCAAGUCAAAGUAUUAUGGGAAAGUCAACGAGUCGAAGAAGCCACGUGGGAAGCGGAAAAUGAAAUAAAAGAAAAAUAUCCCCAUUUGUUUGAACAAAUCUAGUAGUGAUCGUGCGAACAAUUGUCUUUAAGCAAUUUGAGGUAGUGUUCAAAUUUGUGCAAAGGCACCCCAUUAUUUUCUUCAAAUUGCCUUAUUGAUGUAACUUCCCUGUGUGUGCCAAAUUGCAAAUGUUGUCGCUAUUUGGGUAAUGUGUAACCCUUGAAGUAAAUGAAAAUUUUGAGAAACUUAUGUUGUAGGUAAAUUAUUAAUGAUAAUGUAGAUAGGUAAUGAUUAAUUGAAGCAAUUUAGGCAGGUUAAAGUGAUUGAAUUGUAUGGGGCUCAUUGAAGUAACCCCGUUGUGUGCAAGUAAAUUACAUUGGUUAAAUCAUGUGCAAUUUGUGGUGUAAAGAGAAUGAACUACGUGUAAGUUGUUUAAAGUGUAUGAAUGUGUACAAGUUGUUGAUGUAAUGAAUUAUAUACCAAUUGUAGGGAUAACAUAAACUGUGUAAUGAUACUUGGAAAUAUAUUUCGGGGGCUCUAUGACGGGUAAAUAGGCCUAAUUACGAAGGAACAUCUAGCGAAAUUUUCUAAAAAUAUGGGAGUUAGCGAAAACGAGGAGUUUGCAUAUCACUUUUUCAAAAACAACCUCAUUUCCAAAAUCCUCAUUCGAGGAUAAAUGAUUUUAAGUCGGGGAGGAUGUAAGGCCCCGUAAAAACUUGUACAAAAUCUAGUAACUUUUAGUGCCAAGUUUCGAAUACGUGUUAGUAAUGUGUAAAAUUUUACUAAUCUAGCUUUUAAAAAGCAACGAAUCAAGCUUUCCAGAAAAUGCCAAUCUGCGAUCUAGAAUGCGGUCGCAGAUCAAGUAUGCGGACUAACUUUCUGCCGCAGACUGAGUCAGUAGCCUAGGUAAAUUGAGGUAAAAAUUGCGGUCCAUUAUGCGAAUGCAUAAUGGAUAUGUGGACCGCGUAGUCGUUGCAUAAUUUCCUAAGGAUUUUGUGAAGGGCGGUUCGGCGAUGCGUUAUGCGACCGCAAAACGUGAAUGCUGACCGCAUUCCCGUCGCAAACCCAAACAGUACGCCUAGCUUUUGAAAAAUGUUUUGUGGUCCACUCUGUGGACCGCAUUUCCACUCUGCAAUCGCAAAGUGCGACGAUAGAUUCGACUCGGACUCUAAUUUUCUUAAAUUUUAAUCAUAACCCCUUCUUCAAUAAAACACCCCAAUCCCUCAUUUUUGCAUAAUUUCUAAACAAACUAGAGAGAGGAAGAGAGAGUUUAUGAGAGAGAGAGAGAGAGUUUUACAUGUGUUGAUUUGAUUCUUCAAAGUCACCCGAGCUGGGAAGUCUCACGUAAUAGCUUUCAUCUUCUUCCUUGCAGGUAAAUCCCCAACCCUUUUCCACUGAUUUUCUAGUUUAAACAAAAAAUGGGAUUCUUAUGCAUUAAUUCUUGAAAACCUAAGUUCAAAUACGCAUGCAUGUUCUUUAUAACCUAAUACCUAGUAAAAGGAAAUGAGUAGGAGUAAAGAUUUGCAAACNNNNNNNNNNNNNNNNNNNNNNNNNNNNNNNNNNNNNNNNNNNNNNNNNNNNNNNNNNNNNNNNNNNNNNNNNNNNNNNNNNNNNNNNNNNNNNNNNNNNNNNNNNNNNNNNNNNNNNNNNNNNNNNNNNNNNNNNNNNNNNNNNNNNNNNNNNNNNNNNNNNNNNNNNNNNNNNNNNNNNNNNNNNNNNNNNNNNNNNNNNNNNNNNNNNNNNNNNNNNNNNNNNNNNNNNNNNNNNNNNNNNNNNNNNNNNNNNNNNNNNNNNNNNNNNNNNNNNNNNNNNNNNNNNNNNNNNNNNNNNNNNNNNNNNNNNNNNNNNNNNNNNNNNNNNNNNNNNNNNNNNNNNNNNNNNNNNNNNNNNNNNNNNNNNNNNNNNNNNNNNNNNGGGGGGUGGGGUCGGGGGUGGUUGAUAACCUAAAUAAAUUUGGGGUAAGUAAUUGUGAGCUUCGAUUCUAAAAUGUAUGUGUUUACUUGUGGACUAGAUUGGCGGUACUAGGCAAUUGAUAAGCUGAAAGUAGAAGUAAAAAGCGGAUACUCGACUCCAGGUAUGUAUGGCUAACUUUAACCUUUGUAAGGUCACCUUGUUGAUGUACGAGUGUUUGGUAUGUGUCACUUAUGUGGACUAUUUGUGGAUUCUUGUGAUUUAUGCAUCUUGAGUGUUGGCUAAGUUUCCCGAUAUGUUGGUGUAAGUAAAUGGCAACAAACAAGCAUGUGUAAACGUGUUUAUGUGGUAAGAGCUAUAUAACAAAUGAUGGAAAAAAGUCGAAAUGGAUGUAAUUGAACAACUAUGAUAAUAUCAUGUGUGGCUUGUCGUGGGCAAUUGUUGUUGUGACUUGAAUAUUAGUCGGGCUGUUGUACUUGAUGGAAAUAGUAUUGAUGUUUACGGAACUCCUUGUUGUGUGAAGUGUGAUUGUCCAGUGGGAUCAGGUUGCGCACUGCAACACGAAGUUAUAAGGUGUUUGUUGUGGUUAUAAGGAUGGCCGAGGUAAUAAGGGAGCCGAGGUAAUAAGGGUGGAAAAAGUGAUCAAAAUCACUAUUUAAAUGCAAAUAUGUAAUAGUUGUGAAAAUCAUUGGUGUGGUGGAAUAUUGUUGAAAGAGGAAAAGGAGAGAUAGUGAAACUUGUUUGUUUUUGGUUGUUCCUUUCAUGUGCAUUUGAUCGUUGAUUCCAUUACUGUUUGCUACCUAUGCAUUGCUUGAUUUUACUUGAGGUGAAGUUUGUUCAUACAUACCAGUACAAUUCAAAUGUAUUGACGUCCCUUUUGCCGAGGGCGCUACAUUCAUGUUAUGAUUGUUGGUGGAUCCAUAGCAGGUACUCCCGUCCAUCGACAAUAGCACUCAUCCACUCCCUAUCAGCUGAAUUGGUGAGCUCUUUCUUGUCGAGGUUCUAUGUGGCUCACGCCGCCUUCUUCCAGAGUUGUAUAAGAACGAGUAUCCCAAUAGCGAUGGCGAUGGCGAUGGCGAUGGCGAUGGCGCAGAGAUGACUGGAGAUGGUGUUGCUGGGUUAGGUGACAAGUAGUUGUUUUUAUUUCUUUUUUGCUUGUAAACUUUGUACAUAUUUUUGUGGGCAUCUAUUCUAGCCUUUGUAAUGAAUAUAUUUUGAGUAUGAAAUGCCAUUUUCGUUGCUCAUACCUGAAUUUUUUCUUUUUGUUCAGGUUUAUAUGCCUCUUUCUUUUGUUUUUCCAUUUGGCACUUUAAUCAUUAAAAACUUGGUUCAUGUGUGUUGAACGAGGUCAAACAGAACUUAGUUUUGAUCAUUACCGCGGGCCAAUAGGUGUUAAUUCGAACGAUAUUGAAUGUAACCUAUGCUUAAUUAAUUAUGGCCAAUGGUCGAAUUGGCAAUAAUUCGAAUAAAGGCGAAUGCAACCUUUACUCAGUUAAUCUGGGUGAAGUCGGAUGUAACUUUUACAUUAUUAAUUCGAGUGAGGCCGAAUGUAGCAUUUACUCAGUUAACUUGAGUGAGGUCGAACGUAAGUUUUACUUGGUUAAUUUGAGCGAGGUCGGAUGUAACUUUUACUUAGUUAACUAGAGCGAGGUCAAACAUAACUUUUACUUAGUUAACUCAAGCGAGGUCGAUGUAACUUUUACUUAGUUAACUCGAGCGAGAUCAGAUGUAACUUUUACUUAGUUAAUUAGAGUCAGGAUCGAAUGUAACUUUUACUUUGUUAAUUCGAGCAAGGUCGAAUGUAACUUUUACUUAGUUAACUCGAGCGAGGUAGAACAUAACUUUUACUUAGUUAACUCGAGUGAGGUCGAAUGUAAAUUUUACUUAGUUAAUUUGAGUGAGUUAUGAUAUAACUUUUACUUAGUUAAGUCGAGCGAGGUUGAAUGUAUCUUUUGUUUAGUUGUGGCUCUGGGGCGAGUGGGUAUUGAGGCAAUGUUGCUUUGACUGUGUGAAGAAAAUAUGUGCGACCUUUCAUGCAUUUGUUCUUAUAUUCAUAUAUAUUGCAGGAAUUUACAUAUUUUCUGGGUUGGCAUUCAAGUCCCAAUCUGCUUAGUCCCUUCAUUGGUCGACCUAGAGAAGUAUUUAGAGGUUGGGAAAUGAACUGAAUGUCCGUUCACAAUUGCAACUUGUCCCGUCCCCCCUGUCGCCUUAUUCAAAACCUCCUUGAGAAAACCUAAUUAGGGCAAAACUCAAGUGAGGGAAAAAGAGUACGACUUGGAGAACGCUCUUUUUUAAAAGAUGAAGUACGUGAGGUAGGUGACAUUCCAAUAGAUUGGUAGUAGUUUUCGUUCCAUUGUUUCAAGUUGGAAUGACCUAUUGUUUGAUGUUGCUGUGAUUUUGUAUAGGUCGUCCCAAUUUGUCCCUAGUUUGCCUUCCCACAGGGUCUUUGCUUGCUUGUGUUUUGUCUUUGAGCACGUAGUCCCCGACUUUGAGUGAUUUGUCCUUUGCCUUUUUGUUAUAAUAGCAUUAUGUCUGUUGUUUUUGGUAAUCAUCCUUAUCUAGGCCAUAUCUCUCCGUUCUUCGGCUUUAUCAAGCUCUUAAUUUCUGCUUUCAUCAUUUCUCGACCCGCUCUCGUGGUAGUAUCUCAAAAUGGGCUCUCCAUCUUCGACUGGUAUUACUGUAUCAGUCUUAUAGGCUAAUGACUUGGGCAUCUCUCUCGUGCUCGCCUUCGGAGUUAUUUGGUCGGCCCAAAAUAGUUUUGGUAGUAACUCCAGCCAUAAUCCAUUGGCAUCUUCGAGCUUUUUCUUUAUGAUGUUCAGUAUUGAUUUAGUGGAGGAUUCUACUUUCCCGUUGCCCAUGGGGUGAUACGGUGUUGAGAAUAUUUCUUUGAUAUGCCACUUCUCAAAAAAUUUGGUGACCUUUUUUCUUGUAAAUUGGGAUCUGUUAUUGCAACUGAUCUCUUUGGGGAAGCCGAAUCGCCACACGAUGUUUUUCCAUAUGAAGGCGAUCACUUCCUAUUCACAUAUUUGUGCGCGUGCUCCUACUUCUACCUAUUUAGAAAAAUAGAUAGUUAAAGCCUAAAAAAAAUCGUACGUUACCUCGCCCCACGGGGAGGGGGCCGAUGAUGUCCAUUCCCCACUUGAUGAAUCGCCAAGGGGAAAUGACUGAGUGGAGGUGCUCGACUGCUUGGUGGGUCAUUGGGGCGUAUUUUUGGCAAUUCUCAUAUUUUUUCACGAAGUCUGCGACCUCUUUUUUCAUGGUGGACCAGUAUUAUCUUGCCCAUAUGAGACAUCUUACUGGAGAUUGAUUGCUUUAAUGAGGCCCACAAUGGCCUUCAUGGACUUCAUCAAGGACGCAUCGUGUCUGAUUUGGGCCUAAGCAUUUUUCUAGGAGGCCACCAUAUGUCCUUUUGUAUAGGUUGUUAUGAAUGAUGUUGUAACUAGCAGCUUGCAUCAGUAGCUUAUUGGCUUAUUUUUAUCAUUUGGGAGUUCACCAUCCUACAAGUAUGUAACAAUAUGGUUGUGCUAGUCCCAAGUUAGAUUUAUGGUCCCUGUCUCAAUUUGAUUUAUCGAUGAGUGGAGGAAGGUGAUAUUUAUAUGGCCACACUUUUAUGUCGUGGUCUGCGCUCUUAUCCCAUUCUUGGAUUUGUUCAAGUUUGACUACUUUAUCAGUUGAUUAUGGCUUCUUUGGCUCAUUUUGAACAAACCCUACAAGCAAGCACAUUAAGUUAGUUUCUAGGAAUACCUUCACUCGUUUUGACCCAAAACCUAAGCAAAUAAGAGAAAAUAAUAGGUUAAAAUAUCUACUUGUCAGAAGGUGACCACGUUUCUUUAUCCAGUGAUGUUUUUGGUGGCUGCUGCUAAUUUGGCAAGGCCAUCUGCUUCGAUGUUUUGUGCUCGAGAAAUAUGGUUGAGCUGAUAUUCAUCAGAUUAGGGCAGCAGUUUACGAAUCACGGCCUGGUAUUUUUGUAAACUUUGCUCUUUAAUUUGGAAAGUCUGGACCCGUCUCGCCCCGUAUUUGAGUGACUAGCCUUAAUCCUGAAAUUGCGACCUCAUACUCGGCCUCAGUAUUAGUCAUGUACGGGCACUUUAUGGACUGGUGAAUCACUUCCCCUGUUAAGACUUUGAGUAUGAGUCCUAGUCCGGACCCUAACGCAUUAGAAAUGUCAUCGGUGAACAAAAUCCAUAGAUUUUGCUUGAUAGAUCUUAAACACUCUUGCCUUAUGUUUUGAUGAUCUAACAAACUAACUGCUAAGAACUAGUAAGGGAACCUAACCUACUUGGAUUGUUGCAAGAAUUAAUGGAUUUCAGCUAAAGAUGAAUUGUUAUAGCUUCAAAACUCAGGAACCAAACAAGUACCAGAUGCUCAUGUGGUUUCCUUGUAGUAGUACAAAGUCACUUGAAACAACUGGAAAUAAAGUGACCGACGACACUAUUUCUGCCGCACUGCACCACAUUGUCAGCCCACUCAUUCUCUAACCAAACAAAGUACUCACAUCAUUUCAAGUGAUGUGAUCAAGAUGUACCAAAGGAGCUUUAUACAAAAACAUCACUUGAAGGUUUUGAUUUCUCAUUCCUCUAGAAAAAACAGAAAAAUCAUUCUCUCAAGCUUGAAGAACAAGGUUGAACGCCACUACGGACCAGUUCCUAAAAGAUUGAUUGUUGGUGUCCUAAUUGAGUUGUAACCUUGUUAUUGUACUUACUAUAUCUCCUAAAUCGCUUACUUAGAAGUAUACUGAGUAGGAAUCCUCUUGUAAAUCCGUAAAUUUGUUGAGUUUAUAAUGUCACUAGAUUUAGUCACAAGGAAAAGUCUUUGUAAUUGUACAAUUACAAAGUGGCUUGUGGUGAUAGUAUCACAAGUUAGAAAAAGCCUUUGUAACUAGGAUAGUCACAAGCUGUCUUGUGGUAAAGGUACCAAAAGUUAGUUGAGUAAAUCUUUUGCAAUAGGAAGUAUUGUAAAGUGGCUUAUAAUGGCUAAGAUUACAAGUUCGUGAAGUUAAAGGACUAUAUGUGUCGGUCGUGGUUUUUGAUCCCCUUGUGCAGGAUUUUUCGACAUAAAAUUCCUCUUCCUCAUUUACUUACUGUUCUACUAAGUGCUCUCAGCAGAAAGUUGUAGAGAACCAGGUACUCUCCGAUUUGGUAAACUCAUACAAACUAACAAUUGGUAACAGAGCGAAUUCCUCCUAUCAGGCUUACACCUAGGAAGGAUCCUUAUGGCGGCUCCACUAAAUUUGAAGAAGGUCAUCCCAUAUACCACCCACCGAAGUUUGAUGGAAAAGGCUAUUGGUGAGGAAAGCUAGAAUGCAUGAUUUCAUCAUGGCUGAGGAUUGUGAGCUUUGGGAUGUCAUCUGCGAUGGUCCAUUUCACCCAAUCAAGGUACUAAAUGAAUUUCCAUUUUCAAUAAAAAAGACUAGCGGAGAAUAUACUAAAGUAGACAAGAAAGCAGCGGAGAAGAACUUUCGUGCCAAGAAACUUCUGGUAUAUGGUUUGAGACCUAGAGUACGACGGAAUCUCUACAUGCGACACUGCCAAGGAAAUAUGGGAGGCUUUGCAAAUAGCUUAGGAGGGAACUACAUAAUUAAAACAAGAUAAAUCUAAUAUUGACGAUAGUACUAUGAUGGCAGUUGAAGGCGAGGAGAUUGGAUAUGAUUCAACGCUUGCUUUGGUGGCUCAGUCAGACAAUGGCAAUGAAGAGGUAAACUUCAGGGAUAUUCAGAAACAUCUGAAAUCUCCAAAAGAACUCAUGUGCUUAGCUGAUGUUUUAAUUACUGUCUUUUGUAGUCUUGCGGAGGAUAUGGAUUCAUUGUUCUUAUAACUAGAAGAAUCUGAACAUAAUAGAGAAGACUUAGUGGCUGCAAUUAUUGAUCAAAGACGAUCAUUGAAAUUCUUGGAAAAGAAAAGAGUGAUCUCUUGGGAGAAACUGUUGACCCAAGGAAACUAAUAGUAAAUCACUUAACUAAGUCAAAACCUAAAAGCUCUAAAAGAGGAAAGGAGAUAGUUAAUGAGGAAUACUGCAUCUGAUAAUUGGCCUCGUACCAAUGUGGUAACACUGGGCUCUCUAUGGAAGGUGUUCAGGCUAAGAUUCAAUCAGUACCAAAAGACAAAGUGGCUGCUGAGACAGUGACCACAAAAUAGGGACCAGGUUACGCUCACAGAAAACGCACAUUACCUGCAUGGACUAAGAGAGCUCUUAUUCAUCCUCUUGGUUACUACAAGGGAUCCAAACUUGUUUGGAUUCCUAAAACUAACUCCUAAUUUCUUGUGCAAGGAACAGUGACGAGAAGUGGUCAGCAAUAAUUCAUGGAUAGUGGGUGUUCGAAACACAUGACUGGGAACACCACAGACUUUCUAUCACUAAAAGCCCUGCAAGGAGGGAGUGUAUCAUUUGGCAAUGGCAAAAGGGGUACAUUCUUGGAGUUGGAAAAGUUGAGAAGUCAGUAACUCGUUCUAUUAAAAAUGUGUACUAUGUCAAUAGACUUAAGUAAAGUCUCCUAAGUGUCUCUCAAAUCUACGAUAAAUGAAACAAGGUGGAGUUCUUGUACAAAAUAUGUAUAGUCACUGACCUUGUGACUAGUGAAAUAGUUCUGGUGGCCAAAAGAUACAAGAAUAUCUAUGUUGCUGAUUUUGAAUAUUUACUGAGUGGUGAUCUGAGUUGUCUGAAGGUGGUUGACGAUGAUGCUGAACAAUGGCAUAGAAGACUAAGCCAUGCAAGCUUUUCCUCUGAACAAACUUAUUCAAAAGGACCCAGUCCAUAGUCUGCCUAUGUCACAAUUCAAAACUCAAAAUGUCUGUGAUGCAUGUGCCAGAGGAAAAUAUGUAAAGUCCUCCUUUAAGCCAAAAAGAGAUGUGAGCACCUUAAAUCCGCUUGAGCUCCUGCAUAUGGAUUUGUGUGGACCUAUGAGGGUGCGAAAGAAAGGAGGAAAGAGAUACAUUUUCAUGAUCGUGGACAACUAUUCCAGAUUCACAAGGACUCUGUUUCUCAGAACAAAAGAUGAAACUGUUGAAGUAUUUGUGGCCUUUGUGAAGAAAAUCCAGGUGAAGAUAGAGUCUAAAGUUGUAUGCAAUAAAUCAAAUCAUGAAUGAAUUUGACAAUAUCAAAUUUGAUGAAUUCUGCAAAGAAAAUGGGAUCACUCACAACUUCUCAGCUCCCAUAACUCCAUAGCAAAAUGGAGGAGUUAAACGCAUUAUAUCAGAUCAUGGGACAUAAUUUGAUAAUGUCAAAUUUGACAAUUCUGCAAUGAAAUUGGCAUCACUCACAACUUCUCAGCUCGCAGAACUCCACAGCAAAAUGGAGUAGUAGAAAGAAAGAACAAAACUCUAGAAGAAACAACAAGAACAAUGCUGAUUAAUGGUGGACUUGCAAAGAACUUUUGGGAUGAAGCUGUCAACAUUGCCUGCUACUUAGUAAACAGGUGCAUGAUCAGAUCGAUUCUAAACAAGACUCCAUAAUGAACUUCUGAAUUGACAAAAACCCAAGCUGACCUACCUAAGAGCUUUUAGAUAAUUUUAUGUUCUCAACAAUGGAAAGGAUCACCUUAGCAAGUUCGAUACCAAAAGCGAUGAAAGGAUAUUUCUUGGCUACUCUUCUCAAAGCAAGGCUUACAAGAUAUAUAACAAGGGGACUUAAUGUGUUGAAGAAAGUGUCCAUGUUAUUUUUGACGAAUCUCAUAUAUCAUUUGAGAAUAGUGCUGAGGAAGAUCAAGAUGGAGAACCCUUACUUGUUCCUGGUGAAGUCAUUAAUAUGACAAAUGGAAAGGCAGGCUUGAUGACUCAAAUGAGGGAGACAAAUGGAGAUAACACGGCCUCAUCAUCAACAGAACCAAACACUUUAAAUACAAUAAUUGAAGCUGAAGAAAGAGUGGUUGAUACAAUUCAGGGAACUCCACUGGCAUCUGAGAGAAGGAUAGAGGAGAAUCAGCCAAACAUAUUGUCUUCCUCUCACGAUGAACCCAGACAUCUAACUGGAAACAUCAAAGUUCUCACACUAUGGAUAACAUAAUCUCGCCCCUAGAUUCUGGAGUUCAAACUAGGUUUAGAGCAAGAAAUUCACUUGCCUUAUCAUCCUUUCUCUUCCAGAUAGAACCCAAGAACAUCAAAGAAGCCCUAAAAGAUGCAGAUUAGAUUACAACCAUGCAAGACGAGCUACAUCAGUUUAAGAGAAAUAGUGUUUGGCACCUGGUAUCCAAACUUCCAGAUAGAACCAUUAUAUCAACCAGGUGGGUAUUCAGAAACAAGCUCGAUGAGCAUGGAGUUACCACAAUGAACAAGGCCAGGCUAUUGGUCCAAGGUUACAAUCAAGAGGAAGGGAUAACGAUGAUGAAACUUUUGCUCCAGUGGCUCGCAUGGAAGCCAUAAAAAUUUUGAUCGCAUUUGCUUCUCAUAUAGAAUUCACUUUAUUCCAAAUGGAUAUCAAAAGUGCACUUUUGAAUGGACUACUUAAGGAAGAAGUUUAUGUGAAGCAACCCCUGGGUUUGAAUGUCAUAAGCCCCCUGAAUAUAUGUUCAAAGUGGACAAAAAUUUGUUUGGGCUAAAGCAAGCUCCUCGAGCGUGGUAUAAAAUAUAGUCAAAAUUUCUCUUAGAAAAUGGCUUAAAGAGAGGGAAAAUUAACAACACUCUUUUCAUAAAGAAAUGAGGAAGGAACAUGCUCAUUAUUCAGGUUUAUGUUAAUGAUAUCAUUUUUGGUGCAACAAUUGGUUCUCUGUGUGAAAAAUUCGCAAAACUUAUGGGGAGAAAAUUUGAAAUAAGCAUAAUGGGGGAAUUAAACUUCUUUUUGGGUCUUCAAGUAAAACAGUCCCCAAAGGGUACUUCCAUUUGUCAGCAAAAAUACAUCAGGGAACCCUUGAAGAGGUUUGACACGGAAGCACAAAAGUGGUAGAUACUCCCAUUGCAGCUGCCACUCAACUGGACAUGGAUGAAACUUGAUAUCCUGUGAAUCAAACAAUGUAUAGAGGCAUCAUUGGGUCUCUCCUCUAUCUCGCUGCCAAUCGACCUGCUAUUAUUUUAAAUGUGGGUCUAUGUGCAAGGUUUCAAUCAAAUCCCAAGGAAUGUCACCUCAAGGUUUCCAAAACAAUACUGAGAUAUCUCAAAGGCAUUCAGGACCUGGUACUAUAUUAUCCAUCAGGUGACAAUUUUAAUCUGUCUCCCAUUACAACUGCCACUCGACUGGACAUGGAUGAAACUAGAUAUCCUGUGAAUCAAACAAUGUAUAGAGGCAUCAUUGGGUAUGUUCUCUAUCUCACUACCAUUCGACCUGAUAUUAUUUUCAGUGUAGGGCUGUGUGUGUGAUGUUUCAAUCAAAUCCCAAGGGAUCUCACUUGAAGGUUGUAAAAAGAGUACAGAGAUAUCUCAAACGCACGCAGAACUUGGUACUAUAUUAUCCAUCAGGUGAUAAUUUUAAUCUGAUUGGUAUGCCAAUGCAGACUAUGCAGGUUAUCUUGUGGACAAAAAAUACUUUUGGAAUGACUUACUUCUUAGGAUCAUGUCUUAUCUCUUGAGGUACAAAGAAGCAAAAUUCGAUGGCCAUUUCAAUAGCUGAAGUUGAAUAUGUAGCUGCCGCAUUCUGCUCUGCCAACUUCUAUGGAUCAAGCAGCAACUGGAGGAGUUUGGAGUUCUCACUAAGGGUGUGCCCAUCCUAUGUUACAACAUCAGUGCACUCAACAUGGUAAAGAAUCUAGUUCGACAUAAAAGGACCAAAAAUAUUGAUGUGAGGCAUCACUUUCUAAGAGAUAAUGUGGAGAAAGGGUUGAUAUGUGUGAAGUUCUGCAGCACAGAAGAUCAAAUUACAGACAUUUUUACCCAGGCACUAAGUAGAGAAAAAUUUGAAAGAAACAGAGUGAAGCUGGGACUAUUGAGGCCAAAUUAAGCACCUUAUUCCUCCUUGGUUGGCUAUUAUUCUUAAUAAAUAACUAGUUCAAAGUGUAUUUUGGCCAUGUCUAACCCACUUCAAUACCGUUGCAGGUAGACACGCAUGAUAAGCAUAGAAAUAGUAGGUGCAUUACAUGACUGAAAAAAGAGGUUUAAUUCUUCUUUUUCAAAAAGAGGAGCUUGACAAAAAUGUUUUUCAAGAACCAGGUUCUUAUCCUAAAGGCUAGUAGUUCUGUGCAUCCUUUAAUACAUAUUCUGAAAGGUACAAAAUACAACUUCCAUAUCAUCAACUUUUUCAGAUCUAGCUACCAUGUAACUUCAAUUCAAAGCAUUCCAUCUCCCUCUGAAACAUCACAUUCUCUAUGCCCAACCGCCGUUUUUGAACUGGUGCCUAUUCUUCUCCCUUCAUAAUUAUCCUCUCUAUUUAACAACAUCUCUCUUAUUCCCUUCUUAGUCAUAAGCCCUAUUCUAAAUUCACCCAAAAGGAAAGGAUCACCACACUACCUCUUCCAAUGGCUGACAAAACUUUCGAUUUCUCUGCCUCAACUGUAACCACCUCUGACCCGUCUAUGGAACCUCUCACCGAUUCUGAGUCUGUGUUACCCUCUAUAACUCCUACUCCUACAGUACUACCUUCACUAUUUUCCCAACCUCUUCCCAACUCAAAAACCCUUGAAACUACUAUUCCUUUCUUUCCAUUGUCUGUUGCCUACACUAGUCAAACCCUAAGUUGAGAAUAGUGUCAAUAUACUGAGCUCACAAAAGGCUCUGCUAUCAUUGCCAUCAACUCCAUGGUUGUGGAAGCACCGGUUGAAGAAUACUAGAUUAUGUUUGUGGUAUUCGUUGAUGGGGUAUUGCAUGAGGUUAUUUCCCAGAAACAUGAGUCACAAAGCGUGAGGGAAAAAUGGGCCAUUAUGGAGUUUGAAGGGGAUGCAGUAGCAUACACUAUUUGGGAUUCACAUGGGGAACCUGCUCCCUCUCAAGAGGACCCAGGUCAGGAGUCUCAUCCCCAGGAAAGUGAUAUUCUUGCAUUCGAUACUGUGCCCCUAGAAAAUCAAGCACCAGAAAUGAGAUCUAGUGAUGAAGAACACCUGGAAAACAUGGCCCUUGAUGCACUCAAAAGUAAGGGAAGGGUUGUUUCCACCAGUGAGUUUGUAAUCAAGCGACCCACUACCAGGCUUCAAGUCAAAGUGGCUUAUGACUCUGCACUCCAAAAGAGCAAGAAAAGUAGCAAGGAAAAAAGAAUACAGUUGGUGAACGAUGAUGUACCUAUAAGUGAUGAUGCUAUCCCUGUAGUUAAGGUUGAGGAAGGAACUCAUGAGGAACCUGGUUCCCUUGUAAAGCAGUACUCGAAAAAGGCUAAAUCUGUUUCAAGGGAGAAGGGGUCUACUUCUAAGUCCAAGAUGAAAGAGGUAGUGAGUGAUGAGGAUGUUCUUGUCAAGUCCAAAGGGAAGGUAAAAGUCACUGGAGAAAAGCAUAGGAAACGCAAGUAUGAAAUAGUUGAAGAACCUAGUCCUGGAAGCUCAGCAAGCCCGAGCGGUUCCCAUGUCAAAUGAUGAGGUGAUCUGUUGGACAAAAGAAAAUAUUGUUCUCAGGGCGCAAGUCGAGAACCUGAAGGCUGAACUGCUCAACGAUCAAAAGUCUAGAAACACCCGAAUAGAUCUUGUUCUCCAGACACUUGCCGCAACUUCCAGGCCUUUUCCUCCUAGUUCCCAUUAAGAACCCCUUCAGUGACUGGUUUUCUAGAUAUGUUUCUUUUUUUUGUUUCCUUGUUGAUGGUUGGUGGAUGUUUUUUUUUUGCUUUUUCUAUGAUGGUUGGGAUAUACUAUUACUACUGAUCCUAUGAACAAGUCCAAUAUAACCUCUUCCUUUUUUUCAAAGGAUGAGGCAUAUCAAAAUUAUUAUUAUGAAUCCUCUUUUAUUUUGACUAGUACUUAUCUUUGUGUUAUAUUAUUUCUCAUGAUUGUGUGUAUAUAUGUGGCAUGAGUUAGCUUAGCUGGACUUCUUUGUUAUGUUGUUGUUUUUAAUGAUGCCAAACGGUAGAAAAGUAAGACUAAUAUAGGACUCAAGGGGAAACACUCUGGGGAACUGGUUCUUAUGAAUUAGUCUAUUACUCUGACCAUGAACGAUUAAGGCAUCAUCUCAAGGGGAAAUCUUUGAAAAACUUUUUUUUACUGCCCAAUUCUGACUUUAUCUAGAAAUAAAGUGAUCGACCGUACUAUUUCUGCUCUACUGCACCACAUUAUCAGCCCACUCAUUCUCUAACCAAACAAAGUACUCACAUCAUUUCAAGUGAUGUGAUCAAUAUGUACCAAAGCGGAUUUAUACAAAAACAUCACUAGAAGGUUUCUAUUUCUCAUUCAAGCUUCUAGCCAAAAAAAAAAUCAUUCUCUAAAGCUUGAAGAAAAAGGUUGAAUGCCAUUACGGACCAGUUCCUAAAAGAUUAAUUGUUGGUAUCCUAGUUAAGUUGUAACCUUGUUAUUGUACUUACUAUAUCUCCUAAAUCGCUUACCUUUGUUAUGUCGCCCCUACAUUUUUCAGUCCAAAAGGCAUAACUCUGUAGCAUUAUGUUCCUUGAUAGGUGAUGAAGGUGGUUUUCUCCUGAUAUCUUCUUCCAUGAGGAUCUGGUUGUAGCUUGAGUAGGCAUCUAAAAAAUUGAGCAGCUCAUGCCCGGCCAUUGAAUCGAUGAGCCGAUAUGAGGUAAUGGGAAUGAAUCUUUGGGGCAUGCUUUAUUUAAAUCUGUGAAGUCUAUGCACAUUCGCCACUUCCCGUUUUCUUUUUCACCAUGACCACAUUGGCUACUCAUGGGGGUACUUUGACUCCCUGAUGGAGCCAUUUUCCAAUAAAUUAUUAACCUCCUCAUGCACGACUUUAUUGAUUGAGAAAUUGAACUUCCGCCUAACCCGCCUCACCGGGGUAUGGAAGAGGUCGAUGUUUAGUUUGUGCAUAGCGAUCUCCUUUGGGAUACCGACAUAUCUGCAUGGAAAAAAACAAAUAAGUCUACAUCAUCAGUUAAGAAUUGACAGAAUUUAUGUAGUUCUUGAAGCUUGCAGCUGGUGUAACAUUUCUUGUUGUGGUCAUUGUCAUUAAGUUUAACAAGGUUGAGGUCUUCUAAGGUCGAUUUCGUGGCUUCCACUAUUUCAGGGCCUUUGAUGACGUCUUCCCUUUCAUAUCCACUCGACCUCGGCCCUGUUAAUUGUUAUGCUUAUUUUGCUUUGCCCUCCAUUUAUUGAGUGGUCGUACAAUCAGGGUGAUGUAGUAGUAUUCGUGAGAUGUACGUUGUUCUCCUCGUAUGCUGAAUAUUCCCCGUGGGGUUGGAAAUUUGAUGGCCUAUUACAAGCUAGAAGGGAUGGCUAGUACAACGUAUAUCCAUGGUCGCCCUAUUAUGCCAUUGUACGUUGUGUCCUUGUCCAUGAUAUGGAAUGUAGUUUCUAGAGUGACGUCGCUGGCUAGUACAAGGAGUGUGAUUUCUCCAUAACUCCGUUCAAUUCCAUUGUUAAAACCUGUUAACAUGAUAAAACAUAGCACUAUCUUCUCCUCGAGUUUCAUUUGUGCAAGUACUCGAGGUGGAUAAUUCACCCGCCUCUCCUAUCAUCCACCAUAAUGCGUCUCAUAUAUGUAUAUAAUAUACAAGGGCAUCAUAAUGAGGGAAAACUAAACCGAAGGUAUCUUACUUAUCGAAGCUGAUACUUUCUUCGAGUUCAUCAUACCAUUCGUGAGUGAUCAACUGUGUGAGCAUAUGGGUCGUGGUGAACCUCACGUUGUUGAUAGGAGAGUCAUCAUCGCCCCUGGUAAUCAUUUGAGUGGUGCGGUUCGGGGAGGGCGAUUUUGCCGAUCCCUGAUGCUGUUCAUAUCCUUGGGCAAAGUUGGUCCUCCCUCGAUCGCUCAGGAAUUCUUUAAGGUGUCCUUGGCAAAGCAUAUUUACGACCUCCUACCAUAGGGCAAUACAGUCCUUUGUUUUAUGACCUCGCUCUUAGUGGAACUCGUAGUGGGCGUCUGACUUUCUGGUUGUUGGAUCCAACCUCAUCUUUUGUGGACACUUUACUUUUGGUUCAAGCUUCUCCAAUGCGUAGACUAUUUCUGAUGAUGACACACAGAAAUUGUGAGCGGAUAUCAAAUGGGGCAUACCUCUCACGUUUCAAUGAGUUCUUGUCCUUGGUCUAGGCGAGUCCUCUUCGUGGAGGGAGGAGCGGUGCUAUAACGCUUAUGAGAAAUGUUUGACGAUCUCGGUUGAUUCGUGAAAAGGUCCCUUUUGAUAUCAUUUCUUUGAUCUUUCCUGGAUUCGGCUUGUACCGAGGUCAAUCGAUGGAUUUUCCCAUUUAGAUGGUCCUCGUCUGCUAGGACCUUGGCGUAAUAUGCGUUAUGUAUUUCAUCCCAAGUGGUCGGAGUAUAUUUCAUGAGUCACCUUGAUAAAUUUCCGGUUUCCGUUGACCAUUCCUGCUCAGUCCAUUUUGGAAAUCUGUGAUGGUCAUUCCCUUUGAUAUAUUUGAUAAGUUCAUUCUUACUCGGUUGAACUGGGCGAGGAAGUCCCUCAAUGCUUCUCCAGGUAAUAUUUUGAUAGCUAAUAUAUCGUUCACUCUUGCCUCCGCCUUUUUGGCCCCAGCAUAGGCCUUUAUGAACAUGUCAUCCAUCUUUUCAAAUGUUUCGAUAGAAUGCAUGGGCAGCUAUGAUGAGUACCAAGUCAAGUUGGUAUUUUGUCAGCAUUGACAUAGUGACUUACGUGAUCUUCCGGAUCAGUCGUGCCAUCAUAUAUUUUCAUAUAGGGCAUCAUUUUGAAGGUUAUUGGUAUGGUAUGUAGCGCGGAUUCAUCAUUGUAUGGUUGCUCGACAAACCAACCAACAUCUCUCUUCGGCAAGAGUUUCAGGGCACUUGGUAUUUUGUCAACCCUUUCUUGGUGCUCUCUCAUUUGGUCCUGAAGCAUUUUGUUCUUGUUCUCCAUUUUCUCCAUCUUUUUCAAAAUGGUUGUGAGGGUGUCGUCACCUCCAUUAUUAAUAGUGUGAGUAGGACCUGUUAUUGGAGGGGGAAAAGGGCCACAGUGCUUCAGCGUAGUCAGCGCAAUGCGAGUCCUCGCGUUUUCUAUAACCGUAUUCUGAGUGUGCUUGUGGAGGAUGAUGGUUAGCAUGUCGGUUAGCCAAGCCUCAAGAAGCUUUUUCACUGCUGAUGGCAUAUCUUUGGUCGUAGAUACGGAGGCUCCUUUACCGCGGGAGGUUGUGAUAUUGUGUGAGGGAGAGGCAACCCGCCUUGCUUGGAAAAGGCAUUAGGCGUUAUGUCCUCGCCUUUUGUAUCAAAAACCUCAUUGAUGGUGUUCAAAAGAUUGGUGGUGAGGUCGGCCAUUACCCUCAUUCUUCUCCAGUACCUAUCAUGUCAGGUCUGUGUGUACAAGAAAAAAGGAGUUUUGUUCUACAUUUUUUUAUAAGCAACCCGUAAUAGUUAUAGACUUAGAAGAAACUAAAAAUUUAACUAGAAAUCUCCAUGGACGAUGCCCAAUUGUUUGACCAAAAAGCUUAAACUUUUGGUGAAACUAUUAAAUCUUAUGUGAUAAGGGGUUAAACCUUGUUAAUUUACAUUGAAGGUUUGAUCUUAAUUUAAGCCACCCUAGUUCUCUACAAACAUCUUUAAACCAUUGCUAACAGAAAAUAUUUAUAUUAUGCUUCAACUUGCUCCGCACAUUCUUCAAGGAUAGGUUCUUCAGACUUCAAGUUCUUGAUCUUGAUCUGUUAAAAGAUGAAGUCAUGUAACAUUAGUGAAAAAACUUCUACUAGCUACUUUAUAUUGAAAACAAAUGAAUAAUUUAAUCACCAAAUCAAUUAAAUAAUUAGAGUAUACAUUGUUUGAUUAAACUGAUGCAACCAAUGAACUAUUUUAAGAAAUUUAUCUUUUAUGUUCAAGUAUAGAUGAAAUUUAGACUUCAAGCCAGACUUCAAAUUCUGAAAUUUCAAGGCAGAGAAAGGCUUAUAAUCUGGCCAUUGUUAAAAUAACAAAGAAGUGCAGUAAAUAGCAAGUACAAAAGCCCAUGAUAAAUAGAACAAAUUGUAAAUGACCAAUGCUGAUAAAAAUGUGGAAGAAGUAGUGUUUUCGAAAGCGCUAAGAGCAAAAAAGCAACGAGGCCUCGCUUCACCGAAAUGAGAAGCGAAGCGCGCGCUUUUUCCAUGUGAAGCGCAAUUUAACACCUAAAUUUAAAAAAAGCAUCGAUAAUUGGCUAAGAACUUAUUAAAAAUAACAUAUUAAGCAAAUGUUUCAAUUCUUGAAUCAAGAAGCAAAUAAUAGAUACUAAUCAAAUUUAAUUUACUACAAUCAACAACCACAAAAAAAUAAAAAAAGAACAGGUAAUUCACUGAUAAAUUGCAGAAAACAGAGCAUAAAGCAGAUGAUAAAGCAGAAAACAGAGCAUAAAGCAUAAAACAAAGUAGAACAGAAGAAGAAGUCGUUUAGGGCACAAAAUCAGCAUUUAAAAGAAGAAGAAGAAGCUUACUAAGAUCUGGAGAAGAAGUCGCUGGAGCAGCAGUGAUCAUCGCUGGAGAAAAAGUCGAAAUCAAACAGUUAACUUUUUUUUCGAACUAGAAAAGUUUGAAUAAAAAAACAAAGAAAUACAAACCAGAAAAAUAGAGCAUAGAUUAGGGAAAAAAACAUAGCAAUAAAAAGUGAAAAAAUAGAAAUAAAAAGAGAAAAAUAGAGCAUAUAAAGAACAGAGAAAAAAAUUAGGGCACAACCGCACAAGAACAAAACAAUCAACAGUGAAAAAAAUAGAAAAAAGAUGAGAAAAGGAGUCAAACAGGAACCAAAGAAAAUCAUAGGAAGAUGAAGAAUAAGAAGAGAAGGAGAGAAGAAGAAACUUACAGAGAAGAAGCACUAAGCAGUCGUUGAAGCAGCGGUUGUUGGAGCAGCAAUCGCUGGGAGAAUAAGUGUUUGUUAGCCUUAAGUUUUUGCCAAGUUCUUUUUUUUUAAUAACCCUAACAGCUGCUUAACGUCGCUUAAGCGCGCUCUUUCCUGCUUAUUGGAUUGUUGCGCUUCUCGCUUAACGAGGUAAAGCGUGCGCGUUUUCAUAUGAGUUGCUUUUGUGGCAGAAAAGCGAGAUAGCCUCGCCUCGCGUCGCAUUAGCACUUUAAGCGAGAAACGCACGUUUUUUACAACACUGGGAAAAAGUUAGUCAUCCAUGUUUCCUUCAAUUCAAUGAUGCAAGAUAUGGCUAAAUUCAUUUACAAAUACUCUUCAUGUAAUAGUUGAUAAAAAUUUACUGACCUAUUAAAGUGUUCCUACUAGAAUUUCCAUUAGAACAAAACUGAAAAAUCGAUAUCAAAUUAGUAUCCAAAAAUGAUUGUAAGAUAGACUGCAAUUUUGAGCAACAUCCAAUCAUUUAUAGGUUCACAAUCCACACCUUGACGUUAAAGCUUCUCAACUCUAGUGACAUCAACAUGCUCGAUCUCAAUCGUUAGAACUCCGCACGUAACAUUAACAUUCAAAUUAACUUGCAAAUAGCCAAAACAACAAACAUAUAUUUGACCAAAAAACAAGUCUUUUUCCAAAUACUUUAACGAUGAAACUAUCAUCAUAGCUUCUCACCACAUGAUCAUGUGCUAAUGCACUUGUCGGGGAAUUCUCCAUGGGGUCCAAGACAAUCACUUUCAGUUCUAUUUGAGAUGCUGCUUGACACAACAUACGACCCAACUGCCCUCCUCCUAAAGCACCUAUAAGCAUAUCAGACACUCCAUGGAUUUGUGAACCACGACAUUAUUCAACAUAUUCCAGCAUACUAUUAAUAUUAUUAAUUAGAAAAUGCAAUAAAACAUCAUUGAACUCACAUACAGUAAUUACCUGUAAUUUAAACUACAUACAAUAAUAGCUACACCGCCUCAUUCUGAAAAAAGUUUUGGUCGGCCUAUUAAUCAUUACUAACCUUGUUUCUCCAAUUAAAAUCCAUCAAAAUGAAACCACAUAAAUUUUGAACAUAUAUUUAUCUAAACAACAUAAUCAGAGACCACAUUUAAGAAUGUUGAAGUUCUUGUAUAUAUAUAUAUAUAUAUGACUUCUUUUUUUAUAUUUUUCGUAAACCUUAUAUUUUUCAUAAGAAUAUCUCUUAAGGUUGGCACUGUGAUCCUUCCGGAUCUGCACUUUAAGCAAUUUUCCUAAAAAAGAUAGAUAUGAUAAUUCUCAGUUGGCUUGCAGAUGGUUAUUUAUUACCUUUGAGUCAUCCUAAAGAACAACUUCUUAAGAAAUAAUUGGAUUUCAUUAUUAUAUAUGAAAGAAGACAUAUAUCCAUAGAUUUAAUUUUUAGAUCUAAAUUUUCUCUAUAGCAUUGAGUUAAGAACUUGAAUAUUAUCCUUAUGGAACCCAGAGGUCUCUUGAACCAAGAACAGAAAGCAUUCAAAUUACCAUUGUUAAAUUUUUCGUAAUUACUUGCAGAUCUAAGCUAUGUCUUUCUUCCAUCCUUUUUCCUCUCCUUCAAAGAAUUCCUCGCCCCCAACUUCCUCAUCUUCCUCCUCAUUCUCCUCCUCCAAUCCCACACUCAAAGAAGAAAUUAGCUUUUCUAAUUUGCAAUAAUCAAUUGAUGACUGGAAGAUCCCUAAACAUCCACAGUCUAUAAUUUAUAAAUCUUCACAAUGGCCUUUGACCAGUGAUUACCAUAUUUCUACAAUUGAGAAAACUAUUCCUCUUGAAUCAGACCAUGAGGAAAUCUAACUUUUAAACCCAAAAUCUAUAGAAAAAUAUAGGCAAAAUACAAUUAUCUCUAUUUUGGUUUAGUACAGAUUGCAGCUAGACCUCUGCCCAAAGAAGGUCUAGACACGUCUCUACUCCUCUGUCUUAGAGACUCUAGAUUUUUAGACUUCAAUGAUUCUCUCCUAGAAACGGUAGACACCAGCCUUUGUAGCGGUCAAAUUUACUUUGAUUGUUUUCCUAAUUUUACGGUAUCUUUUAAAGUUAGAAAUAUCUUAGAUUCUUUAACUCUUAAUGUUAAAACGGCCAAUUACAAAACCAAAAUUGGAUCCUUACUAGUAGCAAUUAUUUAUAGAAUAUAGUAUAAAGCCAUGAGUUAUGCCUUUAACACUGGAGCUACAUAAAGGAGAAAUUGUUCUUUUCAAAAUAGAUCUACAAUGAUCUCACCUAUCAAUACUAAACCCCAUUUCUUGGAGCCAAGUUUCCCUACCACAAAACUGGUAACUACAAGAUACUACUCAGGCUGAGAAACCAGAAAAUACUACCGUCUCUCAUAUCAGACAAUAUUCUAGCGGAUCUGUAGCCAUUUCCUUCCAAAGGUCCCUUAGCCAAAGAGUCUUUGUCUCAUCCUCAUUGGCACAAUCGGAGAUUUAGUCUAGAAGACAUUCAAUAUCUUGACUAGUCAUUGCACUAGUAGCGUCUACGAGCCUCCCGCUUCGGUACCAUCUCCUUUUUACCAGCCGAGCUGCCCUGUCAACCCUUUGCGGCGCUUGCUUCCUAGCUAGAACUCACACAGCGCAAACAUAAAUGAGAACUAAGCAUAGUCUGACUCCCUAGCGCACAGAGCAAGAGUAAGCUACUUCACUCGAGAAGAAGAAAUAGGCUAACGAUCGGCUCAGAUAAGGAUGCCUCCUCUCUUUCCAAGCUAGCUCCGAUGCAANNNN
RNAcentral lists this long non-coding RNA (88889 nucleotides) under Nicotiana benthamiana. Its description in RNAcentral is "long non-coding RNA (NBEN_LNC032274)". The record is from RNAcentral. Lineage: Eukaryota; Viridiplantae; Streptophyta; Magnoliopsida; Solanales; Solanaceae.